GAAAGAAGUUGAACGUUGCAGAUUUCGCUAUACAAAAAUUACAGGAAAAACGAAUUGUAUACAGCGAGGAAUGCCUGUGUAGUUUGUGCAGAUUGUCUUGAGGUACCAUGAUUGUCUUGAGGUACCAUGAUCUUGCAGGGUCUAAAGUUCGCUCUGCUUUCUGUGCUAGCUGUGCGGGUGAUUAAAAGUAUUUAGUACCGGCGAUCUGACAGGAUGGAGUCACUCCAAGAAAGCAUGAAAUCGCGCACAACAGAUGGCAGAUCUGCACAAAAGAGUAAGUAAUACAUUAUAUUCCUAGCAAGGAGAAAUGUUCCCAUAGUGAUAAGAUCAAGUAAACAGAAUUUGACUGACUGACCUUGGAGAACCUCGAGGGCAACUGAAGGCAUAUCUAUUUGAUCUUCAACCAGUCUGUACACAUCAACAAGCUGCAAAAAAAGAGAUGAGUUGCAUUCAUUCACUGAGAAUUAUGUCAAAUUUAUUUUUAUUUUAUAGGGACACAAGCAAUUUACAGGAUGAUUGAACAAUCUAUCUAUAGUACCUCUUCUACAUGCAACUUGGAGUCUUCAGUGAAAGCCAGUAUAAGUUGUCUCCUGAUCCCAGCAUCGAUAAGGAACAUCCGUGCUCCGUCCUUUAUUGUUUCAGUGAGAUCAAGUUUGCUCUCCAGCUGUUGACUUCUCACAGCUUGCCUGAUAGAUCAAAAGAACAGAAAAAUUCUAGAUCGAACAAACAUAUGCAGGAUGGCAAGACAGUGGUUCCAAUACUCACGAACUGUUUUUUUUCAGUGCAGGAUUGCUGCUCAUCUUGGACACAUUCUCCUUGGCAAGAACUAUAAGGUUUUCUAGUCGUUUCCACUGGAAUGCCCCAUCUUUGAAUAAUACCUGCACAGAAAAGAUAUGAGGAAAUAAUGCUAAAAAAUAUAAAAGGCACAAGCAAUUGUAGAAUCUGAAAAGUAGAUGCAUAAUGGUGCACUUCAACAUGCACUUGAAACUCGCAACUUUUCCACAUUCACAGAAGAGUUUCCAUUUAUUUCCCAGUAAUAAUGCUUAAUUUGACUAUUUGGUUCACAUAGUCUUUGCAUUUAUGUCAAUAGGUGUAGAGACGUACAGGGAUUGGGAAACACCACACACACAUCUCUAAUAAUAGGGUCUACACAAGUUACCUGAAUCAGGCGUUCUCUCAGAGCAGGGUUUGGAUCUGUCAACAGACGCUUUGCUACAUAUGGAUAUGCAACCUAAAUAUGAGGAAACAUAGAGAAAAGAAUGUAAGUAAACACAGAAAUGCAAAUUGGUGUUUCCAUGAGCUCAAAGGCAGCACACACCAUACCUCAAGAAACUUAAAAUCAGGCUUUAGUGUGAAGCAAAUUCCUUCUUGCGUCAACAACGAACGGAUAACCAAGGAAAACCUUUCUGGAAUGCGGAUUGGGUAGUUGUAGACGAGCUGAUUGAACUUCCCUGUGAUUUUAAUUAACAUUAAAAAAUGAAGUAUAUUUUCCUUUGGAUAUUUUGAAAUAUCUGAACAUAUAACAUGUUACAAAAAAACUUCUCAUUAGUGGAAGGAAAAAAAUGUGUACUAUACAUGAAUAAGCAACCAUACAGAAAUGCAGUAAAAAAUAAUAUUCACAAUUCAUAUGACCAAGUGCUAAAAAAAAUAAAGUAACAACACAUUGAGAUUUGAAAAAACAACAACUUGUGUACGGCGUGAGAAAAAGAAACAAACAAGCUUUAAUUUGUCAGCGUCGACACAAUUCUAACCAUAUCAACAUACCAGUCACACUCCGGAAAUUGAAAUCUGCCAAGCCUUUUCCAGCUGAGUUUUGCCAAAUGGCUUCCAGAGCUGGAAUAAUUGGGGCUACAUCUGUUCCACUAGCGAGGAAACCCAGCCUAGUGAAGUCAUUUGCCAUUUCAGCGUAAUCUUCAUUGACAGCAUGAACAACAGCAUCGAUUAGGAUUUGUUUAUUUUGCUGCACAUAGGAGAUAACAAUGAAAAAACAGCAUGUUAACCACUUUUUGUUUCCAUGUAUAACGUGCAAAUGUGACACUGCAAACAUGAGUUCACAAAAGAGAAGGAAUACCAUUUCGUGAAAAGACAUUUGAUGCAGCAUUAUCAGAUACAAGGUAGAAAAUGUAUAUAUAUAGACAGGAAAAAAAGCAGCAAUAACAAUGUAACUAACUGUAAGUGCAAAGAAUUCUACUACUAGACAAGAGCAUUUUACAGACCUGGCUAAGGACGGCCACAUUGCCAAAGUCGACAUAUGCAAUCCGACCAUCACGCAUUGCAAAAAUAUUUCCAGGAUGUGGAUCUCCAUGGAAAAGACCAAAUUCAAGUAACUGACGCAAGGCAGCACUUACUCCAACUGUGAGAAAGCCUUCCACAUCAAUUCCAGCUUCUUUUAUAGCCUGCAUGAAUGAAUUUGGAAUCAGUGCUGCUAAAGAUUCACCAUGAACUAUUGCACAUUUGAAAUAAACAAACAACUUUAUGGAUGGUCAAACCUGUGGGUUCGUACAUCUAAUUCCAUCUAUCCACUCCAUCACCAGAACACGAGAACCUGAGAGCUGCUUGUACACUUGAGGUAUCUUAACAGUUGGAUCAUCCUUAAAAUUUUCUAGGAAAUCCUCGAUAUUUGUAGCUUCCUAAUAUGAUGCAAAAGGCAAUUAAAAACAUUAGCCUCCUAUAAACUUAUCAAAAAGGAAGCAAAGAUAAGUAAUUUAAUGUUGAAACAGAAUAAAUGCACUUUCUAUUAGGAACAUGACAGCGGUAACAGCUAAUUUGCUAAAUUGACAAUGACAGUUAAAUGCUACAAAGAUACUUACAAGAGUGUAAUCAAGUUCUUCCAAAAGUUUUUCACCAAAUUCAUCAACAAUAAGCUCUGCGUUGCACCCUAAUUUCUGAAGACUAAUCCCAUUCAAAAAUGAAGCCAAAGUGCGGAACAGAAAAAGGUCUCGGUAUAUUAUUGGUUCAAUCCCUGGUCUCUGAACCUGCAAUUUCAAUGACAUAAAUCAAAUAGAUAAGUAUUGAUUCCCGGAGCACAUUUAAGCAUUUGGUUCAUGAUAUGCGAAGUGUACAGAGACACAAUUACCAGGGUAUACUUAUACAGUUAUACUCAUCCUUUUUUAAAGACCAUACUUAGAAAAAAAAUAAUGUGUCUAGAUACAAAAAGAAUAGUAAAGGUAAUAAAAGAAGUAAACUGAUAACAGAAACAAAGUGAAUAUAGGAACCUUAAUAGCAACAUCCUCGCCAGUUUCUCUUAGUGUGGCGCGGUAAACUUGGCCCAAACUAGCAGCUGCUAUUGUCUCUGAUGAAAUUUUGCUGAACAAUCUCUCUAGAGGCUGUCCAAGUUCCUCCUCAAUUAUGGCAAAAGCCACCUACCAAGUAUUCAGCAACAAACUCAACUUGGUUAAUCACUCUAAUUUCAUCUGCACAUACUCUAAUAUUAUCUUGAAGAACAAAUAUCUGCUGCAACCAUAUACCUGGUUAGGGACUGGAGGAACAUCAUCUUGCAAGAUGCAGAGUUCAUUCAUAUAAUCCUCUCGAAUAAUAUCAGGCCUGUUUGCUAGAACCUGAAGACCAGAACCAAAGAAAGUUAGGACGAUUGUGUAGGAAAGAUAGGACCAGUGAUUCCUAUUGUACAAUGAGAUGUAUCCUUUAUCAUCAAGGCUAAAUGAUAUGACCUGUCCUGCUUUGAUGAAAGAUGGCCCCAGAUCACAUAAAAGAUUGCGAAGCUGGCGGGCGCGAUAUGGAACAAUUUCUUCAUCCCGUCCAACCAAGAAAUCAUACAUUAGAGAUGACCAGUAAAAUCCGAGUUUCCAAAUUAUCUCCACUCCCCGACUAGCGAGGGAUAGUAUGGAGCCUCUUGAAUCCAAUACCUUUUUCCUGACCUAGCAAUUGUAGAAAUGCACACAAUUAAAAUAACUUUUAGCAAGUCAAUCCUAUAAACAUAAAAGCUUGCAGAUUUCAGUACCAUUUCUGGAGUGUACUUUCGGAAUGGGAUACAAACACCACGUUCAAUAUCAAGUUGCUCCAUUGCACUGCUGGUUUUGUUGCUGGAUAUACUUUUGAGACCUGAGCUGCUGCUGCGUGGAAGUUGGGUUACGCUUUGAGAUGAGACUGGAGCACUAGUUGAUGCAGCAUUCAUGACACAGAGGGUUGAUCGCCUUCUCCUUUGGGGUGAUGUGGAGAUUGACCUCACAAAUCCAUCGUAUGAUGCUCGUCUGUUAGGAGUUACUGUUUGAGACCACUGCGCUGAAGUCCAGAUACAUGCCGUGCAGAGCUCCAUCUUGGGCCUCAAGUUCCGAUAUCUAGAAGAGAUGGCAAACUACAUCAGCAAACUUUAAUCGCUACUUAUGGAGCGUCAUUACAGCACUACUUUCCUAAAGUUAAUUGUAUAAGAAUAAGAAUAACAAUCUGUCCAUCUGUCUCUGACCUUUUUUUUGUGAAUAUUAACAUCAGAUUAGGUGACAUUUUGAACAUUAGUUUGUGCAGGUUCGCAGUUUAGAAAUGGCAACAAUUGAGCAUGGAGAAGGGAAGCUCUCUCGGCUGCCAUGGACUGAAAUCCAACUCUCCUAUGUAGUUUUUUUUUGGAAUUUGGAAAGAACAUUCACGGACUCAAAUGCAGAUUUCUUCAUUCUGCUACGCUGUUGCCUUGCCAAACAACAUUUUUGAUAGGUAGACAUGCAACUAAUUGGAAAUCACCACCUCAGGUGCAUUAAGGGUGGUGUAAUCAGGACACAGUAAACUUCAAGCAAGAUAUAGCACAUAAAUGCAAAUUGGCGCUUAGCCAUACACUAUUAAACCUCCAAAACAAAAAUUACUUGGUUAGUUUCUCCUAACAAUUGGAAAAGGGGGAAAUAGAGAAGAGAAGAAGGGCCCGUCCCCACGUUUUUCCUCCCCGCUCUCUCCCUCCCCGCCGGGGCCGCCAAUUGACCCGCCGGCCAUCGCAGGUCUCCCGUGCCGGCACCGACGGCGUGAAAACAGAAAGGAUAGAGCAGCAACAGAGGGAGCUCUGAACACUCACCUUCGGCGCUUGCCGACACAGUCGCCGGCGACGGAAUCGGCGGCGAAAACUCACUCCUGUCCGCAGCUCCCACGAAUUCUUGGGGGCGAACUCGAUGGAUUCCUUCGGCGCCGAGCCGCGCACUCUCUCGCGCGCUCUUGUUUACCUGGACACGCCCUCGAUUUGGGUAGGGAAAAAAAUGGUUUUCUUUUCCUUUUCUUGGCACCCUUUCUGUGGCGCCGAGUGGAGGAGCACACGCAGCCGUGGCCAUGGCGAAUUGGCGAUUGGCGAAGAUGGGUGGAGUCGAUGCUGGCCACUCAGUGUUACGGCGUGGCCACGUCACCCGUGCCCAAACUAGGGGGAAGCCUUGCUACCCACAGCCACAAGUACGGUGCCCGCUCCCUGAUCGCUUCGAGUUGGACCACGGGAAAUUUCCAAAUUGGGGAAAUAGAUAGGAUUUGGACUGAACCUUGAGCUUCCGUAAUUAAACACUCCAUACAUUAUCUUCCACCUCCGUGGGACGAGAAAUAUCUAGCUUUCUCUGUCUUUAGUGUUUUUUUUUCCGGGUUGGGAUACUGAAGAUACUCAAAAGAAAAGGCUUGGGCUAGCGUUUGGUUCAGGCAAACUGUGUUAUGAGACGCGCAUGUUGAAAUUUGAUAAGCAUUUUCAAAAAAAUUACCAAAUACUCUCUAAGAAUCCCCAAAAAAUUUCAAUUGUAUCUUAGAAUAUUGUGUUUCUUUGUCAGAAAUAUCCAUUUUUCUAACAAAGCACUAAAGUUAGACAUCAACCAAACAAACUACGCUAUGCUUUUGCGGGUAUAUUGGGUGGCAUGAUUUGAUUCUCACUUAGGAUAAGAACAGAGGAUAAUGGGACCACAGGAAUCUUCUGAGCAGAAUCAACGCCGGCGCCCAGCACUCCUCAAGCCAAGUCACGUCAACCACCCCCUCCACUUCUUUUUACUCUGGGUAGUAUGGUUGACUAAGGAUACAGAUACUUAAGAAAGAUAAUUGUAGGUAUUACCCGCUUGCUUCGGGUACCGGCUUACACAUGGUCUGCCAAGCAUAUCCGGCUAUUAGCUCUACGGCCAAUCCAAACGUGGGGGACUAGGAAGGACGGACAGGGAUGUCACCACCGCCACCUACCCCGAUAGACUGUGGGAAAGAGUAGCAAACAAAGGUGACUUCAAGUCUAGACACCACGUCUACGCUAUCGAUCACUACUUCUAAUCCCGGCAAGACUCUGCCUUAAGACUCAAGUCCUAGGCUAGAAGCAAACAUCCAAGGACAAAUGAUGAUCCCACAAGCGAAUGAUAACUAGAACUUAAACUUGAUAAGUACUCACUGCCGUAGACGAACCCAGAUACUUAAUCAAAAGAGGUUCGUAUCCGCCGAGAUACAAGUAGAGGGAGGCCGACAACUCCGGCUCUCCUCCCAAACUUCUCCACACACUCCCUAACCUACUCUACAAAGUAGCUCUAAAAGGGUGGAGCCCCCCUACUUCUUAUCUUCUCCAAAAUGGUGUGUGUUGAAUGAGGGGGAGAGGGCCUCCUUUUAUAGCCUCCCAGGGUGGUUCCCGCCAUCUUUAAGUAUGGAAACCUUAGCCAUGGCCUUGAGGAAGUGUAGGGGGUAAUCCACGUCAAAGUGCACCUGGACAGGAACACAUCUGGGUUCGGCCGACCCUAGGUGAACCUCCCAGGCUUUGCAUUCCUCUGGUUGGCUGGCAGGUGGGCCCUGGUGUUAAUCCUUGGUGAUUCGUGCCUUGGUGCGCCUGUUUGGUCUGCAAGAUGGGCCCUUGAAUCUGUGUGCCUGCCUCUGAUUGGUUGGAGGUGUGUUUCUUGGCCUCUUGGGUUGUUUGUUCAGGAUGUGGGCCCUCUAAUUCAUGUGCUUGCAUAAAAUGCUCUGAAAUAUACUUUUUUGUUUGUUUGAACAUGGUUUUCCUCUGUAUGCAGACACGUUAGAUAGGUUUUGUUGUGAUUUGGAUCCUAUUUGAGCAGUUUUGUCCACUUUUGCACUUUGUCCCUGUCUUUAUACAUAUUUACGUAUAGGUCCCCGCAAGAAGGAGUUGAUUGACGUCCCGGACGACCAGAAGUACCCAAGAGGCCCAGGAAGACUAUGAAGAGAUGUCAGGUUCAUGCCCAUCUAUAAUCUAAAUACCCAUUAGGCAUUUCUUGCUAGAUAUGCUAUCGCUUUAUUUUCUGUUAUGAUGAGAUGAACCUGCAUAGCCUACUUUUAUGCCUAAACUCCUUGUACUCCUAUUUACCACAUUGGAUCUAUGAGAUGCCUUGCCUUGCAUGUGUAUGUGUGGUAUAUGGUCAAGUAGUCUUGGCGUGAGUGGAGAUACACUUCUGAGCAGUUGGUGAUUAGGAGCUUCUAGCUGGGCCGACUGAAUUAACCUGAUCCUCGGAUCUGGGGCUUGGUGUGUGUUGGGCAGACCCUAUGGAGUACUUGUUGCGGGUACAUUCUUUCUGAUUACUUGUGAUACUUGAGGAGUUUGGGGGCCAUACCUGUAAUGGGUGCCAUCGAUGGACCAUUGCGGCGGAUACACCUUGUGAUGAAGAUACUCACCUCGGCACUUAAAGCUGAGUUAGUGGACCUGGAGAUGGAACUAUAUCAAACAUGCACACCACUUAUCCAUUAUGCAGGUGGAUCCGGUUCGAGCUAGCUACGCACGGCACCAAGCCUAUAGGAGGAUAGGGUAUCAGUGUAAGGGAAGGAGGUGUUGACCUCACGUCUCCCGAGUAGCAGGAUUCUGUGGGAUCCCGGUGUAGGAAGGCUUCAUAGUCCUAGGGCGACCUCUCGCGGGAGAACGCACCCCAAACUCGGUAAAUCAGGAUGGUGGCCGUAGCCGCUAGUUUCAUUACAGUAGACCAGUGUCUCAUCGUUCAGUUAGGUUGCUCCUGGCUGGCUCCGAUUCGAGUGGGUCCAAAUGUACAACCCCUGCAGGGUGAAAACUAUACGUAUAGCCACAUACUCGGUCAUGUACAACUCUUGAUCUAGUUUCACUUUCAUAGAUUAGUGUUACUGAUCUUCUACCUCCCUCUAGUGAUGAAUUCCUUCCUGGGGUAGCUGAGGUGCGAGGAGAGGGAGUUCUCGCACCGACUUGGUGGUUUUGGAAGGUGUGUCUAGACCGGAAACCCGGGAUGUCGGGACAGCCCGUGUUAAGGUGUUUUGGAUGAUGAUAUAAACUCGCUUGCAGCUUGCAUAGGAAAACCCCAGCCUUAUCCUUUGGCUACUUUUUAUACCCUUGCAUUCCACUUAAAGCUUGCAUGCGGAUGGAGACAUGAACCUAUCCCGUCCUUGGCGAUAGUUUGGUAGAUGCAGGAUCCGACCCGAAGAUCAAGCCCGACGAUGAUGGAUGAAACUAGGACAGCCCGUGCUACACUCAAGUUUGCCUGUGGAGGAGAGACACCAAGAUGAAAGAUGACCAGAAGCUUAGUUACUGCUUCCGUUUUCUAUUUAUUUCAUUUAGCCCAAGGGGCGUGUACUAGGAAACUCGUAAUACAAUCAUCUAGAUUAUGUAAUAAUUAAAUCCAUGUUUGAAUCUAUGCGAUGUAUGACUGUGACAUGUAAUUGAAAUAAGUUCUAUAUGCGAUAGCUACUGAUCCAGGGACUACCAACCGGUUCUUUUGAGGCCACUCCCUCUGUCGAUAAGUACUCUGGUGAGCCUGACAUUGGCCACCAAUAGAUCCAGCACAAUGGGAAAUUACCUAACUCAAAGAAGCUAGUCCACUGGUCGUCUCUUGAAAACGAGAUAGGGACCUCUGACCAUUGAAGUGGUCAUGGUACCGCUAGCUUGAUAGACAAUAUCUCGCAGAGUGCAAGCUUUUGAGCUCGUUUGGAGGCGAAGCCGGAUUCACCGCCAAAGAUGACAUUGAUGGUUUUUGAUGUGUCUUGGAAUUGACCAGCUCCCGACUUGUCCUCUGGUUAAUCAUCCUCCUUGUCCAUGCCCUUCUUCUUGGCAUUCUUGUCAAGAGGUGGGCCGUUGAAGGUUCUUCGGAGGUUGUAGCACUCGAUCGCUGAAUGCUUGGCAUCUGGAUGCCAUGGGCAUUGCUUUUGCAGGAGUUUCUCGAAUUGCUCCUGCGCCAUUCCCCGACAUCUUGCCUCAUGGGGGACAGUCGACAGCCGUGACGAGCUCGUCUGGCUUGUGCUUUCAGGAAGAUCCCGAGUAGUCCCGCUGGCUUCCCUGCUUGUUGUUGUUGUAAUCAUUGCCACGCUUCGUAAAGCGGUCGCACUCCUACUCCUCUUGAUCAGCCCAAGCUUGCAUCAUGUCACGGAGCCCGCAACGAUCUUGGGUUGGUUGUGGCCAUAGUCUCUAAAGAGAGUUUGGUCGGUGAUGCCAUUAUGGAAGCAGCCGAUGAUGUCUUGCUCGAAGAUGUUGGCGAUGGUGGUGCGAGUGUCAAAAAAGUGGCAAGUGUAGGAUCGUAGGAGCUCAUUACAUUCCUAUUUGCACUGCGAUAGAUCGUGAUGAGUACCUACUCGAGUGAUAUCGCCUUGGAAGUUGACGGUGAAGAUAGCUUUCAGGUCAUCCCAGGAGUCGAUCAAGUCUUUUCUAAGGCUCUUCAGCCAUGUGAGGGGAGCGGUCUCUAGCACCAUGGGGAAGUGGACGACCUUGGUGGUGUUGGAGCCGCCCCGACUUCUAUAGUUGUAGAGUAGCACCUAAACACAGUUGAGGAGCUUGCUUGCCGUCGUACUUGGUGAUGCGGAUCGGUUUGAAGCCCUCUGGGUACUGGUACUAAUUGAAUCGGCAUGUGAACGCUGGGAAGCGAUCACUAUCAUCCGAUGCGCGAUAUCCUUGCUUCACAUCUCGCUCUUCACGCUAGGCUUUAAUGAUAGAGCGGGCGUCGCGCCCCUCAUUGAUCUUCUAGCGAAGGUCGUCCGUCGGUAGUUCCUCGAGUCGUUGGUUGUGACUGCUGGCGGGACGCUGCCAUGGCGGUUGAUUAACAUGGUUGUUCUGUUUUCAUGGCCGGGGUCUCCCACCUGCAUUGCGGCUACCUUGUGCAGCGUCAUUGUUUCCUUCAUUGCCUCCUCGGUGUUGACAAAGACGUCCUCCGGGUGUCCGACUAGCCUAUGGUCAUUGACUGCGACUCUCGCCCAUUUGUUCUUCAUUAGCCGGCAUCGAUGGAGCUGGAUUCUGGCGGUCGAGAUGUAGCCAUGCCUUCUGAGCCAGUUGCAGACCUUGCUGCGCAUGUGGUUAUUGGCUGGCGACCAGAAUGGCCGUGACACCUGCGAUGUUGGCGAUCAGGGUUUGGAAACCCCGCUCCUCAGCUGCCGCAAACUCGGCAUUAAGGUUGCAUCGUGCUCUGCAACCGGUGCGCUUUUGGUUCCUCAACCUGUGGGCAUCACGCUCAUCAUUCUCAUUGCUGGCGUCAACAGUGAGCUCAUCCCUAGAGAUUUGUCCGAGCAGCUCGUUGGGGUCGUGGUUGCUCUCCUUUCUCCACCUUCGCCAUGUAGACGUGACGGUGCGAGGAGUGCUCAUCGGAGCUGUAGUUGACCAGAAGGUUCUCUUCCAUGAUGGCGGAGAGGGACCUGCCUUCUUGAAAAGGCAGUAUGUUACGGUGCGCCACAAGAUGAGCGCCGUCUUUAGAGGGUUUCAUGCCCUUCCAAUGCAUGAAGUGACCUUUUGGUGUUGAGGUGAUCACCAGACCCUGAUUAUCGCCCAUGAAAGGCUCCACGUUGUCAUCAGAGUCCGAGUCAUAGUCAUCGAAGAUCGGGGCCUCCCGACAUGCGGUGGUCCCGACUUCUUCGAUCUUGAGUAGGCCAUCGAAGUCCUUCUCCGAUGCAGAGAGGAACUUGGAUUGUAUGGCCUCCUGAUAUACAGUGGACGCGUUGUGCAACCCGAAUGAGAAUCAGGUAUGCUGUCCCUCCGACUGAAUUGAAUUCGAUUCGAGGAAGCUUGGUGCAACACAGGUCGAAGUCGCGUAAAAAACAGACUGCUUCUUGAGAUCCCCGAUGAAGCCAGGGAGCAACAUCUCAUCAAGAUUAUCGAUGAACUUGUCGAGUUCGCUGCGUUUGGUUGCUGUGGGGCCUCCGGCUUCAUGUUGUCGAUGAGGUGCCGAUAGAAAUCGCCUGCACCGUCAACGACACAAACCCACGAGUCGAAGAUGAAAGUUGUGCCCUCUAGGAGCACGGCGCUGUUGAAGUUGAACGUUGCCAUCGAGUUAUCUGGUGGAUCUUCAAUGAACACCCGUGUGCCAGCUGUCAGUGUUUUACUGCCAAGCCCACCGAGGGAUACCCCCGAGGUGGUAGGUUGUAGGUAGGAUGUCGCCGAGAUCAGGAACUUGAAUGUGCAAACAACAUAAGAUUUAGACAGGUUUGGGCUGCAAUGUGCGUAAUACCCUACGUCCUGUAUGGUGGUUUGUAUUGCCUUGGAUUUGUUAUGCUUUGGAGAGGGUCCCUGCCCGCCCUUAUAUACUCUUGGCGGAUAGAGUUACAUGGAAUUCUAGUCCAAUACUAGCUUAGAAGUCCUACUCGAGUACUACUCGGGUAGUUUCCUUCUGUUCCAACUAGUUCUACUUGCGUGCGAGUAGUUACAACAAAUGUAAGGUAUGGAACAUGCCUCAACCCUUACUCUUGAAUAUUCUAUGCUAUGUGCGCAGUCCAUAGCCCCUGGUCUGACAGACUCCUAAGCUCGUAUCUGGCUAGGAUUCUUUGUAACCCUGUCCCCCCAGACUAUAUAAGGGCGAGCAGGGACCCCCUCGAAAGAGAACAACCACCAUAAAACCCUAAGGCAACACAAACCACCACAUAGGAUGAACGGUAUUACGCUCCUUGCAGCCCGAACCUAUCUAAAUCUUUGUGUUUCUUGCACCUUCGAGUUCCUGAUCUUGACGACACAUAACCUAAAACCUACCACCUCGAGGUAUCCCUUGGUGGGCUUGGCGGUAAAACACGGACACAACACAACAUAAUAUUACAUGAAUAUGGCUAAUAAUCAAGUUUUGGGGUAAUGGAGACUAGUUGGUGUCCCCAAAUAUGUCGUUAGAUUGGAAUUCCAUGAGCAUAUCAUCAGUGCUGAAUAAGUCCCCCAACAGUGAUGGGAUCUUCUCAUCAUUAUUUUCCUUAGGAGUAUCCUUGGAGCAACUGGCGUCAGUACAUUCAAUAGUGAAGUGUGCUUCAUACUUGUCCUCUUGAACUUGUUUGCUAAUAGAUUUCUAGUAGAGUUCAACCAAACGCUUGGCAGUGUGGCACUUCUUAGUGAUGUGGUUGUUACAUCCACACCUUUGACAAACUUGACAGUUGUCAUGGUGAAAAUUUUUCUUUGGAAGUGCCUUUGCCUUUAUGAGAAUCCUUGUUUUUCUGAUAAUGAUGCUUGUUUUUGUUGUUCCAUUUUCCCUUGAAAUUCUUUUGAAUUUCUUGGCAUUGAAGUUCUUUUGAGUGUUCUGAUUAUUGUAAUGAACUUCAAGCAGAGGUAAUGUGCCCACAAGGCGCAUUUGAUGAUUCUUUGUUAAGGGUUCAUCAUAUUUUUCUGUUUGGAGUAAGUCGUAUAUAAAGUCAAAAUAUUUGCAUAGUUGUGGCCGCGGUAUUGCUGUUGAAAUAACCUAUUUGUAGGGAGAAAUGUAGACAACAUCUUUUCCAUCUUUUCUGCAUCAUUAAGCGGUUGAUCAAAAAACUGAAUCUUGGAACAAAUCUUGUGGACGACAGAGUUAUAUUCGGCAAUAGAUUUGAAAUCCAUAAGACGAAAUAGAGACCACUCUCGCCUUGCUUCGGGCGAAAUGAUUGCCUUCUGUUGAUCAUAGUGUUCCUUGAGUGCAACCCAAAGUGCUCUAGGGUUCUCUUCCAUCAUAUAUUCAUUCUUGAGAUCUAGGUGAGAUGGUGUCACAAGAAAUAUAGUGUGGUUUAUUUAGCUUCAUCUGAAAUUGGGGCUUGUGGAUUUGGCUCUUCAAUUGUAUUAUUGAAGCCUGUUAGCAUGAUUUUUACAUCCAUAAGCAAGUCAGAUAGUCGCUACCAUCUGCUGCAAGUUCAGCAAAAUCUUUGUUGACUAAAUAAGCCAUAUUCCUACAUGAGAGAUCAUGUAUAGGAUUAAUUUACUGCGGUAAACUAAAUAACAUGUGAUGUGUAAAUUUAUGCAAAAUAAUGAAGUCAAGAUGAUUCUUGCAACAUAAUUAAGGUAUAUUGCAUGUAAUAGUGCAACUAUUUUGUUUGUAUUCCUACGGAAAUUAAUAACUUGAUAGUCACAAUUGAUACAAAUUUCAUUAUAUAGAAUAUUUUGGAUAUACAUAUUGUAGGUAAUCAUCAUAAGAUGUAGACCUCUCAGUAAUGGGCAAGUAACUUGCUGCCUAAAAGCAUGAUCUCAGAGCAAAUAAAUUAUUGCAGCCGAUGUUUAGGUCUGCAUCACCUUUGUGUUUUUCCAAAAAUUCAGAUUUAUAUACCUUAAUUUUCAUUUUGCAUAUUGCUACAUGAUGUAGAAUAUAAAUCCAGUGCCAUAUUUGUAAAGAUACAAAUAAAAUAAAUAGCACAUGAAAAGAUUGUUCUAAGGUAAUAUUUGCAUAACCAUUAUGAGAUCUACAGAUCACAUAAUGUACACUUACUGUAGUAAUCAUAGCAUUCAUAUUACAUCGGUGCUAGCUUCCAAACCGGAUGGUCUCGAUAGCUAUUUACAACAUUUGUGCAAAUCCAUAAUAGUCGGAGGAGUAAAACAGAACAAUCUAAGACCUUAAAUAAAAAACAUGUAGGACUGGAUAGUCUAAGCAUGUAAAUAGAUAGAAAUCUCGGGCCAUUUUGUAAAAACUCAUGGGACAGAGGAGGGCUUGGUUCGGCUCGGCUGGUGGCCUAGCUCGGCCUGCAACUGCUCGCCUGCUGUGGCAUGGCUUGGCUCACUACGGGCUGGCUUCGGUCAGCCUGCUGGCUGCUCGGGUCGGGUCGGCCUCUAGGUCUGCGCGGCCUGCUUGUGGCCCGGUUUGCGGGCCGUUGUGGCUGGCCUAGGGCAGCCGAGUCGAGGCCAGCCUGUAUAGAAGGGGCGGAGGAGCGGUUAGGGUUUGCCCUAAACCGCUCCCUCCUCUUGAGCCGCCACCGUCGACCGCGUGCGCCGCCGCCUCCGCUUUGCCGCGUGCUGGUGCAAGUCGUGCGCCGCCUUGGGAUGUGGCUCCGCCUCCCCUCCUCCUCUUAUUGCGCCACUUGCACCCUUAUGUGCCGGCCCUUUCCGGCUAUCGGCCUUAGCUAGCUGAUUCAAUGGUCGGAGGGGAGCCCCAGCGCGACGGGCUCCAAGUGCCACGCCAGAUUCUGGGGCAGUGGUCCACAACCGCUGGUGGAGAGGAGGCCAUCGUGGGAGCGGGCGCUGCUGAGGGCGGCGCCACCAUGGCAGUGGAGGGGCGAGUUCUGCAGGUGCGGGCGCCACCGCCGAUGACGGCCAGGUGGGCGCUGCUGGAGCUUGCUGUGCCACCGAUGGCAGCCGAGCAGGUGUCGGUGAUGAGUCGGAUGGCGAGGUAUCCAACAUCCCUAGCCGUCGUUCAAGUGCCAUCCGUGGCCACCUCAGAAGCGACAGCCACAACAAGCACUUCAGCCAUGGUGUCCCGCAUGGCAACGACCAUGGCUCAGAAGAAGUGGCUAUUCCUGUUGCGGAAGUAGUGGCCGGGGUGGCAUGCAGUUCAUUGUUGGCGGCCACCAAGCGGAACGAUGAGAAAUCCAUCAUCGAGUGCAAAGAAAUAUAAGUUUGUCGGGUCCAUACUUACCCAACGAAUGUGAGGCCUGCCGGCCUCUGCCUUCUUUCUUGUGCCUAGGGAGAACAACGCGACUGAUAACGUUUUGAGAGUGAAAGUAGAAGAGAGAUGAAAGUGACUUGUGUAUUCCAUUGAUAGAGGACCACUGUUUAUAUACAUGCCCAAAGGGUCAAGGCAAGGCCGGACUGGAGGGGGGCAAGGUGGGCGACCGCCCUGGGCCCCCAAAUGCAUGGGGCCCCCACAUAUGUAUGCAAAAAAAUAUAGCAACAGCCCACGUCCAUGUAUUAAGGCCCAGCAGGUUUGUUUGAGGCCCAGGUGGCUAGGUGUAUUAGAGUUCUGAAGUAGGAUAUUAGAAGUUCAGAAGACGUCUCACGCCGCGGCCAUCGUUUCGUCUUCUUGUUUGCUUGUUACUCGGCGACGCGGACGGCGGAUCUCACUGAUCGCUCUUGCCUCCAAUAGUCCGAUCCCAAAACUCCCCGCAACACGCUCCACUAAUCUCAUCGCUGAUCGCUGGUCAUUCAAUUGAUCGUGUGCGGCGGCCUUCUGUAGUCCAGCUCCGGCACGGUGCAGAGACCAGGACAGGAAGCCAAUCAGGUCUGAAGCCGAUUCAGAUUGGUACGUGCUGCGUACAAGUUCUUCACUGCCUUGCUAACUAAUUUAUCACAUGUUCAUCUUUUCUAAUUAGUGCCUUGCUAACUGAUUUGGCUACAAUUGCUCUUUUCUAAUUAUCACAUGUGUUUGUUUUUAUUUUCAGCUCUUUGUGAUAUACUAAUAUCAUGUCAUCAAGAAAGUAUCCAUCUGGUAGCGAAAAGAGGAAAAGGAAAAAACAUGCAGAUGACUUUAUAGAAACACAAAGAGGAGCUAUGAAUAAAUUUUUGAAGAUUAAUCCUAGUGUUUCGACGAACCCAAAUAAUGAAUUGGCGAUCGUUGCUGUGGAGGAAGAGGAACCGGCUGUUAGGAUUUCUGAAGAAGAGGAAAAUAUCGACAUCAACGUCGAUGAUAACAAUGUAAGUGGCCCUGAUAAUCCAUCUAAUUCAUCACCUGCACAAGCACAGUCUGCUAGUCUUGAUGAGGAGCCAUUUUAUACUCCUGAAAUUUAUGAUCCGAUAAAUUGGGAUAAUCUUGAUAAUAAAGCAAGAGAUAUAUUAGUUGAGAAAGGGCCUGUAAGAGAACAAGGUAUUGAAUUCCCUCUAGAUAAUGCAUCAAGACAUUUUUCAUAUGCUCAUUAUUACAGAAAAUUAAGCAAUGGAGAGGUACAUGAUAGAAAAUGGCUAGUUUAUUCAAAGCAUGUUGACAAAGUUUUUUGCUUCUGUUGUAAGGUCUUUAAGUAUCUCGGUAACAAGAGUCCAAGUUUCUUAGCACAAGAUGGAUAUAGAAAUUGGAGGCAUAUCAGUGAGAAGCUUAGAGAACAUGAAAAUAGUGUUGAGCAUAUUAGCAAUAUGAACAAGUGGAAUGAACUACGGACUAGAUUGCAGAAAGAGGAAACUAUUGAUAAAGACUUGCAGAAGCAAAUUAAUAAGGAGAAAGAACGUUUGAGGCAAGUUUUGCUAAGAAUAAUAGCAAUUGUAAAAUUUCUUGGUAAACGCAACUUGGCUUUUAGAGGAAGCAUUGAGCAACUUUACAGUGGUAGUAAUGGCAAUUUUUAGCCUGUGUUGAGAUGAUUGCUGAAUUUGAUUUGGUAAUGCAAGACCAUCUUAGACGUAUUCAGAACAAAGAAAUGCAUUACCAUUAUCUCAGUCCUAAGAUUCAGAAUGAGUUGAUAGUUCUUUUGUCUUCUAAUAUUACAAGGUCUAUCAUAAAGGUUGUUAAAGAGGCCAAGUAUUUCUCUGUUAUCUUGGAUUGUACUCCUGAUGUCAGUCAUCAAGAACAAAUGACUUUGUUAGUUCGUUGUAUUAAUUUGUCCAAUGGAAAAAUAAAUAUCGAGGAGUACUUUUUGGGGUUCUUGAAUGUGGAUGACACAUCUGGUUUGGGGCUUUUCAAUGUGUUGCUUGAUUCUAUGAAGUCAUUUGGCCUAAAUAUUAAUGAUAUAAGGGGUCAAGGCUAUGAUAAUGGUUCCAAUAUGAAAGGCAAACAUCAGGGGGUGAAAAAGCGGCUGCUUGAUAUUAAUCCAAGAGCAUUGUAUAUGCCAUGUGCUUGCCAUAGUCUUAAUCUUACUCUUUGUGAUAUGGCAAAAUCUUGUGGGAAAGCUGUUUCAUUUUUUGGGAUUGUUCAAUGCAUAUAUGUGUUAUUUGCUGGUUCAACCAAAAGGUGGAAUGUUUUGUGUAAACAUGUUCCCACUUUUACUCUGAAAUCAUUGUCAAAUACUCGUUGGGAGAGUCGAAUCUCAAGUAUUAUAGCAAUAAGAUAUCAAGCAAAGGAGUUAAGGUCUGCUUUGUAUGAGUUAAGUCAUUCUUCUGAUAUUGAACCUAAGGACAAAAGUGAUGCAAAAAGUUUAUUUGAUGCACUUGGCAACUUUGAGUUUCUGCUUGGUAUGGUUAUCUGGCAUGAUAUUUUAUAUUCUAUAAACAAAGUGAGUAAGAAAUUGCAAUCGCCAGACAUGUGCAUUGACUCUGCUUUGAAUCAAAUACAAGGUAUGGUGCAGUACUUUGAGGCAUACAGAAAUGAGGGGUUUUCUUCUAGUCUGAUCAUUGCAAAAGGCAUUGCAACUGAAAUGGGUGUAGAGGCAUUGUUUCCUAUAAAACGUCGUGCCUUAAGAAAGAAACAGUUUGAUGAAAAUAAUUGUGAAGAAGAAAUUCUAGAGGGUGAAAGGGCUUUUGAAGUGAAAUAUUUUUUGUUUGUAGUUGAUAUGGCAAUCACUUCAUUGAAAACCAUAUUUGAAGAACUCAUGGUGUUCAAAGAUAUAUUUGGUUUUUUAUUAAGCUCAACUAUCCUGAAGUCAUUGAAUGAUACUGAACUAGAAGAGUCUUGCACCAAAUUUGCAAACACUUUCUCUCAUGAUGGUUCAUCUGAUGUUGAGGUACAUGAUCUUAUUUCUGAGUUGAAGAUUUUAAAAUUUACUCUACCAGAUGGCAUAUUGUUUGCUAUGCAGAUAUUUGAGCAUGUCAGAGAUUUAGAUUGUUAUCCUAAUGUCUCAAUUGCUUAUCGGAUAUUAUUUACUAUUCCUGUGACCGUUGCAUCAGCUGAGAGAAGCUUUUCAAAAGAAUUUGUUGGAUGAGAUUGAUCUCAAUGGUAUAAUCGAUGACUUUGUAUCACAAAAUGUUAGAAGAAAUUUUUAGCAUGCUAUCAUGUAACAAGUAAGGGUUUAUAACUAUACUUUAUAUUUGUUAUCUUAUAAACUUUAAAGCAUUAUAAAAAAUUAUUGAAUGUUUAAUAAUAUGUGUUUAUUAUUAUAUAUAUAUAAAUAUAUAAUAUAUACACAUAUUGAUAGAUGGGCCUCCAUAUUGGAUUUCGCCCUGGCCCCCCAAAAAGUCAGGAACGGCCCUGGGUCAAGGGCCCAAGGGACACCCCUUCGGGAUUGGCCCUUUCGUAAUUUGUAAGCAACUAAUGUGAUGUCAUUAAUCACUAAUUAACUAACUAUAAUAAAUUGAUCACUAAUUCUGAUUUUCUUCAUAACAAAUUCUACUCUUCUUGCAACAAUAGCAUACAAGUCAUAUCUGAAUUCUUCAGAAUUACGAGAGCAUUCACAGGGAACUCAUGGACCAAACAAUCACUGCCUCUCCUAUGCACUCCAGCAUUUUUCUAGAGCUUGAACCAAACAUAACUAUCGACAAUUGGAGGUCUAACCAGGUAAUUUUGCAAUCAAUGAAUAGAUUUGCAUGAUUUCAGGACUCCUCCAUGACCAAUGAGGCCCACUCUUUGGCUAAGCUAUCAUUUGGUCGUACUUCUUUUUUUAUGAAGUUUCAUGUCUUUAUUAAUCUCAAAGUAGUUAAAUUUUGAAACCUACAUCUCUAAUCUAAUCUUUAUUGUUUCUUGUUUAUUCUUCAGGCAUCAACACCUUCCCCUGUUCUCUCUUUAUGAAGUCAGAGAGGUUCUUCAUUCCAAGCAAGCAGGACUGACAUAGGAUCUUUUUCAGGAUUGUAAAUAAUCCUUUUAUUUUCAAAAAAACCGUAUUCCUUGAUAUUUGCACGUUCUCACCGAGGCCAUACGUAUCCCCAUCACAUACGGAGUACUAAGCGCUACGCUUGUACGUACACAUGUCGGAUUUUGAACGUAUAAAACACCGUAGGCUUACACCACGACGCAUGACACAAAACGUGGCAGUAGACGGCGCGACGCCGCGUUCCGGCGCGCCACAAGGAAGGCCGCCCCUCCGCCGCUGCCGCCAUCCCCUCCCUCACCAGGGCCGCGCGCGCUCGCCUCCACCUUGCAGGAUCCCCGCGCCGCCACGGCCGGCACGCCGCCGCCGCGCACACGUCCGUCCACUCGGGCGCCGGUGCUGACCGACUCGCUCAUCAUCGUCAUCGCGGCCUUGCGGUUCCCUCCCGUCGUGCGGGGCGCGGCGAGCACGGCGGCGGACGACGCCUCCUGGCUCCGGAGCCUCCGCCGCCAGGGUAGGAGCUGCUGGGCCGCCCUCUCGGGCAAUGCCGUCGAUGCGAAAAAGCAAAUGCUCGUGCUGCGGACGAAGGGUAUGUUUAUAUAUGUAGCUCGCGGCGGCGGCGUGGAUGGCAAGGGAGUUCUGGUGGGUGGUUGUCUCGUGGAUGCGGCAUGCAAACUGAUGCAUCGUCGUAUUUGUUUAUUGGCAGCAGGUUAUAAGCUCUGGACCUCCGGUUAAUUUCGUUGUGUGGUUGGAGUUGGAGCGAGUGCUGGAGCGGUUGAAAGCGUGGCGCGCUUCACGCCUCCGCGCCGCGCGCGGCCGCCGGCGCCGUUCAUGCCUCCGCUAGUAAGGACAGAUUUUGGCUCUGCGUCCCUGAAUGCAUCUCACUGGCACGUAGGGUCCAACUUGUGAGAGAAGUUAGUAUGAGAGUGGUUUUCUAAUGUAAAUUUCAUAGAGAAACUCCAACAAAAAUCCUACUUUUGCCUUCCUGUUGGGCUCAAAUGAGGACCUCCCAUCCAGUUCUCUCUCCUAUAUUUUACAACGGACUUGCUAGCGUCCGGAUGUCCGAUGUCCGGGGCUAGCAUUGGAUGGUAUUCAUAUGGUAAAACUCUAUCCAUCACAAAAUUGCAACAUAAAAAAAUAGCAAAUGCAACAUGAGAAAAUAGCAUCUGCAACAAAAAUUAAUAAUAAUUGCAACAUUCAAAAAGUGUACUAAAAAACUUCUCAGCCAUCCGACAAGAAUUGAAAAACCCGCCGCAACAUGUGCGUCGUGUUGCUUGAAACGUCCAAUGUAGUAGCAUCAAAAAAUACAACAUCCCAAACUAACUACUGCAACAUGUGGGAGCAUUUUGUGCAACAUACUGGAACAUCACGAAAAAAAACCAUCUAACAUCGAAUUGUCAUCUCAUAAAAUAUUCAAAAUUUCUUCAUAAUUGCAGCUUUAUAGAAAAGCUAUAAUAAAAACGGAUUGAAAUAUUUGCAACACCUCGAAUCAACUAGUGAAACUUUACAAAGCUAUCUAUUGGAGCAUCCCGAAUCAACCAUGCAAUAUCAAAAAAUACCAGCUACCCCCUUUAGAUUUGAUCGACCUUUCUGCUAAAAGUACCCAGUUCAACAUCAACAAAGAAGUUAUGCAACAUUAUAGAUCAACCAAUGAAACAUCUCAAAUCACCGUGCAGCAUCAAAAAAAAAAUAUUACUACAACAUCACAAAUUACCUACCGCAACAUCAUUAAAUCAACUAUGCAUCCUAGUGGUCGAGAAACAGAGGAGCACCGACAUGUCCUCAUCGUGCUCGAGGAUGAGCACAUCGCUUAUAGAAAGCAAGCAGCAUGCAGCUACUCCGGGCAUAAGGACCUGCAACAUGACAAAAGCAAAAAUCACAAACACAUAAGACCGUGCAGCCACAAUAGUAGCACUGUUGGCCGUCUUAUCUCAAUAAACUCGACCUUCAAUAUUGUAUGAAAUAAACCUUUUUUAGCAAUAAAACUUUAUCUAACAAGUUUCAUAAGUUUUGAUGUUUACUAGUAUGCAAUACUAUUUUUUAGCAAUAAGCCUCUAUCUAACAAGUUCCAUAAGUUUUGAUGUUUACUUGUAUGUAGUACUGUGGCAGACAAAUUUAGACCAAAAUGGCUAAAAUGCUAGUUUGGCCGGACUCGCUUGGUUCGGCCAAAUUGGGCAUGAGUCUUCUCGCAGUGAUCUUCAACCAUGCAAGGAAACACGCUUGGAAUCAUUGUGAAGUAUGGGAUAUAUAACGGUUUGAUCCUAAUGACCUCAUAUCACCAUGUGGAUCAAUGAGCCAAAAAAGCAAGAACACCGAACUUACGUGUCCACCAACCUAAGGAGGCAAUAUAAUCUAGGAGUCCACGAAGCAAGGCGGUGCAUCAGAGAGUCAACUGAGCUAGGUAUGGUUCGAUCGAACUAGCCUUGGCGCAAAUGGACCCAGAACUCCGUUGUUUCGAUCACCAAGUAUUAGUUAGCGCCGCGCUUCUCUCCGUAGCUCGAUGGCUAACACUCAAAGACAAGGAUUUAGACAGAUUCGGGUGACUGCCCUGCGUCCGGUAGGAGUGGUGUUCUUCAUGUUCUUUGCGUUCUGAGUGUUGGUGCUUACAAUGGGGCGCUUAACGGGGCACUUUGUAAGCGGUGAGUGUUGCGUAGAGUUCGGAUCAUGAAAGAGAAGGCCCAGCUCCGCCUUAUAUUUCUAGCCGGCUGGGCUACAAUGCGUGAGAGAGAGGGGGUUCCUCGCCCCCCGGGUUUGGCUUCCUAGGAAGGAGGUCAGGAGUAUCACACGUGUCUUGCUGGGGCCCUCGGGUGAUCGUGCUCCGCCUCGUCCCGAAGCGAAGUCCGCCCUGUCCGUGGCGCCGCUGGACGUGUCCUUGGUCCCAUUCACGAUCCCUGUGGUAGGGGAUGGCGCCGUCGUACCUGCGGCACGCCAUCCUGGUGCAUCGGGAGCAGGCCUCUUGUCCAGUUGGUAGGGCCAGCCUCCAUCGCGGUGGUCAGGAGGCCGGGUGCCCUGUUACCAUUGCUGCCGGCUUGAGGCGGGGCCUGCUAGCUCGACGCGCCUGCCUCUCCCUCCACUGUCAAGAGGUUGACCCGGUACGAUCUGUCCCGUUGACCUGACGGAGGGGGGUGUGACCGGCGCAACGCCGGUUGCGGCGUCAUGAUUGCCCGACUGACUAGGGGUUCCCCGCCGGUCCUCCGGUCCAUAGGCGGUGACCCUACCCUGGAUGUCGGUUGAGGGGCAUGCAUGCACGUCUUGUCAAGCUAGCGCAAUUAAUGCCUCCUCGUUACUUCCCCGAGGGAUCUCGGGGUCGGGCUCCACCCCGGGGUCGGCACGGGGCACCCGAUCCCGCACGGCUCGCUACGGGUCGGCAAAGCGCCACGUGUCCGGGGCCUUGCUGUUGGGCCUUUGCGUCUUCUCCCAUUGAUGGGCCGGUGCUGGCCGUGUCCCCGGCGGGCCGGGCUGCCCGACAGUGGAAGGCUAAUUCCCGCUUAGGCCCUUAAGGAUUUUUUUGAGGUACCCGUAGUUCUUAUCCCUGUCACGCCUUGAACUGUGAGGCAUCGACUCCUGGAAAGCAUCCCCGUUGUGCACGUGGCAAGUCAGUGGGAUGUACGCUUCGGCCAAAUCCAUCCAGUUCAGCCAAAUUGGGCCCGCCAAUCACCUUGCGAAACCAAACCAAGCCAAAAUGAUAGCUAAAGCAACCUAGUUCCCACCAAAGUGAAGUGGGAUCAAAGCGAAAUCAAAACCGUUGUACCCAGAUUCCACCGAACCAUUAGCGGUUACAUUUGGGUACGACUGAUUAGUGCAUUUAAUUCUUCAUGCGCAGCGAUCUCAGCUGGUACUGUGCUAACAGGGUACUUAGAUCCAAGUGUUAAUAUUCAAAAGUGCUAAAUUUUAGUACUAGCCUUUCCAAACAGUAGUGCUAAUAGGGUGGGUAAGACUUUAGACAAGAUUUAAAAAAUUUUAGCAAAAAUAUAAGUGCUAAUAGGUGAUAAAGUUUAGCAUUCAACUUUAGCCUAUCAAAAGAGGUGCUAAAUAAGAACUGAACUCCCUUUUCAUGGUCAUUUCAUUGUUUGCGCAUACAGAAACGAUUGGAACGUCAUUUCUGAAUUCUGAUGCAAACGAAGAACGAACAGGUCUGUACUGUUCCUACCAUACACUACGGUUUCCAAAAAUCGAACCUUAUAUACUACACGGUUUGUAAAGGAAAGAAGCAACACAGACACCUUCCGCCGUGGAGGCAUCACCACAGGCAGGCAUGCACGAUUCUUUUCCGCUGAGGUUGCGAACCAGCUGGCCAGUCGGGAACCAGAGGCCCAUGGCGUCCGCGACGACGUGCCUCUUCUCUUCUUCCAAGGACGGCAUGGCGGCGGAGACGAGCCGGGGCCAGAAGUGCUAGCGGUCGCAGGGACCGAGCAUGUGCGUCGUCGCCAGGGACAGGCCCCGCCUCUUCCCUUUCGCUCGGUCAAGUCAAUGGUAGUGGCAUCGUCUCGGCGAGUACUACAGGCAUUCAUGCAUGCCAAAUUGUGGACCCUGAAUUAUUGCACUGAUGACAGUGCCCAAAAGCCUGCAGCCACGGCUCGGCGGAGCCGGGCAACGGCGCAAGGCGUGCUCGCAGUCUCAGGCCAAGGCCUAGGCCCCGCAAUGGUAGUGGCAUCGUCUCGGCGCUGGAUGCCUGCCAAUGUCGACCGUGAAUUAUUGCACUGAUGGCACUGCCCAAAGCCUGCAACCACGGCUCGUACGUACUGACCUCCUCCCAGAGCACAGCACACCCAUCCCAAACCAUUUUCACCUUCUUACCGUUACUGAUUGUGCCUGCUGAGUGGUAAUUGAUACUAUCAUACAUUUGUGCCUAUGUAGAUAAGACAUCACACACUGUUCUUGUACUGCUCAUACUCUACUUAGGCUUCAGAAGCUAGCUGUUUAUUUCUUGAGAUGACGGUCGUCGAACCGUCUUCUAUUAGUGUUUGGUUGGGCUGUUUUAUUACGACGUAAUCAGAUUGUUGAGUUGGAUUCCAAAUUUAGUUGCACAAAAAAUGCCGACCUGUGGCGGAGCGUAGCGGAGGCCCAUCGCCGGAGUCCUGGGCUGGAAGCAAAGCGGAGGCACAAGUGGCCCAUGUGGUUCGACCCAGCGUCGCCUGAGGGGGGUUGCGGGGGGCAGCGCCCCCCCCCCCCCCGCGGUACACAUUAUAUACCCGAUUAGGUUUCCCCUUGAUGACAAUCUUCUUGUAAGCUGUCGCACGGCGUUGUAACCCGACUUUUGAUAUAUUGAAGUUCUUGCUAACCACUUCCGCAUUGGUUGGGUUUUCCACGUUAAAUCUCGUGUCCCCUUUUCGGGUUGAUCCGUUUACUUUCAUCGUUUAUUCGUCAUCGUUUAUAACACAGAUCACGCUGCAAUACGUUUACAUUAAUUUGUAUUUGGUUGAAGCGCUACGUAAUCAGCUAGCACGGGACCUGAUACGGGCUAGUACAUGGUGGAUACGGCUUCAUAUAUCUCAUAUCUAAUACCAUCGUAUUUAUCGCUCGCUGCUGUUACUGCAUGCAUGCAUACGUCGGCAUCACCGCUGUUACUACUGCACUCUCCCUGCGCGUGCUCUCUAAUCUGAUCACCCCUCUUUCCAUUAGUGUUACAGUCUCGAAACCAAACAAAGCCUGUUUUCUCUUGCUUUGUUAACGAUACCCUUGCUAUCUGUUUAUGUUUGCGUUACAAUUUCUGAACCAAACAUGUCGUUCCAAGCUGGAAGGGAAAAAAAGCAGCACAUCCACGGUAGUACACGUUACUGCGUGCUUGCAGGGGCCUGGGGCCAGGUCGCCCAUGUGCAUCCAGUCAGUGGCGAGCUCGUUAGUUUGUGAAUGCGCGUGCAGCACGCGCUGGUGUCUUCGCGUUCACUUGCAUUUCAUCUACUGGUAGCCAGUUCACUUGUCACCUGCCACUACCAGCGCGCUAUGCUGCAACCUCACUCGCAUGCCCGCGCGCGCGUCUACUUCAAUCUCUCCUCUAACUAGUGAGCUGAGCUCGAUCUCUGUCUCAUCAAGGAUCCCCUCGACCGCAGCAGUUCCUUGGAUCUUCGGCCGUGCCUGGCCCGCAUUUCAAAUCUUGCGAGAAAUCACGGAUGGUUUCUCCGAGGAGCGGAAACUUGGGCAAGGAGCAUUUGGAGUUAUUUACAGGGUAAGCCUCGGUCAUAAUUUUUCUUCAUGGAGUAUGGACAAAUAUAUUCUCAACAAGUCUGGCCAGCACAAUGCGAGUGCUUUGAAACAAUAUAUGGUGUUAUUGCAUACAGUAAAACAACAAAUAUAAGAAGUAGAAACAGGGUCAACUUGUACUGGGUACUGACCAUAUAUGUUUGGCAGGGAGUGACUAGAAACGGAGAUGAUGUUGCUGUGAAGUUGCUUCCCAAAUCCAGUCAAGACUAUGGGCCGUUAAGAAAUGAGUUCUAUAACCUCAGGAAGCUUAAUCAUCAGAACAUUGUACAGGUUCUGGGGUAUUGUUUUGAAACAGAGCAAAAACCUAUCAUGCAAGGUGGAAUUAAGGUGUUUGUUGAUGAGAUACGUGGAGCGCUUUGCUUGGAGUAUAUGCACAAUGGCAGCCUUCAACAGCAUCUUUCUGGUACGCUGCUACCCUAUUUUCAGUAUGUGUAUAUUGUAACAAUACUUCUUUAUUUGCAAUUGAUUAAGAAUCUUUUUGUUUACUGCUGCAGAUGAGUUCUCUGGACUUGAAUGUCACACACAAAAUAAUCAUGGGGACUUGUGAGGAUCUAAAUUAUAUUCAUGAGGAGCUGAAAGAACCUAUUUACCACUUGGACCUAAAACCUGACAACAUAUUGCUAGAUAAGGACAUGGUGCAAGAUUGCUGAUUUUGGUUUGUCCAGGAUCUUUCGUGAAGAACCAACACGAAUCACACAAAAUCCUUAUGGAACACAGUAAGCUAAAAGUCUCAGCUGAACAUAUAAUUUUUCUAAUCGUACAAAUUAAGUCAUGUGUUUUACAAAUUGGUCAUGUAUGAUGCAAUGCAGAGGGUACCAGCCACCAGAAUACAUCAACAGAGGUGAAAUAUCAGGAAAAUUUGACAUAUUUAGCUUGGGUGUCGUAAUGAUAAGGAUAGUGUCAGCACCCAAGGGCUACUCCAAAUGUCUAGAUAUGUCUUCGGACAAGUUUAUUGAUCAAGUGAGAAAUAAUAUUUCUUAUUAACAGGCCUCUUUUUUUAAUCUAAUACUAUCUCAUAUUUACAUUGGAAUAGUACAUAUCAGCAUAGCUUGACAGUUCAAUGUAUCAGGUCCUAAAGAACUGGAGGAACAGGUUGCAGGCGACAUACAGUAGUGGUUCCUUGGUUGAAGCAUAUUGCCACCAAGUAAAUACAUGCAUUCAAAUAGCAUUAUUAUGUGUGGAGGAAGAUAGCCAGAAAAGGCCCAACAUAGGGAAGAUCGUUGAGAAGCUGAAUGAGAUUGACAGUGCCAUUGGCGAGGUAAUUAAUAUCAUUUGAGAAGGCAUAUAAUGGAUAGCUAGGUCAGGAUAUAAUUUCAAUAAAAGCGAAAUCAAGUCAUCAGUUCAGUUAGUUAUUUUUUUCUAGUAUAUUAGUAAUUGUUUCACAACACUCAACAGUAUAGAUCCCUCCAGGAUUCAGGAACUCAAUAAUAUACAGCAGUUUUCCAAUCAUCUAAAACUUAUAGUGACUUAUAUUUAACCACCACUUCCUCUAAUCAAAAUUAUAUACAUUUUAUGAUUUGUAUUCAUAUAGAAAUAAUUAUUGAGAAUGACUGCACCAUACUAAUAUUAGUUGAAACAUCAAGAAAAAACUUUCAGAAUAUACAUUUUUAUUUAACUUUCACAUUUUAAACAAAUUGUUACUCUAAAUAUCAUCUUGAAAAUUGUAUCAAUAACUUAACAACAUUAUUAAUCGAAUUGUGUAGUUUGUUGACAAACCAACUGAAAUAUUGUAGCUUCCCCAGAAAGUUUCCGGAAUGGCAAUGCAUAAUAACAAGAAUAUAGGUAUGAGAAAGGAAUCAGAGGAUAUCAAAGGACAACAUCAGAAUAUUAAUUUGAUGACAGGCCCUAGUUGCAGUGAGCUAGAAGCUGUUGAUGCACGAGAAACAUCAUCAAACGCAGUAGAAGAACUCAUUGUAGUGAGGACAGAAGAGAAAUGGAAAAUAAUAGCUUUUUUAUUACUUGAAAGCAAGUCAAAAAAGAUCGUCAUCCUUCCUAUAUAUGGUAUUGGAGGCAUUGGAAAGACAACUUUUGAAAGAUUGAUUUACAAUGAUCCAAAGUUCAAAUAUUAUUCUCGGGUAUGGAUCCAUGUGUCCCAGAUAUUUGACUUGAAUAAAAUAUAUGAGUCUAUAAUUUUGAAGCUAUCUGAAAAGGAGAGUCGGGCUAAUGAAAGGCAGAUGAUAAAUAGUUGCCUUCUGAAGCUACUAUCUGGUAAGAAGAUUCUGAUUGUUUUAGAUGACCUGUGGGAGGAUGGUCAAUUCCACCUGCAGGAGUUGAAGGAUAUGCUAUAUCAUGCUGAUAGCAACAUAAUUAUUUUAGUAACAACACGCAGCCAACGUGUUGCCGGGAUAAUCUGUACUAACCUUCAACCAUACAAGAUAUUACCCUUGACAAAUGACAUGUGCUGGGAUAUAAUAAAACAAAGAAGUGCUUUUGAAGCUAGAGAUGACAAAAAACAGUUGACAGAUAUUGGAAGGGAGAUUGCCCAAAAGUGUGGAGGUGUGGCUUUAGCAGCUCAAUCUCUGGGCUUCACUUUGCGGUCCAUGAAUUUUGAUCAAUGGAUGAAGGUGAAAGACAGUGAUACCUGGAAUGAACCUGUUUCAAACGAUGCAUCUUUGCCAAAUUAUGUUCUUGCAUCUUUGAAGUUAAGUUGUAGCCACAUGGGUUCAAGCCUGAAGAAAUGCUUUACCUACUGUGCAAUCUUUCCAAAAGGCAACAAGAUAGCUAAAGAUGAUGUAAUUUAUCAAUGGAUUUCUUCGGAUUUCAUCAAGCCAACAAAAAUACUCUCAGAUAUGCAGCUUGGUAAGAAGUACAUUAUGCAGCUGCUGGGACUGUCUUCCUUUCAACAUUCAAUGCCACCCACAUUUCUGCAUACCAGUACUACCUUUGAAUUAUUCUUACUUAUAAUUCAAUCAGUUGAAAUAAAACUUACAUAUUAUGAUUUUGAAAAGUCAACUAACUUGUAGUUCAGACUUCUUUUUUUAAAAAAAAAUUGGUCAAAACCCUAAGAGACACGGUUUAUUAGGGCUACUCUUAUGUGGUCUCGGACCUAAAUCUACACAGUCAUGAAGCAUGCUUGUACGGGAAGCAUCCAACCAAGCCAACCAUAAAUAAAUACCUGACCCUGCGUAAUGUUAAAUUAGCCUAUUUGAAAUAUCGAAUCAAAGUUUGGACCUUGUUGAAUCAGUUGUAAGAAAUAUUGAAUCAUGUAUCAGAUGUGGAAAAAUCUAGAUGAAGUGGGGCAUAAAGCUGUUGGGGAUCGCCUCCUCCGAAGGUAACGACCGGAGGUCCUGGGCGAGGCGAGCCAGCGCGAAAGAUCACGGGAGUAACCUCUGAUCUUCCUUUUAUUCCUGUCUAAGUCAUUUUUAAGGAAACAAAGAUUAGGAGAUCGAAGGUCUUCAAAGGUUCCAGGCAUGAUUGAACAAGAAGGUGGAAAUCUCCGACCUCCGACCGAAGGUCCUUGGUCACGAAGAGGGAGGCUGUAACGCCCGUGUUUUUAUCUUAUUUAAAUUGUAUUACCAAUCACUCGCUUAAAAAUCUUUUAAAUCCUUUCCGCCGCUCGAGCUCCCGAAGCCCACCUCCCGAUUUUCCGCCGUCCCGACAUCGUGCAGUCUCUUCCUCUUUUCCGCGGAGCCGCCCGUCCCUUUUCCUUUUCCACCGGCCCCGCCGUCCAGUCGCAUCACCAUCGUGUCGCGGUCGGCCGCAUGUGCCUGCCCGGCCGCGAUCGUCGGUGCCGCGCGCAUGUCCCCUCCUUUCUUUUCUCAUAUUUUGUUCAAAUCCAUUUUAUUUCUCUUGUAAUUCAUUUUGUUCAAAUCCAAUUUUUUCCCAUACUCCUUUUUUUCCUUCCUUUUCUUUCUCUUCUCCUUUCUUUUUUUCUCCCAGCGCUGGCUUCCUCUUUCUUUUUCUUCCCUGUGCUGCCUGCUCGAGCUGUAGCCCGCUCCUUGCGCACACGCGCGGGCCAGCGCACGACUCGCCGCUGCCCCCCGUUGCUGGCUGUGCACGCGCGCUCGCAUUGCGCCGCCCGCGUCACGCCACGGCCGUCGCGGCUGCUGCUGCUCGCUGUGCCACUGCGUGUUUGCUGCCCGUGCACGCCAAGCCGGCGUGCGACCCGCUGCUGCGCAGGCCCGUCUCCGUCCCGUCCCCUCACCCUCGCAGCUUGCGUCUUGUCCCUGAGCAUCCCGGCCGCCAUUAAUAGUGAGGUUCCUGUACUGCCCGUGACCCUCCCAUGUAGGCCAUCUCCCCUCUCCCUCUCGGCCUAUAAAUCAGCCCCCGAGCCGCCCCUCACUCCGCCCACGCUGCCUUAGCACCUCCCCUCCUCUACCUCGCGCUGCAGCUCGCCGCCGCCACUCACCAUUGCCGGCCACCACCCAUCUUCAUGGACAGCCCUCCGUAGACCGUCUCCGCACGAGGUGAGGGGCGGAAUCAGACCCCCUCGGCCUCCUCUCCGUUUUCCACUCCUCCCCGGGCGUCGCCAUGCACCAGGGGGCCGGCGCCCAUGGCCUGGCCCCCCAUCCUACCGUUCCCCUCCCCCUCCUGUUCUGUAUCGAGGAAGAAGAAAGGCAGACUUGUGCAUAACCCCCUCCACUUUUUCUUCUUAUGCAGUCCGCAGCCCUCCACCUCCCUCUCUCAAAUAUUUAAUCAGAGCUCCUUCUAUCUCUUUAUUUCAUUAUAAAUAGGUCCUCGUCCUUUUAAACUACUCUCUAAAUGACCUUUAACUCAUCAUUUCAUGCGAUAUUUUGUUCCGAAUCGAUUCCAAACUCCACCACGCAUCAUCUCCAAAUAUUUUCUCCAAGUCUCACAAUCCACAUCCGACAAAUAUAAUAGUCUUUUCUAAUUUUUUAUCGAAGCUCCCUAUUUCCCUCUCUUUUUUUAAGCUCGUCGGCGUACUCUAUUUUUAUUGUGUGAUUGUUUGUGUGUCGUAGCCGACGGUGUGACCGAGGAGGAGCAGUACGGCGAGCCGGAGCCCGAAGACCUGUACCUCGAGGAGGAGCUUCCGAAAGGCUUUGAGGACGGCAAGUCCAAUCCCAUCCUUUGAUGCAUAUUUAUCCUAAUUUUAUAAACACAAUCUAUUGGCCUGUUUUAUAAAAUGCAUUAUUUUAUUGCAAGACAUGGUUGGAUAGCCAUCCCUUGAUUGCUAUGACUAUUUCAUGAUGACCUAGGUUGAUGUCUAUAUAGGAUUUGCUCUGUUGGACGUUAACUACUGCUAGAGAUGCUUAGGACCUUUUAUUCCCUUUAUUAUAUUUUAACCAUGACCACAACGCGCUUUAUCGAAAAUAAAGGUGUGAGUGUUCUAAAAGAUAAAACGGGAUUUCGGAAAAAUAAAAAAAAGAUAUAACCUGAUGAGAUGGAUGGUUUUUCCUGUGUGAAAAUGCCACUGGUGAGCUUGUACCUUUGUGGUCGAGCAUGGUUGGGAGAUGUCCAUCUUGUCAAUGUAAGGAUGAACUGAGGUGUCAUAUUGCCUAACCCACUUAUCGUACAACCACUCGACCGUUGUGUGGGUAACGGCUUAGCAUAAACCCCACUAGUUGUUCUGCUAGCCAAAAGGAGAGCUGGUGAGCAACGGGAGAUCAUGGAGAAGGAAUACGAUCUAUGUGAGUUAUGUCCCGGUUAUAACUUUGUUGAUAGGUCAUUAACCUCAUGGUUGCUUCCGUAUUGGCUAGUUAGAUUCAGCUAAGGUGGGUAAUGGCUUUGUUAGGAUCCGCAGCGACACUAAGCUUGAAAUGAACCGGAUUCUCGAAUCGAGGAACCCGACUCCCUGUAUCGUCGUGAUAGUCCCUGAAUCAAGCGCUAUCACAUACAGAACUCACUUCAGGCAUAAUAUCACAGUCAUACUCAUUGUGAGGUCAAACACGGGUUUAAUUAUUACAUAAAUCCAAAGGAUCUGUAGUACGGAAUUUAUUACAAGCCUCUCGGCUAGAUCGAACAAGCAGAAGGCGCAAAACGGUAGCUAGGUUUUCGGCCGUCCUUCAUCUUCGGGAACCUCCUCCACAGGCGACUUGAGCGUAGCUCGGGCCUCAGUCGUACCAUCCGUCAUCGUUGGGGUCGAAUUCCAGAUCGGAUCCUGCAUCGUACCAGGCUAUCCCCAAGGAUUGGGAUAGGUUCACGUCACCAUCUGUAUGCAAGCUUUAUUGUGGUCUACACUACGGAUAUUCAAGAGUUCAAGAAGUAAGGCUGGGGUUUCCCUAUGCAUGCAAUAUAUAUAUAUGAGAUUACACAUCUCCUUUCAUUUCCGACUCGGGCCCUUCCGGCAUCUCGGAGUCCCGGUCACACACACCUUCCAAAGCCACCAAGUCGAUGCGAGGACUCCCUCUCCUCGCAUCUCAACUGCCCCCUGGCAGGAAAAAUAUUCUAGAGGGAGGUAGAAAUCAUGAGUAACACUAACUAAUAAGAGCAACAGAGGAGUAGAGAUGUCCAUAACCGAGGACGCGGCUAUACGUAUAGUUUUCACCCUGCAGGGGUUGUACACCUGGACCCACUCGAAUCGACACUAGCCGGAGAUCAGCCGACUAGUAUACGAAACACCGGUCUACAGAAACGGAAUUAGGAGCCACGGCACCAUCCGGCUUUCCCGGGUCUUGGGCGCAUCCUCCCACGGGAGGUCGCCCCGGGACUGUGAAGCCUCCCAUGCGUCUCGGGGAACGUGAGGUCAGCACCUCCUUCCCCUGCACCGAUACUCGAUCCUCCUACCGGCUUGGUACCGCGCUUGCUAACCCCGGACCUGGCCCACCCUCAUAAUGGGUAAGUGGUGUGCACGCUUAACAAAUUCCCACAAGUCAUGGUUACUCUCACCCGGUCCUUAACUACCGAAGCGGGCAUCUUCGUCAAAAGCGUAUCCACCACGGUGGUCCGCAACUGCACCCUUAACGGGUGCCCCAAACACCUCAAACACGUAACCAAAACUGUACCCGCCACAGGUACUCCGUAGGGUGUGCCAAGAUACACACCCCAAGCCCUCGAUCCACGAUCGAGUUAGGUUGCCCACUUCCGGCUAAAAACCCUAAUCACCAACUCCUGAAGAGAACCACUUCACUCACGCCAAGACGUGCGGGGAACGGGCGCGCGCGGGCGGUCGCGGUGCGGGGAACGGGCGCGCGCAGCGGUUGCGCUGCGCUGUCGCGGAGCGGGGACAGGCGCGCGCGGUUGGCAGGUGACGUGAGGGAGCGGGGCCGCGGCGAGGGAAGAAAAGAGGAAAAAGGGAGGCGGGCGGUUGGAGGCGCCUGUCGCGAAGCGGGGCGACGCAGUGGAGGCGAGCGAGCGGGAGAUCCAGGGGUCGCAGGCGAGAGGAAGGGGAAAGCUGACGGGUGGGUCCCGCCCGUCAGUUGCCCCGGGUGGAAGGGAGGCGAAGCGUCGCGACGGGUCGCGAGGCUGGGCUGGGCCGGCUUGCGCGGGCUGGCGCGCGUGCGGGGGAGGAAGGGAAAAAUGGAAAGAGCGGUUGGGCUCGGGUUGCGUGGGCCGGUGGGCUUGUGGCCCACUAGGGGUGUUAGAGUUUAUAGUUUGGAUUUGAAUUUGAUUGGCCUAUUCAAAUUCAAAUCCCACACAUUCGAAUCCAACAAAUUCGAAAGUCCAAUCAAAUAACAUGCAUCAACUCCUGCAAACCAAGAUCAUACACAAAAGUUUUUGAAAUUCACGAUUUUUGUUACACAAACCCUCUAGGGUUUAACAUGGAAUGUUACAGACUCCCCCCCUCACAAGAAUCUCAUCCCCGAGGUUAAAGGUUUACCUGAUCCUCGAAAAGGUGUGGGUAUUUCUCCUUCAGUUCGGACUCUUUCUCCCAAGUGGCUUCCCGUUCAGUGUGAUUACUCCAAAGAACCUUGCAGUAGGGAAUGGAGGUCCUCCUAGUCUCCUUAUCUGCCCGGGCCAGUAUCUUCACGGGAUAUUCGACAUACUCGAGUGUUUCUUGCAAGUCCACUGCCUCUGGGGGUAUUGUCUCAUCCGGCACCCGCAAGCAUUUGCGUAGCUGAGAUACGUGGAAAACCGGAUGUACCCCAGCAAGUCCUUCUGGUAGCUUCAGUUUGUACGCCAAUCCUCCGAUCCUUUGGAUGAUCGGAUACGGUCCAACGAACCUCUUGGUGGUUCCCAUUGACAUGGAACCUCUUGGUGCCUCGGAGUGGUGACACCUUCAGGUACACGUGGUCUCCGACCUCAAACGAGAGGUCCCUCCUUCUCUUGUCGGCGUAGCUCUUCUGUCUGCUCUGCGCUAUCUUCAGGUUUUCCCUGAUCUUGGCAACAUUUUCCUCAGCUUCUACGAUAGAGUCUGGACCAAAAUACGAUCUCUCCCCGGUUUCUGACCACAUCAGUGGUGUUCUGCAUUUUCUGCCAUAAAGUGCCUCGAAGGGUGACAUCCGCAAACUGGCCUGGUGGCUGUUGUUGUACGUGAACUCGGCAUAGGACAAACUCUUUUCCCAGUCACUCCUGUAGGCUAGCACACAUGCUCUAAGUAAGUCCUCGAGUAUCUGGUUCACUCUCUCGGUCUGCCCAUCGGUUUGGUGGUGGAAGGCGGUGCUGUAAUCUAGCUGAGUCCCUAGGGAUUUGUGCAAGCUCUACCAGAAUUUCACGGUGAAUUGAGGGCCUCGAUCUGAUACUAUGCUUCGUGGUGCCCCGUGGAGUUUCAGAAUGUUCUCUAUGUACAGUUCGGAUAGUCGGCUCACGGGGUACGUGGUCUUGACGGGGAUGAAGUGUGCCACCUUUGUCAGGCGAUCAACGAUUACCCAAAUGGAGUCAUUGCCCUUCUGAGUCCAGGGUAACCCUGUUAUGAAAUCCAUGCAAAUGUCAUCCAACUUCCAUACGGGAAUAUCAAGUGGCUUCAGCAGACCGGCAGGGCGCUGGUGUUCUGCCUUGAUCCUUCUACAAAUGUCACACUUAGCCACGAACUCGGCUAUGUCUGUUCUCAUGUCGUUCCACCAGAAACGGUCCUUCAAGUCUAGGUACAUCUUGGUGCACCCUAGGUGUAUGGUGUACUUGGAGUUAUGCGCUUCAUCCAGAAUUUCGGCACGGAUCCCUUGAUCCUGGGGGUACACAUAUGCGAUCCUUCAGCCAUAUGGUCCCUUGGUCGUCGACCCUGUAGUCGGUCGCUUUUCCAUCUCGCAUUGCUCGCUUGAGCUUCUGAAGUUCUGGGCAUCGUCGCUGUGCUUGCCUGAUUCGAUCUUCCAGAUCGUACUUGACUGUCAUCGUGUUCAGGUGUCCUUGUUCUACUAUUUCCAACUUCAGUCUCUCGAGUUCAUCGCACAGUGCAGGCUGCUCGUCACGAACCAUCAGAUUGCUGCAAUAGUGCUUCCUACUUAAGGCGUCUGCUACGACAUUAGCCUUGCCGGGGUGGUACUGAAUAUUUAGGUCGUAGUCCUUGAUCAGCUCUAACCACCUCCUCUGCCUCAUAUUCAGCUCUGCCUGAGUGAAGAAAUACUUCAGACUUUUGUGAUCGGUAUAGAUGUCGCACUUGUUGCCAAUUAGGUAGUGCCUCCAAAUCUUCAAGGCGUGCACUACAGCUGUGAGUUCAAGGUCGUGGGUAGGGUAGUUUUCCUUGUGUUUCCUCAACUGUCGGGAGUCAUACGCCACAACUUUGCCAUCUUGCAUCAGCACACAACCCAUGCCUUGAUGAGAAGCGUCACAAUAGACUACGAAGUCCUUCCGGAUGUCCGGAAGAGUGAGGACUGGGGUAGUAGUGAGUCGGGACUUGAGCUCUUGAAAGCUGGAUUCACACUUGGAUGACCAUACGAACGGUACGUUGUGCUUGAGUAGCUCGGUCAUAGGCUUGGCAAUCUUGGAAAAGUUCUCAAUAAAUCGCCGGUAGUAGCCUGCCAAGCCCAGGAAGCUCCGAAUAUCGGUAACGCUCUUCGGCUGCUGCCACUCGGACACUGCUUCAAUCUUCUCGGGAUCUACAGCAACCCCCUCUGCAGUCAACACGUGGCCUAGGAAGGCAACCUUCUCUAGCCAAAACUCGCAUUUACUGAACUUGGCAUACAGCUGGUUCUGCCUCAACCUCUCGAGUACUAUCCUCAGGUGCUCAGCGUGUUCUUCGGCUGUCUCGGAGUAGAUCAAGAUGUCGUCGAUGAAGACUAUGACGAACUUGUCCAGUUCUUCCAUGAACACUUUGUUCAUCAUGUUCAUAAAGUAGGCGGGUGCAUUGGUCAGUCCGAAGGAUACCACGGUGAACUCGUACUGGCCAUAUCUGGUCACGAACGCUGUCUUCGGAAUGUCACACUCCCGAAUCUUCAUCUGAUUGCAUCCGGAUCUCAGAUCAAUCUUGCUGAAGAAUUUGGCCUUUCUCAACUGGUCAAGCAGAUCAUCGAUUCUGGGCAACGGAUACUUGUUCUUGAUGGUCACAGCGUUCAGCGAUCGGUAGUCGAUGCAUAACCUCAUGGUUCCAUCCUUCUUCCUCACGAACAACACGGGUGAUCCCCAUGGCGAUGCACUAGGCCUGAUGUACUGUUUAUCUAGCAGGUCCUUUAGCUGAUUCUUCAACUCGGUGAGUUCUUCUGCGGACAUGCGGUAGGGUCGCUUCGCGAUCGGUGUCGUCCCUGGCACAAGGUCAAUCACGAGCUCGACAUCCCGGUCCGGUGGUAGACCUGGAAGCUCCUUGGGAAACACAUCAGGAUACUCGCAAACCACCAGCACGUCUUCGAGUGUCCUUUUCUCCAAGUUGUUCAAAUUGUACACCUGAGGCACAUCUCGUGACUUCAACGGUUCCACCUCGAUCUUCUUCCCACUAGGGUGUUCCAGGGUCACCAACCUGGGCGAGCAAGAUAUGACACCCUUGUGUGCAGUCAACCAGUCCAUCCCCAAAAUAACAUCUAUCCCCUCUGAGGGCAGUACUGUCAGGUCAGCUGUGAAUGGCAGUCCCUUAAUCAUGAUUCUCACUCCCUUACAUGCUAGUGUGCACCUAUGAUCCCCUAGUGGGGAGCUAGUGAUGAUAGGAUGGCUUCUCGGGGUCAUCGGAAGGGAUUUUUGUGCAACACACUUCGAAGAGAUGUAGGAGCAAGUGGCUCCAGAGUCAAAUAACACCAAAGCUUUAAAGCUGUUGAUAAGGUACUCACCUGUCAUGACGUCGGGGGCAUCCCGGGCCUCCUCCUCAGUGAGGUGGGUGAGGCGGCCACGGUCUGCGGAGCGCGGAGCUUGAGCGGGCCUGCCGGCGGAGCCUGGCGCGUGAGCUGGGGUCGAGGUCUUCUUCUCGGGGCACUCAUAGGACUUGUGGCCCGGUUUGUUGCAAGUGAAGCAAACAAACGGCGUCGAGCCACUGUUGGUCCUCUGUGCCGGCUGCUGGCGGUGGUAGCUGCCUCCUCCCUGGUUCUGUCCUCCGUGGGUCCUGUUGCCGGAGUAGUGGUUGCCUCCCCCACCGUAGUUCCUGCUCGGCUGACUGGAGCCGGAACGGAAACCGCUCCUCGGUGGCAGAGGUGGCGCGUUCCUUGCCUUCUGGAAGGGCCGGUCUCGUACCUGGUGGUCGGUCUGGCGCUUCUUGUUGCGUUGACGGUCUUCCCAUCCCAGUCUCUCCCUCUCCACAGCAAUGGCACGGUUGACCAAGCUGCGGAGCGAGGGGUACUCGCAUCCCGUCACGAUCUGACGGAUGCCGUGGUGUAGUCCUCGGAGAAACCAGAACUGCUUCUUCUCCUCGGUGUUGGUGUCGUCGGCAGCGUACCUCAUCAUCUUGGUGAAGUGGCGCUCGUACUCCUCCACCCUCAUCAUACCCUGAGUCAUGGUACGGAACUCCUAGGCCUUCUGGAUCAUCACUUGCCGGGGCACGUGCUACUCACGGAAUGCCCUGGCAAACUCCUCCCACGAGAUGUGUGCUGGGUCAUGAUGGGAGUCACAGUAGCUGUCCCACCAUGACUUGGCGGUACCCUCAAGUUGGUGGACGGUGAGUGCGAUGCACUCUUCGUCGGUGCAGUUGGUGAGGUCCAACUUGGUCUCAAUCACCCUCAGCCAGUCAUCAGCCUCCAAGGGGUCCUCGGCGUAGCUGAAAGUCGGGGCCUUCAGGCGGAUGAACCUCUCGAUCUUGCGCUGGAGGUCCUCUUCAGGCGGGCCAUGAUGGUUGGCCCCGUGGUUCCUCUGAUCCACUGACUCGGCCAGACGCUGGAGUAGCUGAGUCUGCCUAUCCAUGAUCUCUGCGAGUGUCGGCGGUGGUGGCAGUGGCUGCUGUGCAGGCUCGGCGUCGAUUUCCUCAUCGACCUCCUCCUCAUCGGCUUCGUCUCCACGGCGUGCCUCCCCAAAGGCGCGAGGUGCGGCACCUGCGGCAGGUCCUCUGCCUCUUCCAUGCCCUGCUGCCGGGGCACGUGCUGGGGCAGCACGUCCGCGCCCAUGGCCAAACGGGCGGCCUCGUCCGCGUGCCUCGGCUGCGGCUUCCUCCUGGGCGGCUUGCUCGAAACGGGCCAUCAAGCGAUCGGAUCUCCGGAUCAACAUUUCUUGUAUAGGGUGAAGGGGGAAAUUCUCUCCUGUAAAUGUCGGCACUCACCACCCAAAGUAAAAGAAUACACACAUGGGCAAACAUGCCAAUUAUCCGAAAAAGAUGCAAGAAUAAAAGCCAUAACAUUUUAAAAUGAAAGCAAUUAUCGAAUAAAAUAAUGCGAGAAUAAAGAGACAUAACAUCCAUCCAUUUAGACAUCAUUCAGGCAGUACAAGGAAUCACUGGUGUUAUCUCGAGGUCAACACAUAAGCCUUCAAGAUAACACCCCCAACUCACACUCUAAGAAUACAUCGUGAAUGCUUACAAAAAGAGUGGCGACUCCUAUCGUGUCUACUUGGACUCGUGACAUCAUAGGACGCUAGCCGGAAACAUGUCAUCGGCUCAGAACAAGACUCAUGAGAACUCUCGCCGGAAUGGACCAUCGGCGGCUACUUACCCUACAUCUACCCCUACCUAAGACACUGACUCACUCCCUAGUAGAAGGUGACGCGUGGCUUCUUGUAGGACAGCACGCGCUUGUACUCCUCCGGGUAGUCCUCCGGGAAGAUGGCGUCGAUGGCUGCGACGGCCUCCACCACCUCCUCGGUCUCGAUCGCGGGCGGCAUCUCCUCGUGAGGGCACAGGUGCAGGCGAAGCUCCGUGGGGAUGAGCUUGAAGUCCUCCUUCCUCACCAGGGGCUGACUCUCCUCGGGUAGCUGGUUCCUCAGCUCGUGGAUCUCAUCGACGCGGAUGGAGUCGGAAAUCUCCCACGUCUGCAAGGCGCGUGCAGCCUUGUCGCGGAGGUACACGGCGGUGCGGGUCAGCAAGGCGAUGUUCUUCUUGUUCCUCUCCAGCCGGGUCUCCAGUUCCUUCACCCGGUCCUCCACCUUGGCCUCGAAGUAGCCGUGAAGGGUCAUGAAGUCCUGCUGGUCGUCCACCUAAGUCUGCAGCUGGCGGCACUCGGCCUCACUGUCGGUUGCCCAGUCCUUGAGCUUGCUGAUGGUGGCGAGGUAGUCCUUCUCCUUGAGCUCCCACCCGGCCUUCUCCUCCCGGAGCUUCUAGAGCUCGGCCUCGGUCUGGAGUAACUUGGCUUCGGCGGCCAUCCUCUGCUGGGUCUCGAUCUGUCGCAUCAUGUUUGCCUCCAUGUAGCACACCUUGCUACGGCGGGCCUCUACCCGGGCUGCGGUGUAGAUCUGGUUCCACCCCUGAAUCUCAUGCUGCAGGACGUGGAUGUGCCUCACACUAUCGUAGAACCCCUGGUGGAGCUGCUCGCUCUCCGAGGAAAGGUUCACAGCUAGGUGGUCCAGGUCAUAGAGGUAAGAACCGGUGGUGUGGACUAUGGACUGGUCCCCUCCGGUCUCCUGAACCGAGGCAGAGUACAUCUCCAGGUAGAAGGCCUCGGGAUCCUCAUUGGGCAGGACGGCUCGAGGUAGUAGGCGGAAAGAGGAGUCCGCAAACUUGGUCUGCCAGAACUGGGCGAGUAGCUCCAUCGUCAUCUUUCGAGCGGCUGACUGGAUGGCUGUCUCGGUGAGCACGCCGAAGCUGUAGACCAUCUUGCCCUCGAAGUCGGGCACUGCGGGGUCUGGCAAGACGACGAGUGUGGCGAUCUUGGAGUGGUAUGGGAGGGCGGUGGUCGACUUCAGGGAGAGCUUGACGUAGGCCAGGUCGAUGCCGAUGUGCUCCACCACGCGCUCGAACCACUUGAAGACACCCCUCUGGUGGUACUCCGCGUACAGCUCGAGGUCAUGGGUCACACUCUCCAUCGUAGUUGCCAUCGCGGUUGCUACCCUGCGUAGGAACGUGAGAAUUGAGUCAGUGUAGGUAAGAGAGUAACUCAAGAGUGGAGGAAAACUGAGUCAAGGUAUCGACGAAUAAUAGUCCAAGGUAUUAUAGUAAGUGGAUAGAUUCGUAUAGAUUUCCCUAGGUCUACCGACCAUGUCUAAGGCUCGUGCUAUGGUCAAGCAUGGCUCUGAUACUAACUGAAAUGAACCGGAUUCCCGAAUCGAGGAACCCGACUCCCUGUAUCGUCGUGAUAGUUCCUGGAUCAAGCGCUAUCACAUACAGAACUCAUUUCAGGCAUAAUAUCACAGUCAUACUCAUUGUGAGGUCAAACACGGGUUUAAUUAUUACAUAAAUCCAAAGGAUCUGUAGUACGGAAUUUAUUACAAGCCUCUCGGCUAGAUCGAACAAGCAGAAGGCGCAAAACGGUAGCUAGGUCUUCGGCCGUCCUUCAUCUUCGGGAACCUCUCCACAGGCGACUUGAGCGUAGCUCGGGCCUCAGUCGUACCAUCCGUCGUCGUUGGGGUCGAAUUCCGGAUCGGAUCCUGCAUCGUACCAGGCUAUCCCCAAGGAUUGGGAUAGGUUCACGUCACCAUCUGUAUGCAAGCUUUAUUGUGGUCUACACUACGGAUAUUCAAGAGUUCAAGAAGUAAGGCUGGGGUUUCCCUAUGCAUGCAAUAUAUAUAUAUGAGAUUACACAUCUCCUUUCAUUUCCGACUCGGGCCCUUCCGGCAUCUCGGAGUCCCGGUCACACACACCUUCCAAAGCCACCAAGUCGAUGCGAGGACUCCCUCUCCUCGCAUCUCAACUGCCCCCUGGCAGGAAAAAUAUUCUAGAGGGAGGUAGAAAUCAUGAGUAACACUAACUAAUAAGAGCAACAGAGGAGUAGAGAUGUCCAUAACCGAGGACGCGGCUAUACGUAUAGUUUUCACCCUGCAGGGGUUGUACACCUGGACCCACUCGAAUCGACACUAGCCGGAGAUCAGCCGACUAGUAUACGAAACACCGGUCUACAGAAACGGAAUUAGGAGCCACGGCACCAUCCGGCUUUCCCGGGUCUUGGGCGCAUCCUCCCACGGGAGGUCGCCCCGGGACUGUGAAGCCUCCCAUGCGUCUCGGGGAACGUGAGGUCAGCACCUCCUUCCCCUGCACCGAUACUCGAUCCUCCUACCGGCUUGGUACCGCGCUUGCUAACCCCGGACCUGGCCCACCCUCAUAAUGGGUAAGUGGUGUGCACGCUUAACAAAUUCCCACAAGUCAUGGUUACUCUCACCCGGUCCUUAACUACCGAAGCGGGCAUCUUCGUCAAAAGCGUAUCCACCACGGUGGUUCGCAACUGCACCCUUAACGGGUGCCCCAAACACCUCAAACACGUAACCAAAACUGUACCCGCCACAGGUACUCCGUAGGGUGUGCCAAGAUACACACCCCAAGCCCUCGAUCCACGAUCGAGUUAGGUUGCCCACUUCCGGCUAAAAACCCUAAUCACCAACUCCUGAAGAGAACCACUUCACUCACGCCAAGACUAUCCAUCCGUAUCCCACACAUACACAUUCAAGGAUUUACAAGGCAUUUCAUAUAAUCAACAAGUAGGAUAGGUUGGCAAGGAGCAAGGUACAUAAAAGAGGCCAUGCAGGUUUAUCUUGAUAUAUAUAUACACAUACUGCGAUAGCAUAUCUACAAGCAAUGCCUAAUAGGGAUUCAAAUCGUAGAUGGGCGUGAACCUGGCGUCUCUUCGAAGUCCUCCUGGGCCUCCGAGUAGUCCUGGUCGUUGGUCAGCUCCUCGCGGACGGGUCCUAUUCGUAAAUACGGGUAAGAGUAGGGACCAAAGUGCAAAUGUGCACAAAAUGCUACAAAUAAGAUCCAAAUCACCACAAUGCCUACUCUAACAUGUGGUUCAUGAUUUUAGAAGAAUUAUGAAACUGGUUUCAUAAUUUUCGGAGGUCCGGAUAAUUUAUUAUGAAUUUUCUAAGGAAAAACCUAUUUCUGAAAUUAAUAAAAUAAUUUUGGAAAAGAAAGCCAUUAAACAGAGACACGUGGCAGCACCAGGGUGUGCCACGUGGCAUGCUGACGUCAGCAUGACGUCAUCAGGGGGGGUCCGGGUAUGCUGACGUCAGCAGUGGCCCAUGCUGACGUCAGCGUUGACCGGUCAACAGUCAACGGUCAGGGGGUCCACGGUCAACGGCCCCACUGGUCAGCCUCGGCGCGAGGCUGACAGGUGGGCCCCUCGGGUCAGGCCUGGGAUAGGAAAAAAAGAAAAGAGGCCUUGGUUUGGACCUGGGCUGAAAGUGGUGGUGGGCUGGCUCGAAACCCAGCUAGGCUUGGCUAGGCUCGUGGUGUCAGCUCGGCCUGCAGCUCGACAGGCCGGCUCGGGCAGUGGGCUGGCUGGGCGCAUCUUGGGCCGGCUCGGCUUAAUCCCUCGCAAGCCAGCUUCUCUUCCUCGUGGACUGUGCUCGUCGCUUCGCCUUCUCCUCCUCGCGGCCCGGUGGCUUCUGGUCUCCUCCUUCGCUGACAGGGCGGUCCCAUGUGUCGGCCCCCGUGGGAUCAGGUGCGGCGGGGUUCGGGUCCGGUGUGGCAGAUGGGUGUGCGUGUGUGCGUGUGGGCGCCGCGGCGCGUGUGCGAGUGAGGACGCCCGAAGGGUGCUCGGGGAAAAGCCUCAACGGCUUGGCCGCGACGCGAACGCGACGUCGCGGCCGCGUCGUGGGGGCUGGGCGCGCACGGCGAGGCCGUGGCGCGGGCAUGGCGAGGCAAAGCUGUUUGGUCAGUGCGGGGUAUGCGUGCGUGUGGCACGGUGAAGGCGACGGCGGCUGCGGGGUGCGGAAGCGGCGCGUCGGGCUCCUGCACAAGAAGACGACACGGCGGCCGGAAGGGAAAAGGGGCGCCUAGGGUUUUCUACAGAGGGCUCCUCGGCGGCCCAUGGCUCACGCCGGCAGCAGGGGGAAAGGAAAGGGAUGGCGGCAGUGUGGCUCACCGGUGGGGCUGGAGCAGAGGAUGCUCGGGGCUGCGGAGAGGCGAGCUGGCGGGUCGGGGCUGUGCAGGGAGCGCAGCUACAUCGGUGUAGUCGUACGGGCGCAGGUGCGGUGGAGCUCCGGUGGUGGCGGCGGCGUCCUCCUCGGGCUCUUCUCCUCCUCCUCCUCCUCUCUCUCUCGGGUGUGACUGCGGAAAGGGGAAGAUGGCGUAGGUGGCUAGGGUUUCUGGGGUGGCGGCCGAGGGGUCCUUAUACGCGGCGUCGGGGCUCGAGUGCAGCUGCGGCCGAGGCCUUUUUGGCAUCCGCGCCGGGACGCGUGGUGGCAUCGCGGCGCGGAGGCGCGCGGCUAGGGUUAGGGUUCGCGGCGCGGGCGGUCGGGGAGCGGGGAACGGGCGCGCGCGGCGGUUGCGCUGCGCUGUCGUGGAGCGGGGACAGGCGCGCGCGGUUGGCAGGUGACGCGAGGGAGCGGGGCCGCGGCGAGGGAAGAAAAGAGGAAAAAGGGAGGCGGGCGGUUGGAGGCGCCUGUCGCGGAGCGGGGCGACGCGGCGGAGGCGAGCGAGCGGGAGAUCCAGGGGUCGCGGGUGAGAGGAAGGGGAAAGCUGACGGGUGGGUCCCGCCCGUCAGCUGCCCCGGGUGGAAGGGAGGUGAAGCGUCGCGACGGGUCGCGAGGCUGGGCUGGGCCGGCUUGCGCGGGCUGGCGCGCGUGCGGGGGAGGAAGGGAAAAAAGGAAAGAGCGGUUGGGCUCGGGUUGCGUGGGACGGUGGGCUGGUGGCCCACUAGGGGUGUUAGAGUUUAUAGUUUGGAUUUGAAUUUGAUUGGCCUAUUCAAAUUCAAAUCCCACACAUUCGAAUCCAACAAAUUCGAAAGUCCAAUCAAAUAACAUGCAUCAACCCCUCCAAACCAAGAUCAUACACAAAAGUUUUUGAAAUUCAUGAUUUUUGUUAUACAAACCCUCUAGGGUUUAACAUGGAAUGUUUCAAAGCUGUUCGUAGUGCGGUACCCUACUUGUGGGUAAAGUGUACACCCUCUGCAGAGUGCAAAAACUAUUCGAAUAGCCAUGUCCACGGUGUUGGAUGAGUUACGGCAUGGUCACUUCAAUAGAUAUUUUGGGAUGAUUGGUUUUGUGGCGUGAGUUGUUUUGAAAGUGGCCGGCAGUUGUGCCGUGAGCUACUGUGGAUGUGGAGUCCGGUAGCAUUAAAACUUGGAUCCUUUGUGUAGGAUCAACCCCACUUAUUAUUUGAUUACUACAUAAAUAUUUUUAGAAAGUUCUUUUAUUAAAUGAACCCUUGCAUGUGUCAGACGUUGCUUUAUCGCAAAUGAACCCUAGCCUUAUCCUUGAUAUAUCCUGUGCAUGAUCUUUAUUAUCCCCCUCCGUGGGUGUGGUUGGACUUGUUGAGUAUGUAUGUACUCACUCUUGCUUAGUUUUUACAGAGGAGGAUACAAACUUCAUUCCUGAAGAUGUCGAGUAGGUCGCCGUCCUGUACCCAACCUUGCCUGUGGUUCAGGGUCUCCACAGGAAGCUUACCAUGGCGUAAGACUCUGAUGUUAUCUUAGAUUUUGUUGGCACUUUAGUUUGGCUUUUAGUCCUUAUGUUGUCCCUCAUGAUAGUGGUGCUCCAGUGCCCACUACCUCAACAGUUUGUAUGGUAAUGAACCAUCUGAUGUAAUAAAUGUGUUAUCAGCCUUCUGGGACUGAUAUUUGUAUCACAUUUAGUCACCUCUGAUGAGGGGACACUUCAGGUGGUAUCAGAGCCGUAGGUUGGCCGUAGAAUGUGACCCUUAGGACCGAGGAUAUUUUCUAAGCUGUUUCCCAUUAGAUCUUUCCCACUUAACUCACCUUUCCACACGGCACUUACCUUUGGCCCUUGUCUGGUUCCAGAUAGCUGACAAUGGAUGGAGUGACGGAAUCUGCCCCGCAGAGUUUGGCCUCUCUAAGUUAUUGCUACUCAGCCUAGAACGCAUCAGAGUUGUUGAUCCACUGGAGUGCACCUACCGGGAGUACAACUUCAGAGGCACCCUUCGGUGUGACCUGAUGAUCUUCGUGGGAAAAAGCACACUCUACCCCGACGUGGAUCCCUGGUUCAUCUCCAUCACCGGCUUUGGGUUCCCAGACACCUGCCGAAAGGCUGCCCGAAAAGCCCUGCGACGCAUACGCAUGGUCUAUAAACAUCAUCUUCAGCGAACUCCUAUGGGAUUUUUUCCACCUGCUGGAGUUAGAGGACGCUCAUGGAUUGCCCGGAUGAGAGGAUUGGGAAGGGAAGAAGAACUAGAAGAUACGGUUUCCCACCUAUCCAUUUACCUCACCGGCCUAGACCAACUUUACCGCGAACAGGCAAAACAACUGAAGCACCAAAUCCGCAGGGUAGAAAAGGCAGAACAAGAGUUGGAAAUACAAUGGAGGAGAACAAUAGAAGCUGAGGCACAAGCUGAUAGUUCCCUAGCCUCUCUCCAAGACAUAUGGCGAAGCGACGCUCGAGAAAGGGAACGUAUCGAGGCACGCAGAAGAGAAGCUGGAUUACUGGAAGGAGAACCCGAAGAAACCCAUUGGGAUAAGGGCACUCAGACCGAAGAUGAGGUAUUGGAGCAAUGUCUUCCACCAAAGAAGUGCCCUAACCGGAUCAAGGAAGAAUCCCCUUGGGAAGAGUAGAGUACCUAAGCUAGAGCUAUCAUCCUAGUAAUAAUGUAUCUUUGGGAGAUGUACCCGACCCUGUUGAAAAAUAAAGACUUUGUGCUAGAGGACUGCGAGUAGAUCGUGUCUGCACCCAAGCUGAUCGAGUGGAGCCGUGAUGGUUGAAGAGCUAGUCCUCCAUGCCGUCAUGCUAGUCGUUAUCCUAUGGUUGUGCUGUGUAGCUCUGUGUUGUCGCUUUACCCCUCGUGUACAUGUUGAAUAAAGCUCUGUAUGACUCUGGACUCCACUUGAUGUAACAUGUAUUAUGCCGAAGACCUCAUUCGGUAUUUAAUGCAUGGUUUAGCCUUGAUCUUUGGGUCGGGGCGCUUCAGGUUUAAAAGAUUUUUAAGCGAGUGAUUGGUAAUGCAAUUUAAAUAAGAUAAAAACGUAGGAGUUAAAAACCUACCCCACUUAAAAUGAAUCUCGUCCUCGAGAUUCGGCUGGCUACUAAAUAGAUGGGGAAACUCUUUCUUCAGGGCAUCUUCACGUUCCCAUGUAGCUUCUUCCAUUCCGUGUCUACUUCACUGAACUCUGCAAAUCCGUAUUUCGGAGUUUCUUGUCCUUUUUGUGAUAGUGUCCAAAAUCUUGAUAGGUACUUCCUGGUACCGAAGAUCUGUCUGUAAAUCUAUUUCUUCUUCCGGUACAUGCUCUUUCUCGGGUACCCUCAGACAUCUUCUCAGUUGGGAUAUAUGUAAUACUGGGUGUAUGUCAACCAUUCCUUCUGGUAGCUCUAGACGGUAUGCUAUGGCUCCAAUUUUCUUCUGUACUCAGUACGGUCCAAUGUACCGAGGGGCUAGUUUCCCAUGUACCUGAAAUCUUCGAGUCCCUCGAAAAGGUGAAAUCUUGAGAUAGACGAAGUCUCCUAGAUUGAAGCUUAUUUCUCGUCUCUUCUUGUCUGAGUAACUCUUCUGUUGAGAUUGAACGGCCUUCAGUUUUUCUCUAAUUUCGGCCACUCUUUCUUCCGCUUCCUUUAUGAGUGCGGGUCCAACUAGGGCACGCUCUCCAACUUCUGACCACAUCAGGGGGUUCUGCACUUUCUCACAUAGAGAGCUUCAAAUGGUGACAUGCCCAAGCUUGCUUGAUAACUGUUGUUGUACGAAAACUCAGCACAGGGUAAACUUUGUUCACAAUCCUUGCCAUAAGUAAGGACACAUGAUCUUAGCAUAUCUUCUAUAAUCUGGUUCACCCUUUCUGUUUGACCAUCAGUCUGCGGGUGAUAAGCUGAACUGAAAUCCAACUUGGUGCCCAUGGCCUUAUGCAAACUUUUCCAAAACCUAGAGGUGAAUUGGGUUCCUCUAUCCGAAACAAUUCUACUAGGCACACCAUGCAGCUUCACUAUGUUGUCCACAUAGAGCUGGGCUAGCUUUUCUCCACCAUAAUUGGUCCGUACGGGUAGGCAGUGAGCGACUUUUGUGAGCCGGUCCAAUAUCACCCAUGUGGAGUCAUGUUGUUUCUGUGUCUUGGGUAAACCCACUACAAAAUCCAUUCCUACCUCAUCCCAUUUCCAAACCGGGAUGGGUAAAAGUUGCAGUAAUCCUACUGGCUUCUGAUGUUCAGCCUUGAUUCUUUGACAAGUAUCACAAUCGGCAAUGAACCGUGCAAUGUCCACUUUCAUUCCACUCCACCAAUACUUUUUUCUUAUAUCCACAUACAUCUUGGUGGACCCUGGGUGGAUGGAAUAUGCCGAGUUGUGGGCCUCAUCCAUAAUAGUCUGCCAGAAGUCUCCUUCCUUGGGUACACAAAUUCUACCUUUGUACCAUAAGGUUCCUUUGUUAUUCACUCUAAAAUCCGGUGCCUUGUUCUCUCUAGUAUGCAUGCGGAUUUUCAUCAAGUCCUUGUCUGAACCUUGGGCCUUUCUAAUCUUAUCCUCCAAAGUGGGUUGAACACUCAACUUGCGACUGGAACCAUAGGCGGUGAUGUGCACAUUUAAUCGUGCCAUUUCUUCUUGUAGGUGAGCAUCCUUAAGUCCAUAAGAUUUCCGGCUUAAGGCAUCUACUACCACGUUUUCUUUACCAGGGUGGUAAUGAAUUUCCACAUUAUAAUCCUUAACUAGUUCUAACCACCUUCUUUACCUUAAGUUCAAAUCUGGCUGGGUGAAGAUGUACUUCAAGCUCUUAUGGUCUGUGUAGAUCUCACACUGAUUCCCAAUCAGAUAGUGUCUCCAAAUCUUGAGGGCAUGCACUACGGCUGCAAACUCCAAAUCAUGGGUUGGGUAAUUCUGCUCAUGAGGCUUGAGUUGUCGGGAAGCAUAUGCCACUACUUUCCCAUCUUGCAUAAGGACACAUCCUAAUCCUUGAGGGGAUGCUUCACAGUAAAUGACAAAGUCUCGUUGAAUAUCCGGCAAGUUUAAUACCGGGGCGGUUGUCAGUCUUCUCUUUAACUCCUGGAAGCUUCUCUCACAUGACUCAGUCCAGGUGAACUUCUUCUCUUUCUUGAGUAGUUCUAUCAUGGGUCGGGCUAUCUUGGAGAACCCUUCAAUAAAUCUCCGGUAAUAUCCGGCUAAACUGAGAAAGCUCCUGAUUUCACUGACAUUGGUUGGUUGCUGCCAAUUGGAGACUGCUUCGACUUUUUUGGGAUCCACUGCUACUCCUUCUGUGGUCAAGAUAUGACCAAAGAAUGCUAUUUUCUCAAGCCAAAAUUCACACUUGCUGAACUUGGCGUAGAGCUUGUGUGCUCUCAACUUUUCCAAAACCACUCCUAGGUGCUGCUCAUGUUCUUCGACACUCUUAGAUUAAAUAAGUAUGUUGUUAAUGAAAACUAUGAUAAACUUAUAUAACUCUUCCAUAAACACCUUAUUCAUGAGGUUCAUGAAAUAAGCAGGUGCAUUGGUGAGUCCAAAGGACAUCACUGUAAACUCAUAUUGCCCAUAGCGGGUGACGAAGGCCGUCUUCGGAAUGUUACUUUCCUUAAUCUUGAGCUGAUGAUAUCCUGACCUUAAGUCUAUCUUGGAGAAGUACUUGGCUCCCUUCAGCUGAUCAAAGAGGUCAUCAAUUCUGGGAAGAGGGUAUUUGUUCUUGAUGGUGACUUCAUUUAGUGCAUGGUAAUCCACGCACAUCCUCAUGCUUCCAUCCUUCUUCUUGACGAACAAGACCGGAGCUCCCCAUGGUGAUGAGCUCGGUCUAAUGGAACCACUUUGGUGUAACUCUUCUAGUUGUUUCUUUAGUUCUGCCAAUUCAGAGGCUGCCAUCCUAUAGGGUCUCUUAGCUAUAGGGGAGGUUCUAGGGACCAGGUCAAUGACAAGCUCUAUAUCCCUAUCUGGCGGCAUUCCCGGGAGUUCUUCAGGGAAAACAUCUAGGUAUUCAUUUACUGCUGGAACUUCUUUCAAGGAUUUAGCUUCCAUACUAAAAACUAUUGGGUCCGGUCCACUUCCCCGAGUAUGGCAGGUUACUUGUACUCCUUCUGGGUUGGUUAGGUGUACCACCUUGUCAGCACAACUUAUAAGGCCAUUGUGCAGGCUUAGCCAAUCCAUUCCAAGGAUCACGUCUAUAUCUUUAGACUUAAGUACUACUAGGUCUGCUAGGAACUCUACCCCACUUAAAAUGAUCCUUACCCGAGAAUAAUCCAGUUGACACUUAAUGUCACCUCCAGGCGUUCGGGUUAAUAGGGGUGUUUUUAGUAGUACUGUUGGUAUAUUGUGAUUUUCCACAAAACUUGAGGAUACAAAUGAAUGUGAUGCUCCAGAAUCAAAUAAUAUUGUUGCCAAAACUGAGCUGACUAGAAACUCACCGAGCACUACACCCUGAGCAUCCUGAGGCUCUUGCGCGUUGAUGUGGUUCACGCGGGCUCGUCCGAAGGACUGCUGGGGCGGCCUCAUCUGCUAGUUGUUGUUGCCGGUGUUGUUGCUGCGGAUGGGUACACGAUUGGCUCCUGAUAGAGCUGGCCUUGGUCCAUUCACCGAGUUGGAGAAGGCUGAUGCUGCCGGCUUGUUGUUGGCAUAUGGAUAGUUGGCAAUGAAGUGCCCUGUCUCACGGCAGUUGAAGCAUGCUCGGGCAUUGUUGCUGGUAGUAACUUGGCUUGCAUUGCUCUGUGGGGCCUUCAUGGUGUUCUAGCUCUUGAAUUGCCUGAAUUGGGUGUUGGGGGCCUGAGAGCCAGUAGCUUGUGACUGGGUCCUGUACUGCAUAGGGGCUUGGGACCUAGGCACUGGAGAGCCGAAGUGCCUCGGCUUGUGGAAAUGGUCCUGCUGGCGAGCCUUAGUUUCCAGGAACUUACGCUUAUUGUCUCUCUUUUCCUCUGCCAUGGCUCUCUUGGUGAUGAUAGCCAUGUUCAUCAGUGUGUUGAAGUCUGGGUAGAUGCAUGGGGAAAGCAGCUUCUUAAAUUCUGGAUCCAAACCCUUUUUGAAUAUAUCCUGCUUCUUUUCAUCCUUGUUUACUUCCUCCGGUGCAUAGCGAGCUAGUUCUAUGAACUGAUAUGUGUACUCCUCAACGGACUUGUUGCCUUGUUGCAGCUCACGAAACUCAUCUGCCUUGCGCUUCAUGGUGGCUGCUAGGAUGUGAUAGCGACGGAACUCAUCCACAAAUUUCUUCCAAGUGAUAAUGGAGGCAUCCUGAGCAGUUGCACAGUAGUUCUCCCACCAAGCUAAAGCAGUUCCAGUGAGCUGGUGAGCAGCCAAACAGACCUUGUCACGGUCUCCAUGCUCAAAUGGCUUGAGUUUUCUCUUGAUAACAUGCAGCUAGUCAUCUGCCUCCAAGGGGUUGUUGAAUCCUGCAAAGGUGGGUGGCUUGGUCCUCAGAAAAGCUGUCAGUUUGUCAUUUGUACUCUGCUCACGGGGCCUUGGGUUGGUGAUGACAUUAGUCAAAGCUUCCAGUAGGAGGUUCUAGUUGUUCAACACUUGCACCAGGUCAAUGGCCGGUAGGGGUGGGGCCUGACGUGCUCCCACUUGGCUUUCUCCGUCCUGCUGGCUUACUUCCUGAUCCUCCUGAUCUUCAUGGCCGGGGACUUGUCCUUGCACACCCUGCUGCCUCUCCGCACUUGGAGUGGUACGUGCCUGACUUUGGGAAGUCCUGGCGUUAUGCCUGGGGGCCAUCUGUGGAUUGGGUAAAACUUUUAUGAGACUUAGAUUUGGAAUUAAGUGAUGUUUAAAUUAUUUACUUUCAUAUUUUUGAAAAGGCAUAAUCCACCUCCUGCCGACAAGCACAUAGACUAACAAGCAUCAAGCACAAACAGUUUUAUUUAUUAAGCUGGGGGUACAACACUUGGGAGGGCACAGCCAAAACACACACUACACAGUCGGGUACAAAGGGCACAACAGAUGGGAGGGGCACAACUCUAAGCUUGAGGCCAGGACGGCUUCAUUCCUAGGGGCAUCUCUGAGGCAUGCUACUCACGGGGUGAGCCGUCUUCCGGGGCGGAGUGCACUUCCAGUGGGAUGAGUAGCUCUUCCUCGUCGUCCUCGAGGAUCCCAUUUACUCGGGGCUGGUCGAUAGCUUCUUCUUCUGCGGCCGCAGCUAACCAUUCGGCACCUUCGGGUGGACCUUGCGGGGUCCCAAAAAGUCAUCCCCAUCCUAUGAUAGGUUUCCAAUUAGGACUUGGGUCUCCCCGAUUGCCGGGACGGGCAUUCCACUGCUGGUCCAUUCUUGCAUACGCCGAUCCUGGAUCUGCCUGAGGUUCUCAUGAGUGACAGCUUCGCUACUGUGACAUCCUGGAACAAUUUACCAAAGAAAUCAUACGCUAAGAAUAUCUUUUUCAGAAACCUUUUUGUCGAAGCCCUAAUUCCCCGGAACCCCGAACCAACACCCGAAUCCGACCGCUGUCACGCCCCCCUUUUUCUCCUCGCGCAGCGUGCGAAUGUCGCGAGCGCGUGGCCGACCAACCGCGGUCGCCGCCGCGAAUAUCGCCGGCGCGUGUCACCCCCUCCUCUGUUUCCUGUCAAUGAGAGGGGGAAGAAGGAGGGCAGAUUUGCCCAAAGCCCCCUGUCCUUUCCCCUAUUCUUUAAGGAACCCCCACCCCUCUUUAGCCUUUUCCCAAAGAAACCCCUUCAACAUUCCUAAUUGCAAAUAAACCCUCACCCAUAUAAACACACCCUUAUCUUUUUCCAGGAUAACCCAAACCUUCCCCAAAAUUCCAAAUGAGUCCUUUUCAGUAAUUACAAACAAGUCCCUAGACCCUUGUUUAGACCCUAACACCCCGUUAACUUAUCAUUUUAUGUCCCAAACGAUCUCUGAUCGACCCGAAACUUUACCACGCCCUUUUUACUAUGGUUUCGACCAUGCCAUCAGGAAACCACCCAAAAAUAUGAUCCCUAUCUCCAUAACUAAUCUGUUUCUGACUCGAACUCAAUGAUAAAAGCUUUUAGUUCAUUCGAUUGAUUGGGUGCCUGUUUGUUUGCGUCGUAGGACACAGAGUGAACGAGGAAGGCCCCGACUGUGAUCAAGUGAACGAGGACCAGUUCUGCGACCUCGAACCCGAGGGACAGUGCUUCGAUCAGGACCUCCUGCAAGGAUUUGAUGAUGGCAAGUUCAAUCCCGCCCUUUGAUGCAUGUUUCUAUCCUAGUUUUUAUCAACACAACCCAUUGGCCUGUUUUAUAAAAUUGCAUGUGUUUUGUUUGCUGAAAACAUGGUAGGAUAGCCACCCCUUGAUUUGUGAUAACCAUUCCUUGACCACCUGGUUUUAUAAAGAAAAUGUGUGCGUGUGUGGGAGGGAUAAAUUUGGAAUUUUGAAAGAUGGGUUUACACGGGAUGGAUGGCAUUUCUGUGUGAUUUGCCGAUUAGAGUGCUCGUGCCUGUGUGGCAGGGCAAGGAAAGGAGAUAUCCAUCUUGUCACCCCUAAGGACCGAGUUGAUGUGUCAUCUCACCUAGCUUCCUGUCGUGCAAACCACUUGACCGUUGUAUGGGCAACGGUUUAGCAUAAACCCCACUAGUUAGUCUGAUAGCCAUCAGGAGAGCUAAGAGCAACGGGUGAUCAAGGAGAAGGGAUAAGCCCUGUGUGACUUAUGCCCCGGUUAAACCUCGGAGAUAGGUCGAAUGACCCCUUGAUGGAUCCCGUGGUGGCUAGUCAGGUCUAGCUAAGGUGGGUAAUGGCUUUGCUGGGAUCUGCACCGACACUAAGGUGAUCGUGCUGUGGUACCCCACCUGUGGGUAAAGUUGCACACCUUUGCAGAGUUAAAAUCUAUUCGAAUAGCCGUGCCCACGGUAUUGGGCAAGUUACGGUGUGGUCACAUAACUAGUGUUUCUCUCUGGGAAUGGUUGGACUGGUGUGAGUUGUUUGGAAAGUGUCCGGCAGUUGUGCUGUGUGCUACGGCGGACGGGUGUCCGGUAGCAGCUUAAAAUUUGGAUCCUGUGUGGAUCAAUAUCAUGUGCUCCUUGGUACUUAAAAACUUGUUUUGAAAAAUGUUUUUAAACAAACCUUUGUAUACAACCGAGUUUUCCGCAAAAGAACCCUAACUUUAUCCUUGGACUGUCCUGUGCAUUGAUUUCUGUUAUACCCCCCCGUGGGUGUGAUUGGACUUGCUGAGUACGUUUGUACUCACCUCACUCUUACUUUUUACAGCAGAAGACCUAGACUACCUCCCCGAAGACGUCGAGUAGGGUUUCGUCCUGCACCCAGUCUUGCCUGUGGUUAGGAACACCGCUGGAGUUCCGCAUGGCACAAGACUCUGAUGACCCUCUUUUCGUAGCUAGUGUAGUAGUGUGGGUUUUAGUUGUAAUCCUCGCGAUAGUGGCGCUUCACUGCCCAUUACCGCGUAGAGUUGUACGGUGAUGUACCAUCUGAUGUAAUAAAAGUGUUAUCAGCCUCCUGGGACUGAUAAAGCAUCACUUUUAAGUCUUCCCUGAUGGGGGGACGCUUCAGGUGGUAUCAAAGCCGUAGGCUGGCCGUAGGACGUGACCCUAGAAACGAGACCCUUUUACAGGCCCCAGGACUUGUUCUGACUUAGCUCUUUUCCUGCACAAACACUCACCACUGGUUCUUGUCCUGUUCCAGAUGGCUGACAAUGGAUGGGUUGACGGAAUCUGCCACGCAGAGCCGGCCUUCCUAAGUUAUUAAUACUCAGCCUGGAACGCAUCGGAGUUAUGGAACCACCAGAGUAUGCCUACCGAGAAUACACCUCCAAGGGCACCCUUCGGUGCGACAUGAUGGUCUUUGUGGGAAAAAGCACCCACUACCCUGAUGUGGACCCCUAGUUCAUCUCCACCUCUGGCUUUCGCUUCCCUGACACCUAUCGAAAGGCCGCCCGUAAAGCCCUGCGACGACUGCGUGUGAUCUACAAGCACCACCUUUAGCGGACUCCUAUGGGAUUUUUCCCACCUACUGAGGAAGAGGACGCACUUGGAUUGCCCGGAUGAGAGGACUCGGAAGAGAAGAAGAAGACCUAGAAGAUACGGUCUCCCACCUAUCCAUCUACCUUACCGGCUUGGAUGAACUCUACCGCGAACAGGCGGCACAGCUGAAGCAGCUAAUCCAUAGGGCAGAAAAGGCAACGCAGGAACUGGAAGAACAAUAGAUAAGAGCCGCACGCGCUGAGUAUUCCUUAGCCGCCCUCCAAGCCCAGAUGCAGGAAUACGAAAACCGCAGAGAAAUAAGUGGAUGGAUAGAGGAAGAAGAGGAACCCGAGGAAACCCAUUGGGAUAAAAGUACUCAGACCGAAGAUGAGGUGAUGGAUCGGUGCCUCCCAAUAAAGAAGCGCCCUGUCAGAAUCGGGGAAGAAUCCCCAUGAUAGGAGUAGCACUCCAAGCUAGAACCCUACCCUAAUAACCAUGUAUCCAUGGAAACGGUACCCCCCAUGUUGCAAUAAUAAAUGUUACCUACUCCCUUUUGUACCUGUGCAAGAUUGUUUACCCUGUCCUUGUUUCAGAUGGCUGAGGAAGGAUGGACCCAGGGCAAUUGCCAAGCUGCACCUGGCUUUCCCAGCCUUUUGAUCAACGCCCUGGAAAGCCUUGGCGUUACAGAAUGCCCAAGGUACUAUAGCAGAGAGUACGAACACCAUGGUACCCUCCGCUGCAGGGUGAUCUUGGUCAUCGCCAGGAGCAACCGCUACCCCGACAUCCAGCCAUGGCGAGUGACUGCCACAGGGUUUAGGCACCAGGACACCUACCCCUUGACCGUCAGAAAAGCACUCCGUUAUUUAUGCUGGAUUUUUGAAAGACACCUCGCCCCCACGCCAGUGAGGUUCUUCCCGCCGGCCGUCAGAACCCCAGUUUGGGAAGCACGCAUGAGAAGUCUGGAACGACGUCGCCAUGAAGAAGGCCCUCUGUACCAAGUGGCUACUUAUCUAGCCGCAUUGGACUAUCUAGCCACAUUGGACCAACUCUUUGAUGAGCAAGCCAACCUUCUGAGAGAGCAGACCCAUCGAGCUGAGCAAGCAGAGCUCGCAAUAAGACUGCAGUAGAUCCGAGCCUCCCAAGCCGAGGCAAGGGCCGCAGCCGCGGUCAACAGUGAAGCAGUCGCCCAAGAGAGCCUCAGGCAGGCCCGAGACCGGCGUAUGCAAGAAUGGACCCAAAGUGGAACACCAGUCCCGGCAAUUGGAGAAGACCAUGUUUUACUCGGGACACCCGUCAUAGGAUGGGGACCACUUCUUGGAAAUUCACAAGCCCCAUCCGAGAACCCUGAAAGUUCUGCUACCGCCGUUGAAAGAGAUGGUGCUGCACAACCCUUGGCAAAUGGAAAUCCAGAGAGCGGCGAGCAAGGAUUACUCACACUCCUCGCCCCGGAAGAAGGCACGCCCCGCGAGUAAAAUAACCGACGCCGCCCUAGUGAUGUACCCCCCCCAGCCUCUUUUGCUUAAGUCGUGCCCUUAGGCAUGACCCCGGACGAGUAGUACGAGAUCUGGUUUUACCCCCAAGCUGUACCCCCUUGCAGUAAUGAAGUUGUUUGUGCUUGUUGUUUGUGAUGUUGUAUGCUGGUUUGUUGUGUGCUGUUUGUUUGUGUGACUACCAGCAGGAGGUAGAUUCUGCCUUAUAUACGAAUUAAACAACUUAAACAUCAUGUAAUCGUAACCCCAAUCUACCCAAUCAACAGGUGGCUCCCCGGAACGUCACGAGGGCCUCCCAUAGCCGGAACCCCGCAGCCGCUGGUGCCGGAGCACAGCCUGUUGGACAAGAUCUUCCUCAGGGAGAACAGGAAGUAAGCCAGAACCGAGGGGAAAAUCAAGGAGGAGAGCAACUACCACCACCCCCACCCCUCGAAGACCUGGCACAGAUAAUCCACAACCAGACCCUUAUACUGGAAACACUGGCUAAUGCCCUCGUUAACCGGCAACCACGAGGGCAGAACAUGAAUGACAAGCUGACAGCUUUUUUGAGGACCAAGCCGCCCACCUUUGCCGGAUCCUGCAACCCUUUGGAUGCAGAUGACUGGUUACGAGUAAUCUAGAGGAAACUCGAACCGUUUGAAUGUCAGGACCGAGACAAAGUCCUUCUGGCAGCUCACCAACUCACCGGAACCGCAUUAGCCUAGUGGGAGAAUUAUUGUGCCGCAGUCGAGGAUGCCUCUACCAUCACUUGGGAGGAAUUCGUGAGGGAGUUCCGCCGUUAUCACAUCCCUUCGGCCACCAUGAAGCGCAAGGCGGAUGAGUUCCGCGCACUGCAGCAAGGAAGCAUGACGGUGGAAGAGUACACCCACCGGUUCAUGGAGUUAGCCCGAUAUGCACCGGAGGAAGUGAACGAUGAUGACAAGAAACAAGACAUGUUUAAGAAGGGACUAAACCCAGAACUCCGGACCUUGCUUACCCCUUAGAUCUAUCCUGACUUCAAUACCUUGAUGAACAAGGCUAUCCUUACGGAAAGGGCCAAAACCGAAGAGAGGAAGGAUAACAAACGCAAACUCCUGGAAAGUAAGGCCCGCCAGCAGGACCGUUUCCAAAAGCCAAGAAACUUCAGCUACACUGCACCAAGAUCUCAGGUCCCAAUGCAGUAUAGGACUCAGUCUCAAGUGAUGGGACCACGGGCCCCUAACACACAGCCUAGGAGCCAGAGUACCAUGAGGGCCCCGCAGAGCAAUGCAAGCCUGGUCGCCUGCGAGAACAACAGUGUUAAGGCCUGUUUUAACUGCCGUGAGACAGGGCAUUUCAUCGCCAAUUGCCCUUAUGCCAAGAAUAAGCCGGCUACAUCAGCCUUCUCCAACACGGUGAAUGGACCCAGACCAGCCCUGACCGGUGCCAACCGAGUACCCGUCCGCAACAACGACAACAGUCAGCAGAUGAAGCAGCCCCAGCAAUCAUUUGGAUGAGCCCGCGUCAAUCACAUCAACGCGCAGGAGGCUCAAGGAGCUCAGGGCGUAGUGCUCAGUUAGUACCUAGCCAACUCAGCUCUGGCAACAGUACUAUUUGAUUCUGGAGCAUCGCACUCGUUCAUAUCCUCAAGUUCUGUGGAAAAACACAAAAUACCCACAGUACUACUAAAAACACCUCUACUAACCCGGACGCCUGGAGGCGACAUCAAAUGUCAACUAGGCUGUCCACGGGUAAGGAUCAAUUUAAGUGGGGUAGAAUUUCUAGCAGACUUGGUAGUACUUAAGUAUGGGGGAAUAGACGUGAUCCUUGGAAUGGAUUGGUUAAGCUGACACAAUGGUCUCAUAGGCUGUACUGACAAAGUGGUACACCUAACAAACCCCGAAGGAGUACAAGUAAUCUGCCAUAUCCGGGAAAGCAAGUUUAACCCAAUGGUGUUUAGCAUGGAAGCCAUGCCCUCAGGGGGAGUCCCGGCAGUAAACGAAUACCCAGAUGUCUUCCCCGAAGAACUUCCCGGUAUGCCACCAGACAGGGAUAUAGAGUUCGUCAUUGACCUUAUCCCUGGAACCUCCCCUAUAGCCAAGAGACCCUAUAGGAUGGCAGCCUCUGAGUUGAUGGAAUUAAAGAAGCAACUAGAAGAACUGCAAUGAAUUGGCUUCAUCAGACCAAGCUCGUCGCCAUGGGGAGCCCCAGUUCUAUUUUGUCAAGAAGAAAGAUGGGAGUAUGAGGUUGUGUGUAGAUUACCGGGCACUGAAUGAGGUUACCAUUAAGAAUAAGUACCCCCUCCCCAGGAUUGAUCACCUUUUCGAUCAGCUAAAAGGAGCCAAGUACUUUUCCAAGAUCGAACUCAGGUCAGGAUAUUUUCAGCUCAAGAUUAGAGAAAGUGACAUCCCUAAGACAGCUUUUGUCACCCGUUACGGGCAGUUUGAGUUCGCCGUAAUGUCCUUCGGACUAACCAAUGCCCCUGCCUAUUUUAUGAACCUCAUGAAUAAAGUAUUCAUGGACGAGCUGAAUAAGUUUGUCGUAGUCUUUAUCGACGACAUACUUGUCUACUCCAAGAGUAUUCAGGAACAUGAGCAACACCUGCGGGUAGUAUUGGAAAAGCUGAGAAUACAUAGGCUAUAUGCCAAGUUUAGCAAGUGUGAAUUCUGGCUGGAGAGAGUAGCUUUCCUUGGUCACAUUUUGACCGUGGAAGGCGUAGUAGUGGACCCAGAGAAGGUCGAAGCAGUUUCCAAUUGGCAGCGACCGACUAAUGUUAGUGAAAUCAGAAGUUUUCUUGGAUUAACUGGGUACUAUCGGAGAUUUAUUGAGCGAUUCUCCAAGAUAGCCUGACCCAUGACGGAACUUCUUAAGAAGGAGAAGAAGUUCGCCUGGACGGAAUCUUGUGAAAGAAGUUUUCAAGAAUUAAAGCAAAGGUUGACAACCGCCCCAGUGCUGACCCUGCCGGACAUUCAUCGGGAUUUUGUCAUUUAUUGUGAUGCAUCCUGACAAGGAUUAGGAUGUGUGCUGAUGCAAGACGGAAAAGUCGUUGCAUAUGCUUCCCGCCAACUCAGGACUCACGAGUAGAACUAUCCGACCCAUGAUUUGGAACUUGCAGCCGUAGUGCAUGCCCUUAAGAUUUGGAGACAUUACUUGAUUGGAAAUAAGUGUGAGAUUUAUACCGACCAUAAGAGUCUGAAGUAUAUCUUCACCCAGCCGGAUUUGAACUUAAGGCAGAGAAGGUGGUUGGAGUUGGUUAAGGACUACAAUUUGGAAAUCCAUUAUCACCCCGGAAAGGCGAAUGUGGUAGCCGAUGCCUUAAGCCGGAAAUCCUAUGGACCCAAAAAUGACCAUCUACGCGAGGAAAUGGCACGAUUAAAUGUGCACAUUGUUCCUCGAGGUUCCAGCCAUGUGCUGAACAUCCAAUCAACACUAGAGGAUGGAAUUAGAGAGGCUCAACGCUCGGAUCAGGAGUUAAUAAGGAUCUGCAAACAAACUGGAGAAAACAAAGCACCGGGUUUCAGAGUGGACGAUAAGGGAACGUUGUGGUACGAGAAUAGGAUUUGUGUACCCCAGAAUGGAGACUUCCGGCGGAUAAUCAUGGAUGAAGCCCAUAACUCGGCCUACUCCAUCCACCCAGGAUCCACCAAAAUGUAUAUGGACAUAAGGCAAAAAUAUUGGUGGAAUGGAAUGAAGGCGGAUAUUGCACGAUUUGUGGCUCAUUGUGAUACUUGUCAAAGGAUCAAGGGCGAACAUCAAAAGCCAGCAGGAUUAUUGCAACCCCUACCCAUUCCGAUUUGGAAAUGGGAUGAGAUAGGAAUGGACUUUGUAGUGGGCCUACCUAGAACACAGAAGGUGCACGAUUCCAUAUGGUUAAUAGUAGACCGACUCACUAAAUCGGCUCAUUUCAUACCCGUACGAACUAAUUACGGUGGAGAAAAGCUGGCGAAGCUUUAUGUGGAAAACAUAGUAAAGUUACAUGGAGUGCCUAGCAGAAUUGUCUUAGAUAGAGGAACCCAAUUCACCUCUAGGUUUUGGAAAAGCUUGCAUCAAGCCAUGGGCACCAAGUUAGAUUUCAGCUCCGCAUAUCACCCACAGACGGAUGGUCAAACCGAAAGGGUAAAUUAGAUUAUGGAGGAUAUGCAAAGAGCAUGCGUUCUGACCUAUUGAAGUCAGGAUAGAUCUGAGGGGUAAGCAAGGUCCGGAGUUCUGGGUUUAGUCCCUUCUUGAACAUGUCUUGUUUCUUGUCAUCGUCGUUCACUUCCUCCGGUGCAUAUCGGGCUAACUCCAUGAACUGGUGGAUGUACUCUUCCACUGUCAUGCUUCCUUGCUGCAGUGCGCGGAACUCAUCCGCCUUGCGCUUCAUGGUGGCCGAAGGGAUGUGAUAACGGCGGAACUCCCUCACGAAUUCCUCCCAAGUGAUGGUAGAGGCAUCCUCGGCUGCGGCACAAUAAUUCUCCCACCAGGCUAAUGCGGUUCCGUUGAGUUGGUGGGCUGCCAGAAGGACUUUGUCUCGGUCCUGGCAUUCAAACGGUUCGAGUUUCCUCUGGAUUACUCAUAACCAGUCAUCUGCAUCCAAAGGGUUGCAGGAUCCGAUAAAGGUGGGCGGCUUGGUCCUUAGAAAAGCUGUCAGCUUGUCAUUCAUGUUCUGCCCUCGUGGUUGCCGGUUAACGAGGGCAUUGGCCAGUGUUUCCAGUAUAAGGGUCUGGUUGUGGAUUAUCUGUGCCAGGUCUCUGAGGGGUGGGGGUGGUGGUAGUUGCUCUCCUCCUUGAUUUUCCCCUCGGUUCUGGCUUACUUCCUGUUCUCCCUAAGGAAGAUCUUGUCCAACACGCUGUGCUCCGGCACCAGCGGCUGCGGGGUUCCGGCUACGGGAGGCCCUCGUGACGUUCCAGGGAGCCACCUGUUGAUUGGGUAGAUUGGGGUUACGAUUACGUGAUGUUUAAGUUGUUUAAUUCGUAUAUAAGGCAGAAUCUACCUCCUGCCGGUAGUCACACAAACAAACAGCACACAACAAACCAGCAUACAACAUCACAAACAACAAGCACAAACAACUUCAUUACUGCAUGGAGGUAGAGCUUGGGCAUAAAACCAGAUCUCGUACUACUCGUCCGGGGUCAUGCCUAAGGGCACGACUUAAGCAAAAGAGGCUGGGGGGGGGUACAUCACUAGGGCGGCGUCGGUUAUUUUACUCGCGGGGCGUGCCUUCUUCCGGGGCGGGGAGUGUGAGUAAUCCUAGCUCGCUGCUCUUUGGAUUUCCAUUUGCCAAGGGUUGUGCAGCACCAUCUCUUUCAACGGCGGUAGCAGAACUUUCAGGGUUCUCGGAUGGGGCUUGUGAAUUUCCAAGAAGUGGUCCCCAUCCUAUGACGGGUGUCCCGAGUAAAACAUGGUCUUCUCCAAUUGCCGGGACUGGUGUUCCACUUCGGGUCCAUUCUUGCAUACGUCGGUCUCGGGCCUGCCUAAGGCUCUCUUGGGCGACUGCUUCGAUGCUGACCGCGGCUGCGGCCCUUGCCUCGGCUUGGGUGGUUCGAAUCUGCUGCAGUCUUACUGCGAGCUCUGCUUGCUCAGCUCGAUGGGUCUGCUCUCUCAGAAGGUUGGCUUGCUCAUCAAAGAGUUGGUCCAAUGCGGCUAGAUAAGUAGCCACUUGGUACAGAGGGCCUUCUUCAUGGCGACGUCGUUCCAGACUUCUCAUGCGUGCUUCCCAAACUGGGGUUCUGAAGGCCGGCGCGAAGAACCUCACUGGCGUGGGGGCGAGGUGUCUUUCAAAAAUCCAGCAUAAAUAACGGAGUGCUUUUCUGAUGGUCAAGGGGUAGGUGUCCUGGUGCCUAAACCCUGUGGCAGUCACUCGCCAUGGCUGGAUGUCGGGGUAGCGGUUGCUCCUGGCGAUGACCAAGAUCACCCUGCAGCGGAGGGUACCAUGGUGUUCGUACUCUCUGCUGUAGUACCUUGGGCGUUCCGUAACGCCAAGGCUUUCCAGGGUGUUGAUCAAAAGGCUGGGAAAGCCAGGUGCAGCUUGGCAAUUGCCCUGGGUCCAUCCUUCCUCAGCCAUCUGAAACAAGGACAGGGUAAACAAUCUUGCACAGGUACAAAAGGGAGUAGGUAACAUUUAUUAUUGCAACAUGGGGGGUACCGUUUCCAUGGAUACAUGGUUAUUAGGGUAGGGUUCUAGCUUGGAGUGCUACUCCUAUCAUGGGGAUUCUUCCCCAAUUCUGACAGGGCGCUUCUUUAUUGGGAGGCACCGAUCCAUCACCUCGUCUUCGGUCUGAGUACUUUUAUCCCAAUGGGUUUCCUCGGGUUCCUCUUCUUCCUCUAUCCAUCCACUUAUUUCUCUAUGGUUUUCGUAUUCCUGCAUCUGGGCUUGGAGGGCGGCUAAGGAAUACUCAGCGCGUGCGGCUCUUAUCUAUUGUUCUUCCAGUUCCUGGGUUGCCUUUUCUGCCCUAUGGAUUAGCUGCUUCAGCUGUGCCGCCUGUUCGCGGUAGAGUUCAUCCAAGCCGGUAAGGUAGAUGGAUAGGUGGGAGACCGUAUCUUCUAGGUCUUCUUCUUCUCUUCCGAGUCUUCUCAUCCGGGCGAUCCAAGUGCGUCCUCUUCCUCCAGUAGGUGGGAAAAAUCCCAUAGGAGUCCGCUGAAGGUGGUGCUUGUAGAUCACACGCAGUCGUCGCAGGGCUUUACAGGCAGCCUUUCGGUAGGUGUUAGGGAAGCGAAAUCCAGAGGUGGAGAUGAACUAGGGGUCCACAUCAGGGUAGCGGGUGCUUUUUCCCACAAAGACCAUCAUGUCGCACCGAAGGGUGCCCUUGGAGGAGUAUUCUCGGUAGGCAUACUCUGGUGGUUCCAUAACUCCGAUGCGUUCCAGGAUGAGUAUUAAUAACUUAGGAAGGUCGGGCUCUGCGUGGCAGAUUUCGUCAACCCAUCCAUUGUCAGCCAUCUGGAACAGGACAAGAACCAGUGGUGAGUGUUUGCGCAGGAAAAGAGCUAAGUCAGAAUAAGUCCUAGGGCCUGUAAAAGGGUCUCGUUUCUAGGGUCACGUCCUACGGCCAGCCUACGGCUCUGAUACCACCUGAAGCGUCCCCCCAUAAGGGAAGACUUAAAAGUGAUGCUUUAUCAGUCCCAGGAGGCUGAUAACACUUUUAUUACAUCAGAUGGUACAUCACCGUACAACUCUACGCGGUAAUGGGCAGUGAAGCGCCACUAUCGCUAGGAUUACAACUAAAACCCACACUACUACACUAGCUAUGAAAAGAGGGUCAUCAGAGUCUUGUGCCAUGCGGAACUCCAGCGGUGGCCCUAACCACAGGCAAGACUGGGUGCAGGACGAAACCCUACUCGACGUCUUCGGGGAGGUAGUCUGGGUCUUCUGCUGUAAAAAGUAAGAGUGGGGUGAGUACAAACGUACUCAGCAAGUCCAAUCACACCCACGGGGGGGGUAUAAUAGAAAUCAAUGCACAGGACAGUCCAAGGAUAAAGUUAGGGUUCUUUUGCGGAAAACUCGGUUGUAUACAAAGGUUCGUUUAAAAACAUUUUUCAAAACAAGUUUUUAAGUACCAAGGAGCACAUGAUAUUGAUCCACACAGGAUCCAAAUUUUAAGCUGCUACCGGACACCCGUCCGCCGUAGCACACGGCACAACUGCCGGACACUUUCCAAACAACUCACACCAGUCCAACCAUUCCCAGAGAGAAACACUAGUUAUGUGACCACACCGUAACAUGCCCAAUACAGUGGGCACGGCUAUUCGAAUAGAUUUUAACUCUGCAGAGGUGUGCAACUUUACCCACAGGUGGGGUACCACAGCACGAUCACCUUAGUGUCGGUGCAGAUCCCAACAAAGCCAUUACCCACCUUAGCUAGACCUGACUAGCCACCACGGGAUCCAUCAAGGGGUCAUUCGACCUAUCUCCGAGGUUUAACCGGGGCAUAAGUCACACAAGGCUUAUCCCUUCUCCUUGAUCACCCGUUGCUCUCAGCUCUCCUGAUGGCUAUCAGACUAACUAGUGGGGUUUAUGCUAAGCCGUUGCCCAUACAACGGUCAAGUGGUUUGCACGACAGGAAGCUAGGUGAGAUGACACAUCAACUCGGACCUUAGGGGUGACAAGAUGGAUAUCUCCCUUCCUUGCCCUGCCACACAGGCACGAGCACUCCAAUCGGCAAAUCACACAGAAAUGCCAUCCAUCCCGUCUAAACCCAUCUUUCAAAAUUCCAAAUUUAUCCCUCCCACACACGCACACAUUUUCUUUAUAAAACCAGGUGGUCAAGGAAUGGUUAUCACAAAUCAAGGGGUGGCUAUCCUACCAUGUUUUCAGCAAACAAAACACAUGCAAUUUUAUAAAACAGGCCAAUGGGUUGUGUUGAUAAAAACUAGGACAGAAACAUGCAUCAAAGGGCGGGAUUGAACUUGCCAUCAUCAAAUCCUUGCGGGAGGUCCUGAUCGAAGCACUGUCCCUCAGGUUCGGGGUCGCAGAACUGGUCCUCGUUCGCUUGAUCACAGUUGGGGCCUUCCUCGUUCACUUCGUGUCCUACGACGCAAACAAACAGGUACCCAAUCAAUUGAACGAACUAAAAGCUUUUAUCGUUGAGUUCGAGUCGGAAACAGAUUAGUUAUGGAGAUAGGGACAAUAUUUUUGGGUGGUUUCCUGAUGGCAUGGUCGAAACCAUAGUAAAAAGGGCGUGGUAAAGUUUCGGGUCAAUCGGAGAUCGUUUGGUACAUAAAAUGAUAAGUUAACGGGGUGUUAGGGUCUAAACAAGGGUCUAGGGACUUGUUUGUAAUUACUGAAAAGGACUCGUUUGGAAUUUCGGGGAAGGUUUGGGUUAUCCUGGAAAAAGAUAAGGGUGUGUUUAUAUGGGUGAGGGUUUAUUUGCAAUUAGGAAUGUUGAAGGGGUUUCUUUGGGAAAAGGCUAAAGAGGGGUGGGGGUUCCUUAAAGAAUAGGGGAAAGGACAGGGGGCUUUGGGCAAAUCUGCCCUCCUUCUUCCCCCUCUCGUUGACAGGAAACAGAGGAGGGGGGGGCUCCUGCGCCGGCCUAUUCCGGCGGCCUAGGGCGCGGCGGCAGCCGGGGGUAGGGGCAAAAGAGAGAGGGGGGCAAGGGGAUUCCAUCCCCUUUCUCACCUCGAGCUAGGGUGGAGCGUGGAGGACGGGCCACUGCAGCCAUCGGGCGGCGACAGGGCCGUGGGCGGUGGCGGCGCUGAGGGCUUGGGGAGGGGGCGCGCAGUGGCGAGGGCGGUGGUGGUGGCCGGGAGCUGCGCGAAGGCCCUACUUAUAGGCCGGGGAAGGCGGUGGAGGGGGGUGGCCGUGACGGUGGCCGGUGCGGAGCGCCAUUAAUGGCGCUUCGGCCGUUUGUUUGCGUCGCAUUGUGGCGUGCGGUGAUGGUCAGGCGCAGGGUAGGCGGCGCUGUGCGGCUUGUCGACGGGGGGCGCGGGGAGCAGUGCCGCUCGUGUCACGCGUGGGCGCGCACGUGGCCCUGCGGGAGCCCGGGCGCUGAGGCGGCGAGCGGGAUGCGGUGCGCGGCCGUCCUGUCGACGAGCGGCACGGCGGGGGGUGCGGCACGCGGUGCACGUGGGGCGAGCGCGUGCGCGCGCGGCACGGCAGAGAAUGGUGAGCGGCGCGUCGGGGCGUGCGCGAGGGAAGGGGGCGACGUGGCUCGGAAGCCGGAGGCCGGGCGGCGUGGCCGUGUGGCGUUCAGGAGCAGAGGAAGGAGAGAGGAGAAGGGAGGAGAAGGGAGGAGAAGGGAGGAGGAGGGAAAAGGAAGGAUAAAAGAAAAGGGAGGGAAAGAAAAGGAAAAAGAAAAGGGGAGGAAAAGAAAAGGAAAAGAAGAAAUGGUGGAAGGAAAAAGGGAAAGAGAGAAAGGGAGAAAAAGGGGGUGACGCGCGCCGGCGAUAUUCGCGGCGGCGAUCGCGGCUUGUCGGCCACGCGCGCGUGACAUUCGCACACUGCGCGAGGAGAAAAGGGGGGGCGUGACAGCGGUCGGAUUCGGGUGUCGGUUCGGGGUUCCGGGGAAUUAGGGCUUCGACAAAAAGGUUUCUGAAAAAGAUAUUCUUAGCGUAUGAUUUCUUUGGUAAAUUUUUCCGGGAUGUCACAGCUACUUAUAGCGGCCGCGGUUCUUGCUUCGUCUUGAGCCACCUAGAUUUGGUGCAUCCUCACUGCAAGCUCUGCUUGCUCGGCCCGGUGGGUUUGCUCCCUUAGGAAUCGGGCUUGCUCGUCGAAGAGCUUGUCCAAGGAGACGAGGUAGGCAACCACAUGGUACAAAAGGUCUUCUUGAUGGCGGCGCCAUUCCAAGUUCCUCAUGCGGGCCUGCCAGACUUGCGUCCUGAUGGCUGGGGGAAAAAUCCUCAUCGGUGUGGGAAUAAGGUGUUCCUCGAAGAUCCGGCACAGGUAGCAGAGAGCCUUUCUGAUGGCCAAGGGAUAGGCAUCCCGAUGUUGAAAUCCUCUGGCAGUCACUCGCCACGGCUCGAUGUUGGGGUAGCGGGUGCUUCUAGCUAUGGAAAGAACCACCCUACAGCGAAGAGUGACGAGGUGCUCGUACUCUCUGCUGUAGUACCUUGGGCGCUCAGUAACACCGAGGCACUCCAGGGAGUUGAUCAAAAGGCGGGGGAAACCAGGCUCUUCUUGGCAAACGCCCUGGGUCCAACCAUUCUCAGCCAGCUAAAAACAAAGGUAGAGUGAACAAGCCUUGCACACAUGGUAGGGUACAAAAAGGAUAGACUGUCUUUAUUUUUCAACAGGUCAGGUACAUCUCCCAAGGAUACAUUAUUACUAGGAUGAUAGCUCUAGCUUAGGUAAUCUACUCUUCCCAAGGGGAUUCUUCCUCGAUGGCACUUCUUUGGUGGAAGACAUUGCUCCAAUACCUCAUCUUCGGUCUGAGUGCCCUUAUCCCAAUGGGUUUCUUCGGGUUCUCCUUCCAGUAAUCCAGCUACUCUUCUGCGUGCCUCAAUACGUUCCCUUUCUCGAGCAUUGCUUCGCCAUAUGUCUUGGAGAGAGGCUAGGGAAUUCUCAGCUUGCAUGUGCCUCAGCUUCUAUUAUUUUCCUCCAUUGUAUUUCCAACUCUUGUUCUGCCUUUUCUGCCCUGAAGAUUUGGUGCUUGAGCUGUUUUGACUGUUCGCGGUAAAGUUGGUCUAGGCCGGUGAGGUAAAUGGACAGGUGGAAAACCGUAUCUUCUAGUUCUUCUUCCCUUCCCAAUCCUCUCAUCCGGGCAAUCCAUGAGCUUCCUCUUCCUCCAGCAAGUGGGAAAAAUCCCAUAGGAGUUCGCUGAAGAUGAUGCUUAUAGACCACGCGUAGACAUCGCAAGGCUUUUCGGGCAGCCUUUCGGUAGGUGUCUGGGAACCCAAAGCUGGUGGUAGAGAUGAACCAGGGAUCCACGUCGGGGUAGAGUGUGCUUUUUCCCACGAAGAUCAUCAGGUCACACCGAAGGGUGCCUCUGAAGUUGUACUCCCGGUAGGUGUACUCCGAUGGGUCCACAACUCCGACGCGUUCCAAGCUGAAUAACAAUAACUUAGGGAAACCAGGCUCUGCGGGGCAGAUUCCAUCACUCCAUCCAUUGUCAGCCAUCUGGAACCAGACAAGGACCAAAGGUAAGUGCCGUGUGGAAAGGUGAGUUAAGUGGGGAAAGAUCUAGUGGGAAAUAGCUUAGAAAAUGUCCUCGGCCCUAAGGGUCGCGUCCUACUGCCAACCUACGGCUUUGAUACCACUUGAAGCAUUCCCUCAUCAGAGGGGACUAAAUAUGAUACAAAUACCAGUUCCAGGAGGCUGAUAACAUAUUUAUUACAUUAGAUGGUUCAUUACCGUACAAACCGUCGAGGUAGCGGGCACUGAAGCACGACUAUCACGAGGGACAACAUAAGGACUAAAAGCCAAACUAAAGUGCCAACGAAAUAUAAGAUAACAUCAGAGUCUUGCGCCAUGGUAAGCUUCCUGUGGAGACCCUGAACCAUAAGCAAGGUUGAGUGCAGGACGUCGACCUACUUGACGUCUUCAGGAAUGAAGUUCGGAUCCUCCUCUGUAAAAACUAAGCAAGAAUGAAUACAUAUGUACUCAACAAGUCCAACCACACCCACGGAGGGGGAUAAUAAAGAUCAUGCACAGGAUAUAUCAAGGAUAAGGCUAGGGUUCAUUUGCGAUAAAGCAAGGUUUGACACAUGUAAGGGUUCAUUUAAUAAAAGAGUUUUCUCAAAAUAUUUCUAUAGUAACUGAAUGAUAAGUGGGGUUGAUCCUACACAAAGGAUCCAAGUUUUAAUGCUAUCGGACUCCCCAUCCAUAGUAGCUCAUGGCACAACUGCUGAACACUUUCAAAACAACUCACGCCACAAAACCAACCAUCCCAAAAUGUCUAUUGAAGUGACCAUGCCGUAACUCGUCCAAUACCAUGGACACGGCUAUUCGAAUAGAUUUUACACUCUUCAGAGAUUGUACACUUUAUCCACAAGUAGGGUACCGCACUAUGAACACCUUAGUGUCUCUGCGGAUCCUAACAAAACCAUUACCCACCUUAGCUGAAUCUAACUAGCCAACACGGAAGCUACCAUGGGGUUAAUGACCUAUCAACAAAGUCAUAACCGGGACAUAACUCACACAGAUUGUAUUCCUUCUCCAUGAUCUCCCGUUGCUCACCAGCUCUCCUUUUGGCUAGCAGAACAACUAGUGGGGUUUAUGCUAAGCCGUUGCCCACACAACGGUCGAGUGGUUGUACGAUAAGUGGGUUAGGCAAGAUGACACCUCAGUUCAUCCUUAUAUUGACAAGAUGGACAUCUCCUAACCAUGCUCAACCACAAAGGUACAAGCUCACCAGUGGCAUUUCACACAGGAAAUACCGUCCAUCUCGUCAGGUUAUAUCUUUCUUUUAUUUUCCCGAAAUACCAUUUUAUCUUUUAAAAUACUCACACCUUUAUUUUUGACAAAGCGCGUUGUGGUCAUGAUUAAAAUAUAAUAAAGGGAAUAAAAGGUCCUAAGCAUCUCUAGCAGUAGUUAAUGUCCAACAAAGCAAAUCCUAUAUGGACAUUAACCUAGGUCAUCAUGGAAUAGUCAUAGCAAUCAAGGGGUGGCUAUCCAACCAUGUCUUGCAAUAAAACAAUGCAUUUUAUAAAACAGGCCAAUAGGUUGUGUUUAUAAAACUGGGAUAAAUAUGCAUCAAAGCAUGGGAUUGGACAUGCCAUCCUCAAAGCCUUCCUGAAGCUCCUUCUCGAGGUACGGGUCUUCGGGCUCCGGCUCGUGGAACUGCUCCUCCUUGGCCACACCGUCGGCUACGAUACACAAACAAUCACACAAUAAAAACAAAGUUCGCUGAUGAGCUUAAAAAAGAGAGAGAGAAAUAGAGAGCUUUGAUAAAAUAAUAGAGAAGACUAUUAUAUUUGUCGGAUGUGGAUCCUGAGACUUGGAGAAAAUAUUUGGAGAUGAUGCGUGGUGGAGUUUGGAAUCGAUUCGGAACAAAAUGUCGCAUGAACUGAUGAGUUAAAGGUCAUUUAGGGAGUAGUUUAAAAGGAUGAGGACCUAUUUGUAAUGAAACAAAGAGAUAGAAGGAGCUCUGAUUAAAUAUUUAAGAGAAGGAGGUGGAGGGCUGCGGACUGCAUAAAAAGGAAAAGUGGAGGGGGUUAUGCACAAGUCUGCCAUUCUUUUUCCUCAAGACAGAACAGGAGGGGGAGGGGAACGGUAGGAUGUGGGGGGCGGCCAGGCCAUGGGCGCCGGCCCCCUGGUGCAUGCGACGCCCGGGGAGGAGGGGAAAACGGAGAGGAGGCAGAGGGGGUCCGAUUCCGGCCCUCACCUCGUGCGGAGACUGUGGCAGAACCAACCUGAAUUACACCGACUCAAGUAUAUAAGUCCUCUCUCAAGGGCUCCAAUCGUACUUCAAACGGUGUAACCCCUUGGCCUGUCGGGUAACGUUCCGAUAAACCACCGAAUGCAGGAUCAAACAAGGUACCUCGCACGAAGGCGAGUCCAGAGAUACAAUCACCGUCAUAUUUUACAUCACAGGCAUUUAUAUUACACAAGUUCUCAAAAGUAAUAUCAGUUCUGAACUGAUAGGAUUUAUUACAAACCGGUUCAAGAUUUCAAGUUUACGGCAGUGGAAUGUAAAACACAACCACUGUACACGUCGCCAGUACAGAUAUCAUGCUAAGCCCUGGCAUGAUAUCACUCGGUAUGAUUGGUGUUGGCCGGGGACGGAUCCCAUUCCACAGACCAACCAUCGGGCAGAGCAUAAGGCCAUGGCACAGGCAGGGUAGAGUCCUCAGGGAGAUUACCUGGACAAAAGUCACAAUGCAAGACUGAGUAUUCUAAUACUCAGCAAGGCUUACCUGUUUCAUGGUAUACUUAGCCAAGUAACUAGACUUAUGAAGGCUUUAGUGGUUCAGGGUAGAGUUUUCAGCUGAAAAGCAACAAAGAAUAGAUCCUUAAUUUCAAAUUUUAGCUUUCAAGUUCUACGUGAUUAUCCAUUCUAGGUAAGCAACUAUGACUAUUCAAGCAAGGUAGAAUCUUUAGUCAAACAUCAUCUUUGAUAAUCAUAAAGUUGCUCUUGUUACUCUAUGUGGCAAAGGGAUCAAACAGUCUCAAUCUCCGCAAGAAAUGGACGAUUCCUUAAUCGAAUUUCAGCCUUGCAAGGGUAAACCUAACUCACACGCUGGGAACAUCCAGAGAUCGUCCCGAAGCAACCGUUUGCCUUUCAUUCCGACUCGUGGAUCAGAUCCACCACAAGCGACUGUAGGACCAUACGCACAUCCAAUAUGCAGGACGUAUGUCUGUAGCACGACUACAUGACCAUACUCCUGUCCGCCUGUGUGAAACGUACGCCUACAGUGUGCGUGACUGUAGGACGUACUCACAUCCACUGUGGAAUGUACUCCCGCACGUCGGUGCAUGUGCGAAAAACCAAAUUACGAGUGGUGGGAGGUAUGUCCACUCCUCGGGCCGAUUGGUUACUAGGCUUACCGCUUACCAUAUUUCGCGGCAUGUGGCUAGUACUUUCAAACACUUAACCACCGCUACCACACACUGCGACCUUAGCCAAAUUCAUCAACACAGACGGGGUAUCAUCUCAACCAUGAUACCUCACAUAAAUCCCGUCUGUCAUCCUUAUAGUGAUUACAGGAAUGUAAAUAUUGCAACUCCUAUAUCGCGCGAGUGAUAGAAAAUCACCCGACUUCUACCAGUCCUAUUAAUAGAGCAUCUAUGCGAUAAGGACUCAGGCACAAUACAUAGGUUUCUAGGAUUCAAUGCAUCUAGGGUUCCAUUUCAUCUCCUAGACUUAAUGCAAGAUAUAAUAUAUAAGUAUAGGAUUGCAUAAUGUAGUAAUUUGAAAUACUGGGUUAUGCACCGGGGCUUGCCUUCGUUAGGGGGGCUGGGGGCAGGAGUGUCAAAGUUUUCUGAACUUUGGUUCGGAGCUUCAGUUAGAUUUCCGACGACGUUCCCGGGGUCUUCAAAAAUUUCCACUUCUUGUUCCGGGAUCAGUUCGUAGUCUCCGUCGGCGAGAGUAGUUGAGUCUAUAUGAUAUGCAAAGAUAUAGUUUAAGAGAUGCAUAUACUUUCAUUUUAGUUCACAAUAAAGUUGCAAUCCAAUGAAAAGACAGUUCACUCACCAAACAUAUCAUUUAUUUUUUUACCGGGCAGUCAUUUAUCGAGUAUAAACUAACCUAGUUAGCUAUAUUAGACAACAUAUUUUAUUUUUACAGAAUAAACUACUAUAGCAUUGGGGUCGAAACUUUUAUUAACUACAAAUAAAGCUAAGUCUAAAUUUAUCAAUAUUUUAUCUUCAUAGAAAUUAUGCUACAAGAAUAAAUAAUAACAGUACUAACAUAUUAGGAAUUAUUUAUAACUGUUGGUAUACACAAGAUUUUGUUUAUGGAUCUUUGUGAAUAUGUUACACUACUCAAGAGCAACACCUCAAAGUAUUUUCGUAAUUUUUCAUGAACUAGGAUCUAGCACAAAUUAAUUAACCCUAGAAAUGCACUACUGACUCUAAAAUUUUUAUCAUGGAUUAUAUUCUACUAGCAGAAACCACUAUAAAAGAUUUAUUCAUAAACUCUAAUGGGUUUAUUCUAGAAUAAAUGCUAGAGAUUUCAAGCAACAUAUCACAAAGAUAUUUAAAUUCUUUAGCUACGGAUCAGCACUAGACCUAUAAUUUUUACACAAAACCAUACAUGGUAAUUAGAACUUAGGGUCCAAAGAUUGCACAUAGCACAGCUAAGGAUCAUCAUAUACAAUUAAAGAACUCAAUUAUUCAUAUUUAAUCUAGAGCAAAAUAUACUGAGAUUCAGCCUAAGAACAUAAAAUAAAACUUGUAGGUUUUGACUAACAUAACCCAGAACAGUUGAGUUUGCUAUUUUAGGAUUUUUCUACUAAUUUCUAGGAAUUUUCAAAGUUCACUGAAACAGAUUUGAAAGGCUCAGACUAUUUUGCAGAAAGGACCCUAGAACUUUUUGAAUCAAAGCAAUGUAGUCCUUGGCCGGAGGGGAACAAGGAACAGGGAGAAGGAUGGUGGUGUUCCGGCGCAAUGACUCACGGGCGGUGAGGUCCAAAGGGUGGAGUAGCUUUAGGAGGUCGAGGCGGGCUUAGGGGUAGCCUUGGGGAGGAAGGGGAAGGGCCGGAGAGGGGUUCACCACGGCGGCCGAGGCGGCGGCGGAGAGAAGAUCAACGACUGCGGUGCUCCGGCGAUCAACGUCGGUGAAGGACCUGCGCGUGAGCUUCAGUGAGCCAUGGGGAAUGUACUGGUGCAGUCAAUUGGGAGCAAAAACCACGGGAUAGGGACGACCGGUGGAGGCAGUGAUGAGGGCGGCGGAGGAAGACGCCGGCGAGCGUCGGGAAGCCUGUGUGGUGCACUAGGGAACCGAUUGAAGGGUCGUAAAGCUUCAUGGGGUCGAAAGGAAGCUAGCUGAGGGGUUGUCGUGGUGCGGGGAGGCUUGGAGUGGGCUGCCCACGGCGAGCAGGAGUCGCCGGAGUGGAGGAAGGGGACGGCGGUGGUGUUUGGACUCGGGGUGCGCACGGCAAGGGAAAAGAGGUGGAAAUGGGUCAAGUGUCGUCUACUGGUACUACUGGGCAGAAGAGAGAGGGAAGAGGGGUAGACGCGGGUGCGGGACAUGGCGGCGACGAUGUGGCAGCCGGCGGAAGCUCGGGUGGUCAUGGCGCGCGCGGAAAAGGACAGCAGGGGAGGGCUAGGGCGGCGGCCGACGUCCAAGUGACGCGUGGGGAGGGUGGAAGCAGGAGGUGGAGCGGCAGCGGACAGCACAGCGGCGGCCGGGGGAGAUGUACUGCGCUGGCGGUAGAGGAGGCAGAGCAGAGCAGGGCGUGCCAGAGGAAGAAGGGAGGGGGGUCCGAGGGGUCUUAUUGAGAUUUUCAAAAAUCUCAGGGAUCCUUCUGAAAAGUAAAAUUUCCCGUUGCUCCAAAACCCUAAUGAGGAAAUGCCCAAAAUAGAAGUUGGAGAGUUUUUCAAACCCUACAACAUUGCUUUAGGGUUCAAGUUCAAAAACCCAAAGUACACAGCUUUUAAUUUUAAAUUUUGAAUAAAAGUUGUAUUUAAAUAAGUUUUGUCCUUACUGAGGUAGAUUUGAUGCAGUUUUGGACAUAAUUGCAAGUUUUCAUGCAAUGUCAUGAUGACUUGCAUUCUUACAUUUUGAUCCUAAGUAAACUUUGAAAGUUACUUUUAUACUUCAAUUAUUUUGCAUAAAAGGACCCAUACUUUUGCAUUAAUCACAUCUAAGUCCUUAUUUUCACAUAAACACCCAAUUUUCAUAUAAUUCAACAUAUCUAUUACAAUUUCUUUCCUAAUGUGAUACAAAUUUGACAUCUAGGAUGUCACAUUCUUCCUAUGCUUUUUAUUUUACCCCCCAUUCUUACCCAUUUAACACUAAAGAGCCUAUAUUUUAUAGAAUUACAAUAAUACCCUUUUUCCCUUUGCACUUAAAUCUGAACACACAUACACAAGAUCAAACGUGCACACUUUACACUAAGAUCUAGUGUUUAUAAUUCUAAAUACCUGAAUGUCACAGAGACAGUCUACGGGGGGCUGUCCACGGAGAUGGGUGGUGGCCGGCAAUGGUGAGCGGCGGCGGCAAGCUGCAGCGUGAGGUAGAGGAGGGGAGGUGCUGGGGCGGCGUGGGCGGAGUGAGGGGCGGCUCGGGGGCUGAUUUAUAGGUCGAGAGGGAGAGGGGAGAUGGCCGGCAUGGGAGGGUCACGGGCAGUACAGGAACCUCACCAUUAAUGGCGGCCGGGAUGCUCGGGGACAAGGCGCAAGCUGCGAGGGUGAGGGGACGGGAUGGAGACGGGCCGGCGCAGUAGCAGGUCACACGCCGGCUUGGCGUGCACGGGCAGCAAGCAUGCAGCGGCACAGCGAGCAGCAGCGGCCGCGGCGGCCGUGGCGUGACGCGGGCGGCACGAUGCGAGCGCGUGUGCACAGCCAGCAAUGGGGGCAGCGGCGAGUCGUGCGCUGGCCCGUGCGUGCGCGCAAGGAGCGGGCUACAGCUCGAGCAGGCAGCAUAGGGAAGAAAAAGAAAGAGGAAGCUAACGCCAGGGGAAAAAGAGAAAGGAGAAGAGAAAGAAAAGGAAGGAAGGGAAAAAAGAGUAUGGGAAAAAAUGGAUUUGAAGAAUAUGAAUUGGAAGAGAGAAAUAAAAUGGAUUGGAACAAAUAUGAGAAAAGAAAAGAGGGGACACGCGCGCGGCACUGACUGUCGCAGCCGGGCAGGCGCACGCGGCCGACCGCGACACGAUGGUGAUGCGACGGGACGGCGGGGCCGGUGGAAAAGGAAAAGGGACGGGCGGCUCCACGGAAAAAGAGGAAGAGACUGCGAGAUGUCGGGAUGGCCGAAAAUCAGGAGGUGGGCUUCGGGAGCUCGAGCCGCGGAAAAGGUUUAAAAGUUUUUUAAGCAAGUGAUUGGUAAUGCAAUUUAAAAAAGAUAAAAACGCGUGCAUUACAGGAACUAGCAUCACCCCUCCGAGUGUGAGUCGGAGCAACAAGCUGAUUUCUUAUGCACCAUCAUCGGCUAUCUCAUCAAUCAGCUUCUCCGCACCUUCCCUCAAGGAUGUUGCUACAGGCAAAGUUUAAGCAGAAGACCAUCAUCAAGAGAAUAUCUCGCAAAAAACGCACUCUUGAUCCAUCAGACGCGUCGGACGAGCAGGAAAGAGAAAAGGUUUUAAAAGCAACAUCACUUGCAGAAAAUGCAUUCCAAGUCUCAAUUAUCCUUUUCCGAACAUGUGUUCAUACUCACAUCUUUCAAGCUAACCCUUUGUCUCUGCAGGCCUUAUUGGGAGAGAAUCCAACUCCUCCGAUUGAAAUGGCGCAAGAUCAGCCGAUUGAACGCUCAGCAUAGGUAGGAACACUUCUACAGGUAGUUCUAAAUCCCCAAGCAGACUUAGCUGAAAACAUGCUAACUCAACCGGAAUCGGCUGAAACGACUCAAGGCCAACUUUCUAAGUCAAUCACUUAAAAGGAUUUCAGAAAAUGAAGCAGCAAUCAACCCAGCGCAAAACACCCAAGUCAUCAUAUUGGAUUCAUCGGCAACCACCUCCGAUCCAACAAACACGUCAGCUCUCCAGGUAUGAUAUUUCAUCAGUACUUCCGAUUUUCCAACCCUUUAUUCUGCUCUCUGAUUAUAAAUUCUUUUCCAGGAUACUUCUUCCAAUAUCCAAUCAGCUGCAAUCCAAGAGUCCAACGUUCUAGCUCCUCUGAUUAACACAAACCCUGAAGUGCCUCAUGAAGCAGAAACAAAUCGUCAAGCACUUCCUCUGACGGGAAUCAUGAUGCCUACACCUUUCGACGAAAUCAGAUUGAAAAUGGUGAGACUCAGUGUCAGCCAAUUUUUUUCUCAUAACUGAUCUCUUUUCCUUGGCUCAUCAACUAAGUAUUAUUUUUGUUGGCUCAGGAUACCCCAGACAAUAGCCUCUUCUCAUUCAAAAUCAGAGAGCCACCUGAAGAAGAUGAUGCUUAGUCAACUCUUCUUGCACUUAGUGAGCUUCCUGAGGAUGCCAAGGCAAAGCUCCAGACUAUGCUCACUCUCCUUGAUCAAAACAUCGAUCAACUGGUGCAAGAUGCUGGGCUGAUUCGGGACCUGUUCCUCAGAAUCAGGGGUCAUCUCCCAGAAACGGCCGUAGAGGCCCUCAUCCCUGUAGCCUAUAUCGAGAGCCAACAGUUUGAGGUUUUGAAAGCCAAGCAACGGCUAGCCGAUCGAUCUCGUCAAGAGUAAAUGGCCAAGGAAAAAGAGUCUCAUGUAGCUCGUGUUGAAGAUCUCCGCAGAAGAAUUGACACACUACGCUGCUCUCAUCCUACCAUAGUAGGAGAAAUCGAUCAGCUCAAGGCUAGAAAAGCGGAUCUGAUGAAGGAGCUCAGAUUAAUUGGAGAUGCCAUCACUGCAGAAGAAACAAAACUUGCCUAGCUCCUGAAUGCCAUUGAUAGACUUCAACAAGAGAAAUUGCAAUAUGCUCAACAAGCCAAUCGGUUCCACAAGAAUAUGCAACCGACUCCUGGAUCUGCCGAUGCCGACCUCAAGAAUAUAGAGGAUGCCGGUCAAAUUUGUUUGCGUGCGAUAGAUACAAUCUGCGGCCUCUUAAACUUGUAAUUUUAAAACUUUCUUGUGCCGUGCCCAUCGAGGCAGAAUCGCAUGGCUGUAAAUACUCUGACCAUGUCCAACGUCUACAUUUGGCCGAUUCCUUGAACGGCUAUCUACUUUUUCUAUUUAUAGUGCUUUUGACCGAACGUUGGCAUUUGGAACGGUCAUUUUGGAUUGAACGUUACUCAUCCAUCAGAUCUCUUCUAUAAAUAUGUGCAUCCAUUCUCUUCCAAACGGCAAGCAUAGAACACAACAACCCCUCCAUUUUUCUUCGGCAAACAAAUCCGGAAGAACACCAAAUCAAGCCAUGGUGUGAUCCUCCUCCUUGGUUAAUUAGGUGAGGGUCACCAGCUUAUCUUUACUUCACCGAUUUCAUCAUUAUUUUACAUUUUCUUUUUCUUCUGUAGCCUCCAAACCCAACAACUAAUAAUCUUGAAGCAAUACUCCAAAUCCUCCAAUCCAAUGAGAGGCUUUCUUAGGCUAACAAAGAUUUGAUCCAGGCUAACAUUGAACAAGUCAAAGACUUCAUCACCACCAGAUUUGACUCCAAUCCUGGCUUCGAUCAAUUCUACCAGCCCAAGGCGUCAGAACAAUUGGCAGAUUCAAGGUCUUGGGCUAUUAUCCUCUAUCCUUCAAGACAAGCUAAGAACUCUGGAGAGCAAAAGGGCAAGUGUCUUGCAGGAGUUGGAGAAGACCCUCGCUCAGUGGAAACAACCGGCGUGCUCUUCGAGGGAUCGGUACAAGAGGUAGCCAUAUCUCGUGAAACUUGCAUUUCCUCUUGCCCCUUGUUUCCUGCUCGUGCUCCUAUACCUACCGAUUUAUUCGGCACCAAUGAACAAAAUCAACGAAUAUUGUAAUACAAGUUUUUAUUCUUCAAGCAAUCCAAGAUCAGAUGUAACCUCUCCUUUGUAAUCCCAUAGAUCUAGAGUUCAUUGAUGUAAUUUUUUGCCCUAAGGGCGACACAUAUUGUGUCGGCCAUGUAUUCAAUCGAUGAGAACCGAAUCCAAUCAGCUAAUAAAUCCUCAACGAUAUUUACCUUGUUAUUUAUUUUUUGUACUAAAGAUGAUUUAGCAAAUCAGCUAUAACUCAUCCGAUGCUUCCAUACAAAUUGGCUAAACAUCUACCCAUAUACUGGGGUAGUAUCUCUUUAAAUAUUUCCUAGUUAAAGCCCUAGAAAACUCUUCUCCUUCAAGCGUCUCCAAAAUAUACAUGUUGCUCGGAGCGCACCGAUUUAUGUGAUACGGUCCUUCCCACGUUUGUGACCAUUUGCCGAAUUUAGAGUCUUUGGAACCAAUCGGCAAUAUGAGUUUCCAGACGAGAUCUCCUUGAGAGAACUCUUUAACUUCAACUUUCUUAUCGUACCAUCUGGCUAUCCUUUUCUUAUUUUCCUCAAUACUAAUCAUGGCUCUCAGCCUAUGUCCCGCCAAAUCUUCUAAUUCAUUUUUCAUUAAAACUGAAUAAUCAUCAGCUGUGAGUUGAUCUUGAAAUGUAGUACGCCUUGACCCUAUUUUUAAUUCCCAAGGUAAUACGGCCUCAUGCCCAUACACCAACUGAUAAGGAGACAACUUUGUAGACCCAUGACAAGCCAUACGAUAGGCCCACAAUGCUUCAUUCAGAGUAGUAUGCCAACGUCUUGGUUGUUCCUCAAUUUUUCUUUUUAUUAACUUGAUAACCCCUUUGUUGGCUACUUUGGCUUGACCAUUGGCUUGAGCAUAGUAAGGAGAAGAGUUUAAUAUUUUAAUGCCCAUACUAGUAGCAAAAUCAUCAAACUCUCCUGAGGUGAACAUAGUCCCCUGAUCAGUCAUAAUAGUUUGAGGAAUUCCGAACCGAUGAACAAUAUGUUCCUUGACGAAAUCAAUCAUAUUGGCCGAAGUCACUUUUUUCAAAAGAAUCGCCUCAACCCACUUUGUAAAAUAAUCAGUUGCUACUAAUAUAAACUUAUGCCCUUUACUUGAUGGUGGAUUAAUUUGAUCGAUCAAGUCAAUUUCCCAACCUCUAAACAGCCAUGGCUUAAUUAUUGGAUUCAUUGCUGAUGCGGGAGCUCUCUGCACAUUGCCGAAAUUCUGACGUUCGUGACAACCUUUAUAAUAUCUAAAGCAAUCCUCCAAUAUAGUUGGCCAGAAAUACCCAUUUUGCCUAAUCAUCCAUCUCAUCUUGAAAGCCGAUUGAUGAGCCCUGCAUGUUCCUUCAUGAAUCUCACCCAUCAAAUUCUUGCCGAGGCAUUUGAGUAAAACCCCAUCAAUUGUUCAGUAACACAACUCAUCUUCUAGCAGAACAUACUUAGUCACUCGAUACCGUAACCGUCCGUCAACUUUCUUAGAUGGGUCCCUCAAAUAAUCGGCUAUCUCCUUUUUCCAUUCAUCGGCCGCCAACUCCACUACUAUUGCCCCAUAAAUCUGCCGAUAUCCAGAAGCGCCCGGAGCAAGUUUAUUGGCUUCUUCAUUAUAGGCUUUGGGAAUAUGCUCGAUCAUCACAGUCUUGAAUUAUUUUAACAAUUGGAGACAUUCUUCAUGAUAAACCCUCAAAAUAUCAUUUUUGCAUUCAUAUUCUCUGAGCAACUGAUUAAUAACCAGCAUAGAAUCGCCAAAUAUCUCAACGGCAUCAGCCUUGAUUUCUCAUAAUAAUUUAAUCCCCUUCAAUAUAGCUUGAUACUCAGCUUGACUAUUUGUAGCAGUCUUCUCAAUCGACAGUGAGAACUCAAAACUUGCCCCCCGAGGCGAAAUCAGUACUAUGCCGGUUCCUGAUCCUACUCCACAAGAUGAUCCAUCGAAGAAUAAAGUCCAUGGCACAGGUUCCACCACUUUAACUUCUGAGCCACAAUGCUAAGUCACAAAAUUGGCCAUGACUUGCCCCUUGACAGCUUUAGCUGAUUCAUACCUUAAGUAAAACUCGGAUAAUGCCAGAAUCCAUUUUCCAAUUCUCCCAUUCAAAAUUGGCAAUGACAACAUGUACUUGACAAUGUCAUCCCUGUAGACAACAGUACAUUCUGCCGACAAUAAAUAAUGCCUAAGUUUGGUGCAAGAGAAAUAUAGGCACAAACACAGCCUUUCAACUGGAGAAUAUCUGGUUUCGACAUCCAAAAGUCUCCUACUGACAUAAUAAAUCACCCAUUCCUUGCCCUCAAAUUCUUGAAUAAGAGCCGAUCCGAUAGCAUUUUCAUCAGCCGAUAAGUACAACUUAAACGGCUUAUCUCUUUGAGGAGGCACCAACACUGGUGGGGUCACCAAAUACUUUUUAAUAUCCUCCAAUGCUUUUUGUUGAUCGGACCCAACAAACUCUUGAUUGGCUUUAAGCUUCAACAAAGGGAUGAACGGCCAAAUUCUCCCAGAUAAAUUUGAUAUGAAUCUCCGGAUGAAGUUGAUUUUGCCUAUCAACGACUGAAGCUCAGUUUUAUUCACCAGAGCAGUAACUUUAUUGAUUGCACCAAUCAUCUUUUGACUGACCUCGAUGCCUCUUUGGUGAACCAUGAAACCCAAAAACUGUCCAGCUGAUACGCCGAAAGCACACUUAUUUGGAUUCAUCUUCAGCCCAUGUUUUCUUGUGCACUCCAAAAUUUUACGUAAAUCGGCCAAAUGCUCCUUAUAACCUUCUGACUUAACCACAAUGUCAUCAAUGUAAAUCUCAACUAUCCUACCGAUAAACUCAUGGGAUAUGUAAUUCAUAGCCUGUUGAUAUGUAGCCCCUGCAUUCUUCAAUUCAAAAAUCAUGACGAUCCACUCAAAUAAUCCAACAUGCCCAGGACAUCUGAACGCAGUCUUAGCAAUGUCUUCUUCAGCCAUAAAUAUUUGAUUAUAUCCAGCAUUAUCAUCCAUGAAGCUAAUAACCGUGUGCCCUACAUCAGCAUCUAUCAACACAUCGGUAAUUGGCAUCAGAUAACCGUCCACCGGUGUUGCCCUGUUAAGAUCCCUGAAAUUAAUACAGACUCGGAGUUUUCUAUUUUUUUUGUACACAGGAAUCACAUUAGAAAUCCAUUCAGCAUAACGACACUGCCUGACGAACUUUGCUUCAAUUAAAUGAGUAAUCUCGGGAUUGAUAUCAGGUAAUAUUUUAGGAUUACAGCAUCUAGCAGGCUGCUAAUGUGGCCGAUGCCCUAGUUUUGUAGGCAACCGAUGUUCAACAAUAGAAUGGUCUAAAUUAGGCAUUUCAUAAUACUUCCAAGCAAAACAAUCUUUACAUUCUUUUAACAAUUGAAUUAACUCUUGCUUGUACUCAGGAUCUAACUUAGUACUAAUAUACAUCGGCCUUGGCUUGCUACCAUCACCUAGAUCUAUCUGUUCUAACUCAUCGGCCGACGUAAUACGUGCCCUAAUUUUCCUUCUUCGAUAUAAUCAUCCAUUCAGAUGAUUCCUUGGAGCCAACUGCUUGGAUCGGCUAUAGGCCAAAAUCGGAUACCUUGAGAAAAUCGGUAUCCCACACCUUGCCCUAUAUGUAGCUUACCGUCUCACAACUCCACUACUGGGCAUUGGUUGCAGCAAUGCUGAAGGAGCAACCGGCGUUGACCAUCUCCACAGAAUCUCCGAUCCAUAGAAUAACACAUUGGUGCAUGGUCGAAGGGAUGCAACAAUUCGCAUGUAUCCAAUCACGUCCCAAGAGCAAGUUGUAGGACCCUUUUCCAUUAACAACAAAGAAAGUAGUAGGUAGAGUCUUACUUCCGAUAGUCAGAUCAACGCAGAGUGCCCCCGAGCUGGCAAGACAUUACCCUCAAAAUCUUUGAGCAUCAUGUCGGUCUUUAUCAAGUCUUCCUCGCCUUUCCCGAGCUUGCGAAACAUGGCAUAUGGCAUUAUGUUCACUGCUGCACCUCCAUCUACCAGCAAUUUGGUGACAGGCCUCCCAUCAACUUGUCCCUUGAGGAACAAUGCUUUCAACUGCCAAUGCUUUUUCUCUUCUGGUUUUUCAAAAGUAGCCGGCAUCAGAUCCAAAGAAAGUUGAGCCAUGCCUCCUUCCGUGUCUGACAUUUCUCCAUUGCUAGUGGGGGCCAUAAACUCCAUUGGCAACAUGAAUACCAUGUUAAUAUCUGCAGCUGAUUCGCUUGUGCAUGCAUCCUCGGCUCUUGGCUUUGCACACCAUACUUGAGACUUAACUUUAUUUUUCUCUAGAGUGCGGCUCUCUUCUUCUUGUUGUUGCUCCCAUUGGCGUAGGCGUUGAACUCUCCUCUUCUAAGAUUUGGUUAACCCAUCUAGGUACCACCGAGGAUGACUUACACCACUGUGUUCUGGGGCCCGCCAUCUUUCCGGUUCACGACACAACGGCUCUUUGUCAGGGACUCUGUUAUAAGCCCUUUCCUCCAACCGAUCACGGAUGCUUACUGUGACAGUUCAUGUAUUUGUAAUGCUAGGCAUAUAUUGUGUUAGUGUGAAGUAUGUGCUUGUUAGUGUAGAACUUGUGUAUGUUUAUGUGAAGCUUUUGAAAAUUUAAAGUGCAAGUAAAAAGGGGUAUUUUUGUAAUUACAGAAAAACCUAGGGUUGUUUUUGCAAAAUGUAUUUGGAUGUGAGGUAACUUCGAAAUAAGUGAAGGGUGGUUUUGCAACGUGUUUUUCCUACUUUAUGUCCUGUAAAAAUAUAUAUUUAUCCAAAAAGUUGCAAUAGAAAUGCAUGUGUUGAAAUGUGUAAAAAAUUUGGGUAAAGUGGUGAAAAUAAGGGUAUUUAUGUAAUUUUAUAAAAGUACAAGUCCUUUUAUGCAAGUAGUUGAUUUACAAAAGUAAUUUUCAAAGUUACUCAGGACUAAAGUAUAAAAGAUGCAAGUCAUCAUGAUAUGUCUAUCCAAUCAUUAUGACGUGUCUAUCCUGUCAUCAUGACGUGUCAUAAAUGCUUGCAUUUAGGUCCUGAAUUUUAUGAAGUUACACUUUUUAGGACAAAAGCGAUUCAAAUCCAACCUUUGUUCAAAAUUUCACAUGUAAAGAUACAAGUUUUGAGUUUUUGAACUUGGGCCCUAAAGCAAUGUUGUAGAGUUUGAAAAACUCUCCAACUUUCGUUUUGGGUAUUUCUUCAUUAGGGUUUUAGAUUGAUGAGAAAUUUAUGCUUUACAGAAAGGUCCCUGUAAUUUUCUAGAUUUACGCAUAAGUCCUUGGAGAAUUCUAUUUCCCUUCCUCCUCUGCUUUUCCUCUCUCUGUUCUUCCUUAUCCGAUUUCUUGCUUCUUCCACGGGCGGCACUCUUCCUGGGGGUCUUCCCCUGCCCCUUCCCUUGGUGUGGCUCGGGCUCCAGGCGAGCCACGGCGCAGGGCGGCGCCCAGGGGCGCUCCUGCCCCGGGCGGCGGUGGCGCGCGGCUGGCAGCGCGUUGGAGCGAGGCCGGCUCGCGGGCGUGGCGCGCGGGCAGCUGCGGCAGCGGGCGGCGGCGUUGAACCGGCGGGCCACGGGGGCGGCUCGGCUCGGGCGCGCGAGCGAGGCCCGGCGCAGGCGCUCGGGUGGAGAGCGAGCGGCUCUGCGGGCAGCUGGCGCGAGCGCGGCAGGUGCGGGCCGGGCGCGGCCCGAGCGAGCGCGGGAGGAGCGCGGCGCUGGUGCGGGCGGCGCUGGGCUCGAACGCUGUGCAGGCGUGCGGACGGCUCAGGCGCAGGCUCGUGAUCAGGCGUGGGCGGCGUGCGGAGCGCGUGGGUGGAGUGGCGCGCGAGCGAGCAGCGCGUGCGCGGCGGAGCAGAGCGGGUGCUGGAACGUGGAGGCGCGGGGGGCUGGCAGAGCGCGCGCAGGCGCGUGUGCGGGCACCCCAGGUCAACGGCGGCGAUGUCCUGGGUCUUUUCCCCGCGACCUCCUGUGUAGGAGAGCAGUUGCAGCACACGCGCGACGCGGGCCAAGGAACGCGCGCGGCUCGGGCGUGCGCGGAUGGAGCUGAGGUGCGGCAGCUCAGGGCAGGCACGCACGGAGGGCAGCGAGGCCGCGCACGGCGGUAGCUUGGCGAGGGCGGCCGCGGAGGGACCUGCGACGCGGCAAGGCUAGAGCGGAGCGCGGGUCCGCAUCAGGAGGAGGAGGAGGAGGAGUAGCGAGGAGCGGAUGUGCGUGCCGCAGAAGCAUGUGCAAGGGAGCAGAAGAGCAGCAGGGGCGGCUAUGGCGCGGCAAGCCGGAAGGAGAGGCGGCAAAGCGAAGGCGGCGAUCAGGUGCGACGAGCUCGGAGGAGCUAGGCGCAGCCAGGCACGGCGAGCUCCCCUCAUCCAUGCGAAGGUCGAGGCAAGAGCAGCGCGACGCGAGUCCAACGCGCGACGCAGGAUUGACGGCCGGCUCGGUUCGUUUCCACAGGCGCCUGCGUAUGCAAGGCAACCGACCACGCGCAUGCAGGUUGAGGGCUAGGGAUACGGAAGUGGAACGGGAACAGCGCGUAGGAGAUGCGACCAGGCGCGGCGGUCCUGCAGGAGGCUACGCGAGUGUGCUGACCGUGUUCUGCAGCACACGCGCGUGAGCAGUGGAGGCUUAGCCGUGAGCAGGAAAACCCUGGGGUUCCCGGAGAAGUUGGCAUAGCGAACCCAUCCGGCUCUAUCGUCUCGUUCUAUGGUCCACGACAUCCAACAGCUCAUACCCCUCGUUGAUCGCUCAACCGACUACCGUCACCACGGAUCACCGUGAGGAAUGUCCCUCCGGCUAUUCUUCACCCACUACAAUCCCCUGGCAAGCUUCUUCGUCACCCACGGAACCUCGUCACCGUCGAGCUCUUCUCAUCGUUGAUCCUGUUCACCAAGGAAAUUCACUUUCCACCCGUUCUUCUCCACAACUAAGGCUACCCCAAGGUUUGCCCCGAUCCACUGAAUCUUCCUAAUGCCGGCGACCUCUUUUGCCGGAAUAUCAUCGUUAUCUUCCUGUUCUCUGUUUUUCCCGACCAGGGACUUAUUUGCUUUGAUUUAGAAAGUUCUAGGAUAUUCUCUGUAAAAUUUCCAGAGCUUCCUUUAUUUCAACUCAGUGAACUUCUACAUUUCAUAGAUUUUCGUAAGAAGUUCAUAAAAGUACAAAAUCAGCUUUGUUUGAAACCCUAGGUCAAAAUCUACAAGUUUUAUGUUGUGAUCUUGAGCUGAAGGUCUUUGAAGUGUGGUCUAGGUUAAAUAUUAGGAAAUGUGUGCUUUAUUUGUACCUUAUGUGAUAUGCAUGUGCUGUAGCUGAAAGGUAAAUCAUAGGAUAUAUGUCUUAAGUAGAGAUGUGUGAUAUUUAGUGAAUUUUCACGCGAGUGCUCACAUCCCUGCCAUCAAGACUUUGUCCUUGUCUUGAUUGCAGUCUCCUUAAGGCCUUUUCCGUAUGGGGAUCCUUGUUGAUUUGUAUGUAUCUGCUGCUUAGCUUAUACAUCUCGGCAGCUAUGCUUCAGUAUCGGCUAUCAGCUCAGCCGCUAAGCAUCCGUUUCCUUUGAGUCUAUGAUGUUUCUGUGUAACAGCUGUCAGCCGAUGCACUUCUUUUGAUAUGCUUCUACCAUCGGCUGGUUAGCUGAUCCGGUUGUUACCCUUCUAAUAUCGGCUACUGCCGAUACAAUUCUUUUAUUCUAUCCUACAUCGACUACGCAUAGUCGAUGUAUCGGAGAUACACACACGAUCUUAGGGUUCUUGCUAUCGGCUGAUCUAAGCUGAUUCUAGUUGUUUUCCAUAGCGGUCAAAGGUGGCCGAUCAAUCUUUCCCAUCCUUAUCCACACACUUCAAUCAGCCGAUUUAUCGGCUAAGAGAUCGGCUAUAUAAGUAUCGGUCACAUACCCUCAAUCACAUUCCAAUCUGCUGUACGUCACUCAAUUGUUGUGCUGACAUAAUCAAGCCGAUACAACCACACCUAGUUACCUAGAAUAACACUUAAGCACAUCUUAGUUAAGACACAGCUGCUUUAGGAAUCAUCCCUCUGCUAAAGUAAUCGAUGCUUUCAUCGAUCAAUUAGGAACCCGAUGCACUUAUCAAUCGGCUAAACCUGAUGCAUUCUCAUCGGUUAAGGCCAAGACCAAUACACCAACCAAUUAGAUAGAUCAGAAACAUGCUGAUAAUCCAAUCGGCAAGAUCCUCCCUUAAUCUAUCCUUGUAACACUAUACCUUCAAUAUUCCUCUCCAUAUCAGCCGAUUUAACCUCAGGUGAACCAAAUCGGCUAAUCCUUUCUACUCAUAUACAGAGAUUACUUCCGCCGAUUUCUCUUCCGAGAUGAAAUUAGCAGAUUUCCUAACACUGUAUAGAGAACUCCCUUCUUUAUCAAAUCUAUCGACUGAACCCCUGUUGUUCCAAUCGGCUCUGUUGUAAUCUUCAACAAGUAGCCGAUCCUAAUUAGUUGUCCACCUAAAGCUCUAUCUAAGUUUAGUUUCAGAUCUUUUUGGUUGUUAUGUGAAUAGUGUGUUAAAUGAGUGUUGGAGGGCAAAUUUAUUGUAAAGUAAGAUAGUUUUAUGUGCACACUUUGAAUGUAAUGUUGCAUUGCAUGUAGAUAUGACUACUUCUGCAAACGGUACCCACAAGAUCUCCCAGGAGUCUGCAGAGGAUGUUCCUGAAGACCAAAUGAACGUCACCAAGGGUUUAUCUGAAGCGCCGAACCAAAGUUCGGAAGAUAACAAUACUAACAUCCCUGACUUCAGCCCCACCAGUAAAGGCAAGCCCCGAUGCAUAUCCCAGUAUUUCAAAUUAUUACCAUUUCACUUAUGUAUUAUAUAUCUUGCAUUAUGUCUAGGAGUUGAAAUGAAACCCUAGUUGCAUGAGAUCUUAGGAAUCCAAUGUAUUGUACCCAAAUCCUUAUCGCUUAGAUGCUCUGCUAAAUAGGACCGGUAAAAGUCGGGUGAUUACCUGUCACUCGCGUGAUAUAAGAGUUGCAUGUUUACAAUUCUGCAACCAUUAUAAGGAUGAUGGACAGGGUCAUGUGCUGUAUCAUGACCUGAGGAUUACCCUGUCUGUUUUGAUAAAAGUUUUAAGGUCGAAAUGUGUGGUAGUGGUGGCUAAGCAUUUGAAAGUACUAGCCACAUGCCGCGAAAUAUGGUAAGCGGUAAGCCUAGUACCCGAAUGGCCCGGCAAAUGGACACGUUUCCACCACUCGACUUUUAUUUUAUGUUUACACGCACCGACGUGUGGGAGUACGUUCUGCAUGACAGACAGGAAUACAGGUUUUGUAGUCGCGCUACAGACGUAUGUCCUGCACAAUUGUUGUGCGUACGGUCCUGCAGUCGCUUGUGGUGGCCCUGAUCCAUAACCCGGAAUAUAAGGGAAACGGUUGCUUCGGAACGACCUGUUGGUGUUCCAAGCGUGUGUGUUAGGUUUACCUUGCAAGGUUAAAUUCGAUUCAGAAUCGUCCGCCUCUCACGAGGAUUGAGACUGCUUAUCCGUUUUGCCACAUCGAGUCAAAAGUAUAAUUAUGGAUGAAAUAAUUUUUGAUGGAUGAUAAUAUCUAUCUUGCUUGUUUAGUAUAGGUGCUUACCUAGAAUGGCUAAUCAAGCUAGAACCUGAAAGCUAAAACUUGAAAGUAGAUUAUACUCUUUGUUGCUUUUCAGCUGAAAAUAAACCCAGAACCUUUACAAUGCCUUCAUGAGUCUAGUUAUGGGCUAAAGUAUACCCAAUUCCAAAUAAGUCUUGCUGAGUAUUAGUAUACUCAGUCUUGCUAGCUUUAUGUUUUUCAGGUAAAGUCUUUGAAGACCCUACUCUUCCCCUGUCUUGGCCCUGUACUCUUCCAGAUGGAUGGUCCGUGGAAUGAGCUCCGUCCCCGGCCAAUUCUGAUGAUAUCGAGUGAUGUCGUGCCCGGGCUUAGCAUGACAUCCGUCUUAUCGACGUGCUAUAGAUCAUCGCGUAUGUUUUCCGCUGCCAAAAACCAUAACUUUAAUAGUUUGUAACGUUUUCUCUAAAUUUGGAACUUCAUACUACUUUUGGAAACCCUUGUAAUGUAAUUCUCUGUGAUGUAAAAUAUGAUGGUGACUGUAUCUCUGGACUCACCUUCGUGUGAGGUAACCUUAUUUGAUCCUGUAUUCGGUGGUUUAUCAGGACGUUACCCGACAGGCCAAGGGAUUAUACCGUUUGAAGCACGUUGGAGCCCUCGUGAAUGGACUCGCAUACUUGAGCCGGUAUAAUUCAGGUUGGUUCUGCCACACUUACUCUCAUCUGAUCGUUUACCGUAACUCUGCCCCCCCAGCCGAUCAUCAACUAAAACAUGCUUUUCUUCAUAAUCACGCCUAUCCCUGAUGAUCGGCCUCUACUUCCUGUCAUCAAAACAUGGUCUUUUGAACCAUUGGCUAUCCCGAAAUGGCCCAUUGCACUCUGGACAAUUAUCACCUGACGGCAGUUUGAUUCCUUCCUCCCAACAGUAUAUGAAGAAUGGGCAUCUCCAAUGAUCCUUGUGCCGAGGCAUCAUCUCUUCCUCAUGUCGUGCUUCUUCAUGCUGUCGAUUCUUGCGCUCACACGAUCGUUGCAACAUGUACAGUAGCUUCAUAACCUUAUUUCAUUCUGUUUAUAUUGUUUGGUGUACUAUUUCUUAUUUUUUAUACUUAUUUGCUUAUAUGAACUUGUGUGGUGCGAUAUAUGGUGCGCAGGUAGAGGAUCCGCAAGAGCAAGGCUUUGAAGACGCUCCUGAGCAGCAGCAGUGCUUUGAGGAAGGCAAGUGGUCCUUGAUCAUAGUCCAGUCCUAAUAAUUUUCAAUAUACACACAUUUACUUUAUAUGCAUGCAUGUGUCUAUAACAUGAUUGAUCCCAAAUUAAGGAUAUGCCUAGCUUCUAUUGUACUUCCUUGAUUGAAUCUUGGUUGUUUACUUCAAAUUGUAGCUAUGCUAUGCUAUGGUCGGUUAACUUGGAAAUAAUACUACUCUUAUUUUUACUUCAUGUUCUGGAAUACCUUUAUGGUGAUAACUAUAAGAUCAUUGCAUUAAUUGGAAUAUGGAGAACCAUCCAGAAAAACAAUGCAACUACAAUACUAUAUAGCUCUGGUCUUGGCUAAUUAAUUAGAAACUUUAGCUUGUAAUGGUCUUACCAAAAGGGCACGAGGGGAGUGUGGUGAUGGGGUAUAGCUCGGUCCUCUUGAGGCUUAGAUAUGAUCCUGGUUAAGGUGUCUUCCUCAUUAGCGAGGGUUAUGACCACUGUGACUUGAAAUCUUAGCAAACCAUUGCAAGUUAGGGAAUCUUUGUAAAGACCUCAUAGUAAAUCCCUGUCAUUCACCUCGGAAGUAUUUAAGGGCCUUGCAAACCCGGGCAUUAAGAAAAACACGAGUUGUGGGUAAAGUGUAUAACCUCUGCAGAGUGAAAACUGAUAUAUCAGCCGUGCUCACGGUUAAGAGCUGCUUGGACCCUCACAUGAUAAUUGAACUUGAAGAUGAUGUAAAUUGAUAUUCUUUAUUUAUGUUGUUGGUACUUAUCUCUUUUACUUAGUUAAGGGUUUAUGAUAUAUACUUACACUUAGUUAAUGCUUGCUAAAUAAAACUUGACCAACUAAAAGUGCUUAUCGUGUCAAACCAUGUCAGCUAUUUCUUAAAAUUGACCUUGCAUGUCGUAUAAUUUACUCCACUUACUGAGUACCAACCAUAAGUGUACUAACGCUUACUUUAUUAAAACCAAUGCUGCUCAGAAUAAGAUAAUUGUCCAGAGUUCCCUGAAGACUUCGAGGAGUUCGAGGCGUAUGUCUCUCAGUCAUCUGCCCGUGAAGUUGAAGUUCCGCUGCUAGUUAAAGACGUUCAUUUGUUUGCUUAAGAAUAAGACUUUCGGUCAUGUAACAAAGUACUUUAAUACUAUGGCAUUGUUUCAAAUAUAAAAUUGUAUUGUCUAUCAUAUGUGUGUGAACUUAUUCCUGAUGCACAAUGCACAUAUGAGAUGCAUCUGGUUUCUUCUUAAAAUCGGGUGUGACAAUAACCAACAAAGAGAUCGGCUAUAGAUGCUCUGCAGAAAAGGUUAGAUAAAUCCGAUAACUUGAUGAUUACCAUAGGAUAAAUUAUGAAUUCUAUUAAGAACUAGCAAGAGAUCAAACAUGCAGCCUUACAAGAACUUGAUAGAAGUCGAUAACUUGGUAGAUUGAACUAGACGAAACUACAGCGAUUCUGACCAGUAAUCUGAGCAGCUCGCCAGAGAUCAUGCAAGCACUCUCCUCCCUCCAGUCGCUAACUCUGGAGAGCCGGGGCCAGCCAGAACCAGAACUGCCAAAUUGGUUGAGUCAGCUUGCAUCACUUAAGGAGUUGACAAUAAAGAGAUACGAGGUGCAGCCAUUGCAGGGUUCCAUGGGGCAUCUCAGUUUGUUACAGUCAUUAUGUUUGAAACAUAUUGAAAGCUUGACAGCACUUCCUCAAUGGGUGCCAGACCUCAUCUCUCUGCAACAAUUGGAAAUUUCGUACUGUUCGAACCUGAAUGAUUUGACAGGGACCAUCGGGUGCCUCAUCUCUCUCAACGAACUCGCCAUCAUCGAUUGCAACGGCAUCACGUCUUUACCAGAGAGCAUACAAAAGCUACCCAUGCUCAAAAAGCUAAAAAUUUAUCACUGCAUUGAACUAGUGAGGUGGUGUGAAACUGAGGAGAAGAAGGCGAUGCUUGCUCACAUCAAAGUAAAGGUACCAGGCGUUUUUGUAAAAGUUCUUUAGUACAGAAUUUACUUCGUUUUUCAUACAUUACACGAUUUUGUCCCAUGCAGAUAUGCCUAUUUUUUCAUAUAUAUUGUGUUGCCAUUUUUCUAUUUUUUUCUGCUCUUUCUUUACAAAUGGCAUCUUGUCGAACUAAUUGUUAUGCUCGACAAGUGUAAAACAAAGAAAACAACUAGUGAUUGCCUGCCAGCAAAAAUGUAAAGAAAUAGUAUCCUGAGGAUUUUCGAAUUUUUCACUAGCAUUUUUUAUGAAACAAUCAGAACAUUUCCCGCAUGUGUAAUGUUUUUCAUUCAUGGAAACUAGAUUCGCGCUUGCGGAAGUAUUUGAAGUUUUUUAUUUGUUUGUUGCAGAAAUUUAUUGACUCGUAGCUAGACAGACAGUACCAAACGCAUAGCAGGCUGCAGAUAAUAUAGGGAUUUUCAUUGGGUCGAUGGAGGAUCAUCGGGACUUCAGGAGCAAGAUUAUAAACUGUUUGCAAGGGCUGGCCCGGCUCCUUCUCAAAAAUCUCUCUGCCUUUGUUGGUAUUCACUUCUGUCAUCUCCCCCUGCUCCGGUCAUUGUACUCACGGGUUAUCCUGCAGUGGUGGUAACGGAUCAUGUCUCUAACGCUCUCUUCACAAUCUAACUUAAUUUUUAUAUAUUUUUAGCUAAAAAUUAUAUAAGAUAAGAGUCUUAUACCACCCCUACCCCGAGGCCGAUGGUGCGCCAUUGGAUCAUCAGUGCCACCGGCGUGGAUGGACCUAGAUGGCUGAGGCUGCCGACGGUGGCGCAGCUGCGACCUUGAAGGUGUUUCAAGCAACGUGCCUGACAAGGUUUUUCUUCUUUCUUUAUUUGGAAACGGGGCAUUUUUUUUAGGUUUCAGAUCAUGAUAUUUUCCUUUGAAUUUUAUUCAUCUACUUACCUCAUGUUAUAAUAACGGUGUCCCAUAAUUUUUACCGAUUUGUAGAUCAUUUUUGUUCAGCUGGAUUUUAUGAAUUUACCUCCUGCAAACAUGUUCUUUUACACUGCCACGAGGUUGUAACUUGUGAGCCAAAGGUAGUUUGUACAAUCCUCCAAACAAACUUAGCCAAAUUACAAUGCAAUAGCAAUUAUGGGAUGGUUCUAUUGUUACUAGAAAAGACAACACUUUUUUCUUUGGUGCCAAUUCUUCGUAGCUAUAUUAUCUUUUGUAAGACUCAGCUUCAUGAAAAAAAAUCGACAAGACCUAUUAUUUAGGAGGAAAGGAUUUAUUUUCCAAUCAAAUUGGUUAUGUCCUGAGAUACCAUAAUUUGAAAGAAUUUUCUAUGUAUGGUUAGAGCGCUGGGAUAACUCGUAACUCUCCCUAAUACUAAGAAAAUACUUUUUUUAACCGGAGAUUCUCCGACAAAUUACCAAUCUAAUCCCAUCAUCAAAAAUAUUUUUGGUAAUCAUUGAAACACAUCUUUCUCUCACCUAAAUGAAAAAUCAUUUGUGCAGUCACGCUCGUCGUUUAAUUAAACAUUCACGCUUUGCUAGAAACAAAGAUAAAUGUGCGGUGGCUCCCAUGUGUGUGAUGUGGUGUCGAGCGAAGGAGAACGCACGUAAUAACGUUGGCCACGACAAACAGGAGUCGAGUAAAAGUCAAUGCUCGCCACGUCACGACUGCCCAAACGGGAAACCUUGCCAUCAGAUGCCUUCUUCCAACAGGCACAAUUUGCCAGAAAAUGGGAUUUUUCGUCUCCAUAUACAAUGUACAUGGUCAAAUGGGUUGCAUGGCCCCACACGGCAUGGGCCUGGUUUAGACACGGCCCGACGACAUCCGGAAAAUUAACCAUGUCGUGUCGUGCCGGUCUGCGGGCUAAGCCGGCAGCCCAGGCACAGCACCAUGAUGGCUUGAUCGGGCUGGGCCGGGCCGGACCGACUAGCCCAUCAAGCAUGGCAGCCCAACUACCCGUCGAGCACGGCCAUCGGCCACCAGCCUCCACCGCCUUCACGCUGGCCGUCCCCCAUGCCAGCCGCCGGCCUCCACUACACGCUCGUCGGCAGCUGUCCUCUGCCGCGCCCCCAACUCAUUCCCCGCUGCUCGCGCACCGGCCACCAGCCUCCACCGCGCAUGCGCCGGCUUCUCAUCCAUCGGUGCGGAAGGGAAGGGGUGGUGAGGAGAGAGGGGCAACUGGGAGAGGGGGUGACAGGGGAACGAGAGAAAGAAGGGAGAGAGAGGGAGAGAGGAGCAAGACAAUGGAGGAACUGGACGAGUUGGAUCAGACCAUAUUAGGACCGGCACUUAAAGUGAAUUUUACCAUUAACCUCGAAUAUUCAACUCUAAAGUUAGUUGUGCAUCCUAAUUUUUGUUGUACUUUUUCAGCAUUCCGAAAACAUGAAUUAAACUGUAGAAGGAUAAGUGUGAAAAUUAUUUUUUCCUCAUACUUAUGGAUAUCCGAAGAUAUAUAAAUUAACACAAGAAAUAUAUAUCUUAUUCUCUUAGGAAAGAAAUACUCCCCCUUUUUGUGACGAAAGAAAUACCUCCUCUGCUCUUUGCACAGAUGACUUUUGGACAUGGCCCUUGACCAUUCAUCUUAAUAAAAAAUAUAGAGAUUUCUUUUUUCUUUUUGUAACUUGUUUUAUUAUUAAAGGUGCUUUAAGAAUGAGUUCUACUUAAUAUUUGCAAUAAGUUUCUGAAUAAUAGGACUGGUCUAAUGCCGUGACUAAAAGACAACGAUCUAAAACAGGGUACACAUUAUCUUCGUAGAACGAAUGAACAAAAAGGUAUUAUACAUUUGGAAAUAGCCAUGCUGAAUAUCUUUAUAUAUGAUUCUUUGUUGAGUAAUAUCAUUGUUGCUAAUAAAUAAUAAUGGACUAACAUUUUGCCACAAUUUAUUACGAGCAAUAUGGAAGCUUUCCCUAUUACAACUGCGUUUUUCUCACCUAUAUAAUUACACCUGGGAGAUUUAGGAGCUCACUAAAAUUUGAAAAAUUCCUUAAUUGGACACAAAAUUUACUUUUUUUAUGGAAAACUAAUUGUACUCAUUGACGAUAAACAAAUUUCAUCGCGGCCCACACUCUCUGGCCUAAUGAAGCACUGAUACUCAAAAUGUUUUGUGAUAAGAUCGAUAUCUGAUGCACAGUGUACUUGUGCAUAUCGUAUUACGCCAAUAUUUACAGUAAAACAAUUUUCAUAUCGUAGCAAUGGCUCCUUUGUCAUGACAAGAUUUCUAGAGGGGUAAAUAAAAACAUGCCGUUGUACAUGUGACGACGAAAUCCUGAAUGCAACAUGCAAACGGGAAAGCACACGUUGGAACUAGCCGCGCGUGCAGUGGACUACACGCGUGACGAUCAGGGUCUUAUACGCUAGCUGCACACAAGCAGACACCAACUCCUCGUGCCCCCGUGGCCGUGAAUGUUGGCAGUAGUUUUCUUGGAUCUGGUGACUGCCACUGCAUAACUGACAAACAUGACGAUCACCUACAGAGAAGCAGUAACAUCAGUAGACAUGCAAAGGCCAUUCUAUAUUUUCUAUGAGUUUAGUAGUAGUCACAUGCUUGGUUUUGGAUCUGGUGACUGCCACUGCAUAACUGACAAACAUGACGAUCACCUACAGAGAAGCAGCAACAUCAGUAGACAUGCAAAGGCCAUUCUAUAUUUUCUAUGAGUAUAGUAGUAGUCACAUGCUUGGUUUUGCAACUCAGCAUAGUAGAUUAUUAGUAGUAAUAUGUUAGGCUGGCUGCUAAGCUUCAUAUUGUUUGCUCAAAAAAAGUGAGAUCAAAUCAAAUAUUUCGAUAGUGGCAUGCAUAUGCUUCCCUUCUGUGUCUUGUGUGAUGAACUUUAAAACCAUGCAUGCUCUCCAAUCAGCACGACAGAAUGGUCUAAACCCAAACUGCAUAUAAGAAACAAGAAAAAAACUCAUGCCUACAAAGAUUUGAAAAUCAUUUCCAGAAAUGAAAAACAUGUAAGAAUACCAAGAGUGGGUUCAGGAUACAUCACCAAAUUCCACAUGCAGAGAGCAAAAAUCUGGAGAAUUUUGAAGAGGGAGGCAUGGCAUGGUGGAUGAGAGCCCUCUGGCUAGCCAAGAAGACCGGCCGAUGCAGCCACAUCGCAUUACCCAUCACACAAGAAUUUCUCAAGAAACACUUUGCCGUCCCCAUGGCUGAUGGAUAUAUGCCAACAGAGGGCACGCAUAGGCAAGUCAUUCUUGGCUACCAAAAGGGGCUCUCCAUCCCCAUGUGAGGCCGCCCUCUUCUUCUCCACCUGCUCUGUUGAGGCCUUCAGCCAUGGCUGUUUCUAUUGAGCUUGGUGUCUCUGUGUCAUCCCUGGUUGCAUACCCGAGGUAUUUAUAGUGUGGACAAGGAAAGGGGUCAGGUGAUGAUUGCCACAUUUCGUUGAAUGGCAUCUGCCAUAUCUUCUUGUUCGUUCCAUUAUUCAGAUGGCAACAAAUAUACGGUGUCAUUCACGGCGAGUCGAAAAUUGAUGGUUGGGAUAGAGGUCCACAAGAAUUUCAGACCUUCAACGAGACUAUCUUGGAAUUUCUAUGUAUUGGAUAGAGAUCCAAAUCUGCGCUAUCUAUAUAGGCAUUCCUCAAAAGCACAAUAUGCGGUCUUAAAAGGGAGCAAAACGGACAUAUCACGCUUGCAUCACCAUAUCUUGCUACGAUUUGAUCCAAGGAAAAAAAAAGUAGUGUGGUUUCCAUUGCCAAUAAUGAUGCCAGCUGCAGCUACCCAGUAUACUCGCCGCAUGUAAAAAUUCUUAAUUAAGAAUCGAGUGCAAGGCCUUGACAUCAUUGUAGAGUGCUUGUUGUGGGCUUAGAGAUCAUGUUUGAUGUAAACCUUACAUUGUGUUGGUUCGCCAUGAGCGCCUACAGAUAGCUCACAUUGUAAACCUUCCGAGAAUUUCUCCUUCUUAAUACAAAGAUACACUGCUCUCCUACAUGUUCUCGAGAAAAAGAAGAUUUAGAGAUCAUCUUUGAUUUCCAUAUAGGCCUCGAAAGGAAUACAUGAUGUGGUUUUAGGGAGAACUAAAGGUAUACGUCGUGCAUUGCCUAAUCAUCUCUUUGAUUCAAGGCUAUGCCAUGGUAUAGUUGGCUAAAUCACCCCUUUUGUGAAAAUCGUGAGACUCCUAAAAGAGCAUGUUUAUAUUAGUGCUACAAAAGAAUCACUGCUGUAGUGUUUGACCUUGAUAAUGUACAUGUAUGCUCAUGAUGCUUGCCACAUUUCUUUGGAUGGAAACUGUGACCUCCUCUUGCUCCAUUCAAAUGGCAAUAAAGGUAUGGUGCCAUUUGCGUUGAGUUGAAAACCAAUGGUAGGGAUGGAGGUGCGCGGAAAUUCUAGACCUUCAGAGAGAAUGUUUACUCAGGUGUUGCUUAUAGUGCUCUGCCCUGAUUUUGUUCUUUUUUCAACUUGUUGCAGAAGCCGAAACUUUAUUGCUAAUAAAGCUUCCUUCAUUAAAAAAUGUUAAAUAGAUGCAUAUUUUGUGAUAGAAGCUAAGCUAGGACAUGAUUUUCACAAGAGUCCCAUAAAUUUACCUUACAGAUGUACCAAGUACAUAAUAACUUUGUAAGCAAACCAGUAGCUGCAACAUGAUCCGCCCAUGUAUUUGCUGCCCUUUAUGACAAACUUUAUUCCGUUCAAAGGGGCAAAUUCUGGAUUCGGGCAUUUUGAAUUAUGCUGGAGGUUGCCAUAGCCUAAAAGCUGGAUUUCAACUUUCCUGAAGAAUCAUGUGGAUUUCCCUCCCGUAGUUGACUUCACCCAAAAUCUUUUGAAAUCUCAUGCUCAUGCACAACUUGCAUCUGAACGGACCAAGAUGCCCAAUGCUAAGGUCGACCAAAGCAUCUGAAAGGUAUCAUUGCUUCAAAGGUAGGUGCAAAUCUUCAGCAACUGUCAACGAGCAUCGAACUAGUCAAGGAAAAAAUUCUGGCAACAUUCCCUUCGAAAACAGGGGGAAGCAAGCAGCGCCUGAUAGGACAAGGAAUGCAGAACCUUUUGCAAAUAUAGGCAAAAGGACGAGCGUAUCAGUAUAGGCAUGAAUGCAUAUCAGAAACGAAAAUCCCAUAUCAUCGAAACAUGUUAGGCCUCUUGCUGUAAAUUUGUUGUGCCAUAUCUCGGAUUCCAAUCAGGUGUAGCCUGCCAUUUAUGAUGGCUCUUCAUUUAUACCCGAUACCUCGAAGGCUAGAAUAAACUAAAUAAUGUGAGCCCACAAUUGCCAUGCAUACCAUCUUUUCUAGUGUACCUAUCUAGAUCUGCUUUUAUGCUCUCAACAUUCCACCAUACUUUGGUUGUGGUACUAAAUUGAUAAGUGGACUAAUAUAUAUAUAUAUAUAUAUAUAUAUAUAUAUAUAUAUAUAUAUAUGCACACCGUUACUUUUGAUCCAUGUUUGAUUGUAAGGUCAGUCUCAGUGUGAGUUUCAUUCUACAUAAAUGAUGUGUCACUUAAGCAUAUAUGAUGACAUGGCGGUUUACAAUGUUUCUAACGCGCUGAAACUCUUCCACGUAUCUAUUGAGAACUAGAGUUUCAUUUCAUCCAAUUACUUGUCCAAUUAAAUAUUUUCACAUCAUGUCUGAAUUAAAUGCUAUGGCUUAGCCUUAAAAACAAUAAGAUGAAACCUUGCAUUAUAGGGAUUGUUUCAUUCGUAGUUAAUUUCAUUCAACUUUGGACGGUGUUACUGGCUUGGAAACAGUGAAACAAAACCGGCCGCUAAGAAUGACCAAUACUCAAGUUUGUAUGCGGUGGGAAGCGGCGAAUAAUUAAAGCAUCUGUACUAAAUCGCAGCCAGCGGGUGCAUGUGCUUUAUCCCUUCUGCUGCAAUAUUUGUUUCCGCUUUGUUGACAACAACAUUUGACAUCUCGUGUGGAUGAUCAUGUGAUUAAGUAAUGUGGUAGCCGUCUAGCCGAGUUACAAGUAUUUUGAAUAUUUAAUUAUGCUAAUUAAUUAUUCAUCGUGAUGGUGAUUAGAUGAUCAAACAAAUUUUAUUCAUAGUGUUGAUAAUAUAAUGAUCAGUUUAGCAAGAGAACCUAGAUGCCUUUCGGAGUAUGACCAGUGUCUAAUUGGUCAGCCAGCUACGUGAUGAUGAAUAUAUAUUGCUAAUGGCUUAUUAGUUUAAUUAGAAACGAGAGGGAGAGAUUGACUACCGUCAAACUCAGCUAGUUCGUCUUCUUGUGUGGAGCUGAAUAGCUGAUCCGACACCAAGACUAGACCAUUAGAAUUACCCGCCAUGACAGGCAAGACCUGCGUGGUUGUUUGGUCCUUGGUUGACCCUGGCUUUUGAUAGAAUCUGGUACGAUCGAAAUGCAUAUACAGAACGUCUGCUUUGAAGUUUAGAUGAGGGAUUAUGACUUUGGAAAGAUCUGAUCCAGGAAAACCGAUCAUAACGGAUUUCUGAAACGGCCAGAUCGGUUUUAAGUAUGUAAUCUGAGUUAGGAGUUGAAUUUUAUCUGAUAUGAAAUUUGUUAGGGUUUCGACUCCUAAUGGCGUAAGACUUCCAAUCUCUAAAUAUAAAUAUAAAGGGCUACAGCCAAUUCAGGGUAUCCAAUCGAUCAAACACAAACCUAGCUUUUCUAACCCCAUACAAUUGUUUUUCAUUUUGUUUCUACGGUAUUUGAGGAUGCUCUCGGUGUUUUGCUGACCCUAGAACAACUCAAGGUGCGCCUACUCCAACGGGAUCCCUCCCGGGCUAGCGUACAUCGGAUCUUCAUCGGGCACCCCGAUGAAACCGGCCUCGUCGGCUUACCGAACCAGUUUGAUUGGUUUCCGCAGCAGCGCUGCAAGAUACGCCCCCAUCAUGAUGCGGGUGACGUGCUCAGGUACCACCAGAGUUGAUUUUACCAAAGUUGAUUUACGUAGUGGGUACCACCAGAUUCGUAUGAAAUUGGAAGAUGAAUGGAAAACUGCUUUUAAAACUAAGUUCGGGUUAUAUGCAUGGCUAAUCAUGCCUUUUGGGUUAACUAAUGCAUCUAAUACUUUCAUGAGAUUAAUGAACGAGAUUCUACGUGCUUUCAUUGGAAAAUUUGUUGUCGUCUACUUUGAUGAUAUAUUGAUUUACAGCAAAUCCAUGGAGGCACAUCUUGAUCAUUUACGUGCUGUUUUUAAUGCUUUACGUGAUGCAUGUUUAUUUGGUAACCUUGAGAAGUGCAUAUUUUGCGCAGAUCGAUAUUAUGCUUUACGUGAUAUAUUGAUGCAUGUUUACGUGACACAUCUUGUCUCUACGGUAUUUGAGGAUGCUCCCGGUGUUUUGCUGACCCUAGAAUAACUCAAGAUGCGCUUGCUCCAAUGGGUACAUCGGAUCUUCAUCGGGCACCCCGAUGAAACCGGCCUUGCUAGCUUACCGAACCAGUUUGAUUGGUUUGCGCAGCAGCGCUGCAAGAUACGCCCCCAUCAUGUUGUGGGUGAUGUGCUCAGUAUUUGAUGCAGUAUGCUUCUGCGUUAAUAUACUUUUUAGCAACUCCGCUAGGAAGAAAAAGCCGGUUGCCAUGGCCGGUAAGAUACCUUAGAUCAGUGAGGUUGAUGCCGAAAACAUUGUAUGGCCGAGGUUUGAGCAUCUCUCGAUCAAGAAUCAGAAAGCUGUUGAUGAUAUAAGAAGAAGAUCCGAGAAGAGAAGGAGAACGAAAUCUGAAAGUAGGAAGAAGAAGCUAUGAAACAUAAUAUGUCACACUUGUCCGUGAAUGGACAAGGAGCUUUCAUGAAGAUCAAGGAUGUCAUCUACGAUCCUCCACAACUUGAGAUAAAACCCUAUAUGAGUAAACAACCUGUUCUUGAAACAAAGAUUGGUAAUAUUGUUGAUGGCGCUAUUGCUUCUCAUUUAAAUAAUAAGCUUGAAUCUGUGGAGCAAAAUAUUUAUAGUAUAUUUGAUGCUCUCUUUAGUCAAAUAGAGAUCUAACUUGUUAUAAAGUCAAUCAAUAGUGAUAAACAUGCAUCUACUUCUAAUUCUAAUACUCUUAUUACCUAGGUAAUGCAUUAGAGGAUAUAUCAAAUUGGCAAGCAAAUAAAAUUCCUAUGGGAGCACCAAUAAAUAAUAUACAAAGCCGAACUAUCAUUGAUGAUUCGGCUAGCGAAGGGAUUUCAGCUCUUGCUACUAUUGCUAUGGUAAUUAAUUUGGCCAACCAAAUGCCUAGCUGAAUUAAUGAACCAAUUUCACAUCAUAAAAUUUUAUAUAGCUCACCCCUAAUGUAAGUGUGCCAUAUAGGCCAGCAAGUUCGCUGUGACAUGUUUCUUCACCCCCAAACCUUGCACAAGCUAAUUAAGCCUAUAGUCCAUCAAUUGCAAAUAAUUGGCCUAGCGCUGAAGAUUUUUGAUCAAGUCACCUUCAAAGGAGGAGUUGACUAAGAUCUUUAGGUACUUUUUGCAAGGAACCUAAAGUCAAAUGUCGAUUAUAUCUAAACAUACCCUAAUGAUUAUGAGUACGUUGCAUAUCCUUAGGGGUUUGGAAUUCCUGAAUUUUUUAAAUUCACUAAUGAUGAUGGUAGAACCAUAUUAGAGCAUAUAGACCAAUUUAUUAUACAAUAUGGUGAAGUUAGCGAUAAUGAUAUUGACAAGUUUAGGUUAUUUACAAUCAUGCAUAUUAUGUGGGCCUCGUGCUUAGAAAAAAAAUUAAUUGAGAACAACACUGUCUUUUUUUUUGAAACGAGACACUGUCUUUAAGUAUACCUGUGGAGUCUAGAGAUUUCUUAGAUAAAGGAAAAUUUUAUUGAUCUCAGAUAAUAACAUCAGUGAUAUAAUCAAACAUAAACUGGUUCCAGCCUCCGCCACAAGCACACAGCUAAAGAAUAAAAAGAAAUCAAACGAUAUGAUCACUAUUAUACCACAGCGAGUAAAAGACAAGUCUUUAGCAUCACCUAUGAGGCCAUGACCAACUGCAACCCCUGGACCCAGUGAAAGCCCGUCUAAAGCAACGUCUCUGAAAGAAAACGACACGCGCACCAGCCAUUGCCAUGACCCAAACCACAAGAGAUAACUUAGUGAGAUCUCUUAUUACUCUGACAUCGCUUGGGAUGCCCUCAUCAUCAGCAUCGUCAUCGUCGUCAUCUGUCAUGUCCGGGCGAUACGGCCGGACAUACACCAGGCGUCGCCGGGCGCGGGAUGUGCGACGCGCAGCAGAACGCGCAUUGCGCACAGCAGGCACGCGUGAAGAGGAAGUCACGGCAUGUGGCUAAGAUGGAAAACAAAGAUAGCUUUCCCUUGUUAGUAGCUCUUUCCUAUUGUUAGUUUCUAAAAUUAGUGGGCUAAGGGCCAUAUAAUCAUGUAACUAUACUUGGACGGAAUCAAGCAAGAAGUUAUCUCCUAAUCUCCUCUCUCUCUCAAGCCUGCGGUAGAGGGGUCUAACCUCACCGGAGAAGACGGACGGCGGCUACGAAUUGCGUAGCCGAGGUCCGGCCAGUCAAGGCUUCGGCGUCCUUGACAACCUGGUAUCACGAUCCCGGCGAUCCUCGCCUCCUCGACCCACCUCGUCAUCACCAGCCACCGGCCCUUCUUCACCAGGCUCAGCCACCUCCUGCGCCGCGCCAACCAUGGGGGACGACCUCAGGACCACCGUCGAGAACCUCGCCAAGGCCGUCCAAGCCCUCCAAACCACCGCUGAGGCCAAUGCCAGGGCCAUCCAAGCCCUGUCCACCGAUCAGUCAUCGUCCGCCGGCCACCGCCAACCGACCGGCGAGCACCACAACGAUCGCCCGCCCCGGUUCCAGAAGAUGGACUUCCCGCGCUACGACGGCAAGUCAGAUCCGCUGAUCUUCAUUAACCGUUGUGAAUCCUAUUUUCAUCAGCAGCGAACCAUGGCGGAGGAGAAGGUCUGGAUGGCCUCCUACAACCUCGAGGAUGUGGCGCAGCUGUGGUACAUACAGCUGCAGGAGGACGAAGGCACACCGCGCUGGGGCCGCUUCAAGGACCUCCUCAACUUGCGGUUUGGGCCGCCCCUCCGCGCGGCGCCUUUGUUUGAGCUCGCCGAGUGCCGGCGCUUGGGGUCCGUGGAGGAGUACUCGAACCGUUUCCAGGCUCUUCUUCCUCGCGCGGGUCGGCUUGAUGAGAUCCAGCGCGUCCAGCUGUACACCGGUGGUCUCCUUCCGCCGCUUAGCCACGCGGUCCGCCUCCACAACCCGGAGACGCUAGCGGCGGCGAUGAGCCUGGUGCGCCAGGUCGAAUUGAUGGAGAUCUCCAGGCCGGCUCCGGCUCCGGCUCCAGCUCGGCCCGCCCCGCGCGGUCUUCUCCCGGCUCUGGCGCCCCGCCCAGCGUUGGCCGCACCCCCUCCACCGCUCGCUCUCCCGGCGCCCCCGGUGGGCGCUCCCCCGGCUCCUGGUGCGGGAAAUCAGAGGCGGCUGACUCCGGAGGAGCAGGCGGAGCGGCGUCGCUUGGGGCUCUGUUUUAACUGUGACGAAAAAUAUUCUCGUGGCCGCAACAGAUUUUGCAGGCGCCUUUUCUUCGUUGACGGGGUGGAGAUUGACGACACCGAGGACGUCGCGGCCGACGCGGACAACGGGGCACCUUGCUUCUCUCUGCAGGCCCUGGCCGGGGUGCCCACGGCAGACACCAUGCAGAUCGUCGUGACGCUUGGGGCCACUUCCCUCGUUGCGCUCCUGGAUUCCGGCAGCACGCACAACUUCAUCUCGGAAGAGGCGGCGCGGCGCUCCGGAUUACCGCUACGAUAGCGACCCCGUAUGACGGCCAUGGUUGCCAAUGGCGAAUGGAUCACCUGCGAGGGCGUCCUCCGCGACGCGCCCCUACUCAUCGCAGGCGCUCUGUUCCCGGCGAACCUCUUCGUCAUGCCGUUGGCAGGGUACGACGUCGUCCUCGGCACCAAGUGGCUCGGCGCGAGGGGACCCAUCGUCUGGGACCUCGCCCGCCGGCGCAUGUUGUUCCAGCACGAGGGCCACACCAUCUGCUGGCACGGCGUGCCAUCACCGACCGCACCGCGCCUACAGGCCACCGUGGCCGUGGCCGCGGACGCCCUUCUCGAAGGGCUAUUGGGCACUUUCACCGACGUCUUCGCUGAGCCGACCGGUCUUCCGCCAGCCCGGGGUCACGACAACCGCAUCAUCCUCAAGCCUGAUGCUUCCCCGGUGGCGGUGCGGCCAUACAGGUACCCGGUCGCCCACAAGAACGAGCUCGAGCAGCAGUGUGCCGCCAUGAUCGAGCAGGGCAUCGUCCGCCGCAGCGACUCGCCGUUCUCUUCGCCCGUCCUCCUCGUCAAGAAACCGGAUGGGUCGUGGUGAUUUUGCAUGGAUUACCGCGCCCUGAACGCGCUCACCGUCAAGGACGCCUUCCCCAUCCCGGUGGUCGACGAGCUACUCGACGAGCUCCACGGCGCGCGCUUCUUCACCAAGCUUGACUUGCGGUCGGGUUACCAUCAAGUGCGGAUGCGGCCCGAGGACGUGCACAAGACCGCGUUUCAUACUCAUGAUGGCCUGUACGACUUCCUGGUGAUGGCUUUCGGCCUCUGCAACGCUCCGGCCAUGUUCCAGGCGCUCAUGAAUGAUGUUCUCCGACCGUUCCUCCGCCGGUUUGUCCUCGUCUUCUUUGAUGACAUUUUAAUUUACAGCAAGACAUGGGCCGACCACCUGCGCCACCUCCGGGACGUCUUCUCCGAGCUGCGGCGCCAGCGCCUCUUCGUCAAGCACACCAAGUGUGCCUUCGGCGUCACCUCGGUCGUGUACCUUGGCCUCGUCAUUUCAGAGGCGGGAGUCGCCUUGGAUCUGGCCAAGGUGCAGGCCAUCCAUGAGUGGCCAGCUCCACGUUCAGCUCGGGCGGUCCGGGGCUUCCUCGGCCUGGCGGGGUACUACCGCAAGUUCGUCCACAACUACGGUACAAUCGCCGCGCCCCUGACUGCCCUUCUUAAGAAGGAUGGAUUCGCAUGGAGUGCAGCGGCAACAGCGGCCUUCGAUGCCCUCAAGGCGGCCGUCUCCUCCGCUCCGAUCCUCGCCAUGCCGGACUUCACCAAGACGUUCAUCGUCGAAUGUGACGCUUCGUUGCACGGCUUCGGCGCGGUCCUCGUCUAGGAGGGCCACCCGGUGGCGUUUUUCAGCAGACCCGUCGCGCCACGACACCGCGCCCUCGCCGCCUAUGAGCGUGAGCUCAUCGGCCUCGUCCAAGCCGUCCGCCAUUGGCGGCCGUACCUCUGGGGGCGUCGCUUCAUCGUCAAGACUGAUCAUUACAGCUUGAAAUACCUGCUCGAUCAACGCCUCGCGACGAUCCCUCAACACCAUUGGGUGGGCAAGCUUCUGGGCUUCGACUUCACCGUCGAGUACAAGGCUGGGGCGGCGAACGUGGUGGCUGACGUGCUCUCCCGCCAUGACACGCUAGAAGAAGGGACUGUCUUGGUCCUAUCGGCCCCGCGCUUCGACUUCAUCGCGCGUCUUCGGCAAGCCCAGCUCACCGACCCAGCUCUCGCCGCCAUCCAGGACGAAGUGCGCGCCGGCUCCCGUGGGGCUCCAUGGGCGGUGGUCGACGGCAUGGUGCAGUAUGCGGGCCGCCUCUACAUCGCGCCUGCGUCCCCCCUCCUGCUGGAGGUCCUCCGAGCCGUGCAUGAAGAGGGACAUGACGGGGUGCAGCGGACCCUUCAUCGGCUCCGGCGUGACUUUCAUUUUCCUAACAUGAAGCAGGUCGUCCAGGACUUUGUUCGCGAGUGUGUCACGUGCCAGCGCUACAAGUCGGAGCAACUGCACCCUGCCGGCCUUCUUCUACCUCUGCCUGUUCCGCAGGGUGUGUGGUCGGACAUCGCCAUCGACUUCAUCGAGGCGCUUCCUCGUGUGCGGGGCAAGUCGGUCAUCCUCACCGUGGUCGACAGGUUCAGCAAAUAUGCCCACUUCAUUCCGCUCGCCCACGCGUACUCCGCCGAGACGGUCGCCCAAGCUUUCUUUGCCGACAUCGUCCGUCUUCAUGGGGUGCCGCAAUCCAUUGUGUCCGACCGCGACCCGAUCUUCACGUCCGCGACCCGAUUUUCACGUCGACAUUCUGGAGGGAGCUCAUGCGCUUGGUGGGCACCAAGUUACACAUGACCACUGCCUUCCACCCGCAGUCAGAUGGGCAGUCCGAGGCGGCUAACAGAGUCAUCAUCAUGUAUCUUCGCUGCCUCACGGGCGACCGUCCACGACACUGGCUGCAGUGGUUGCCAUGGGCGGAGUUCGUCUUCAACACGGCGUACCAAAGCUCACUUCGGGACACUCCGUUCCAAGUCGUCUACGGGCGCGAGCCACCAACCAUCCGGUCCUACGAGCCGGGGGACACUCGGGUGGCAGCAGUUGCCAAGAACAUGGAAGAACGGCAGGAAUUCAUCGCCGACAUCCGUGCUCGUCUCGAGCAAGCUCAGGCGGUUCAGAAGCGUCACUACGACAAGGCCCAUCGUGCUGUUUCGUACAAGGUUGAUGAUUGGGUGCUGCUCCGCCUUCGUCAACGGCCGGUUGCGUCGCUGCCCCAGGCCACCACCGGCAAGCUUAAGCCGCGCUACUUCGGGCCCUACCGCAUCACCGAGCUGAUCAACGAGGUCGCUGUCCGCCUCGCCCUUCCACCUCAGGCUCGCCUGCACGAUGUGUUCCAUGUUGGCCUCCUGAAGAAGUUCCAUGGCACCCCGCCAGACGCUCCUCCGCCACUUCCGCCGGUCCACCACGGCGCCAUUGCUCCAGAGCCGGAACGCGCUGUCCGUCGACGCCUCGUUCGCGGCGUCCAGCAAGUCCUGGUCCAAUGGAAGGGUCAGUCCUCUGCAUCGGCCACCUGGGAAGAUGUCGAGCCGUUCUGUGCCAGGUAUCCAGCAUUUCAGCUCGGGGACGAGCUGCCUCUCGAGGAGGGGAGAGAUGUCAUGUCCGGGCGAUACAGCCGGACAUACACCAGGCGUCGCCGGGCGCGGGAUGUGCGACGCGCAGCAGAACGUGCAUUGCGCACAGCAGGCACGCAUGAAGAGGAAGUCACGGCAUGUGGCUAAGAUGGAAAACAAAGAUAGCUUUCCCUUGUUAGUAGCUCUUUCCUAUUGUUAGUUUCUAAAAUUAGUGGGCUAAGGGCCAUAUAAUCAUGUAACUAUACUUGGACGGAAUCAAGCACGAAGUUAUCUCCUAAUCUCCUCUCUCUCUCUCAAGAGAGAGCCUGCGGUAGAGGGGUCUAACCUCACCGGAGAAGACGGACGGUGGCUACGAAUUGCGUAGCCGAGGUCCGGCCAGUCAAGGCUUCGGCGUCCUUGACAUCAUCAUCCUGGUAGGGGCGCUAGAAGUUUCCAUCAGGUAUGCUUUCGAAAGCGUCAUCAGUGGCUAUGUAAUCUCUAGAGCAACUGUGCUAUAUUUUGCGCUUUGAGGACACCAGGUCUUCCUUUUGUACUCUAGUGCUUGUCGUUGAUCAUUAUAUCUACAGAAACCUUCCACAACAUUGGGCAGCAUCUCCCAGAUCACAUCUUGUUCAACCUGCAGGAGGUACGGAGUGAUAGAGUUGGAUAUUCGCGUGAAUAACCAUCGAUUGAUUGAGGUAAAAGCGUUGCAAGUAUGUAGGCCAAACUAUCCUAUCUGACCUCGUGUUGAUUUGUGGAAACAGAUAUCACGAGGAGACACGUGUGAAGCACGUGAUGCGUGCGUGACGGCAAAAGGCUGCAAAGCACGCGCACCAAACGGGAGACAGGAGAGCCAAGGCCACCAUGCGCCAGGGCGAUACAUGGCACACCAAAUGAGGAUGAAAGCCAUUCUGCAGAGGCGAGCAUGAUCUCCCUAACAGGCGUAGAAGAAUGCAGUAUGUCACUUCAUCCUCAAGCGGCACAAAGAGACGUGCCUUCUGUUUUUCAGUGAACUUCAACCACUGAUUAUUGUUAACUUGCUUGUUUCUUUUUCUUUUUGAAAAAUAUGAUCUGUGAUAGGUGAUGGAAGUAGUGGUAGUAGAGCCCGUGGUGGUGCAGCCCGCCGUUCAGGAGUUAAGAUAUUGGAGGGCCAAGCUGUUCUAUCCGUCCAAGAUCAACUAGGAAGAAGAAGCCAACUCCUAAGAGAGUCUCUCAACUCUAAAAGGUCAGUUUACAAUGCUCCUAACACCUGCUCAGAUUUCAUUUGCUGCACAAUUAGAAUAUUGUUUGAACAAAAGCAAGAGCAUGCUUUGGCCUUUUAGAGAUUUUUUGUUUCUCAGAUUUUGAAAUAUUUCAUGUCUAUUUUGUAGGCCUCCAUGGAGAAGAUGUAGCUAUGACACUCCUUGUUGGUGCAUGUUCUUUGUCCAAGUUUUUUUUUUUGGUUUUGAAGUGCCCUCCUGUAUUUUGCAACGCAAAUGAUGUUCAUUUGGGAUCUACAUUGGUGCUCUGUGCUUCAAGCAUGUACUGUGGACUGUAAUAUGUGGGACACUAGCAGUCUGGGACUGCAUUUAGAGUGAUGGAUGACAUCGACACAUUGAGAUGCCUGAAUCUAUCUAAUCUGUGCUAUAACAUGUCAAAUGGUCUUGUUUGUUUGUCUGUUUUUUUAUACAGUUAUGAUGUAGGGUGGACUAGACAUAGUUUCUAGUGAAAUUCUACAAAAUUUUUUAAAAAAAUUGAAUUUAUUUGAAUUUGAUCCGAAAUUCCAGAAAUAUCGCAUUUUUCGCUGGGCACUGAUUUUUUUCAUUCCGGAAUUGAAAACCUUGGGAGCCGUGGCGAUGGAAAUUAAAAAUGAAAUAUUUGAAAGCAUGGAGAUGCGGGGGAUCGAACCCCGUGCCUCUCGCAUGCAAAACAAACUCUACCAUUUGAGCUACAUCCCCACGACUAGUAACAAGAUGUAGUACAUAUACCUAAACACAAUAUGCUUACUAAUCUUUUUGCACCAACCAACAGAACAGAGCAACCAGAAAACUGUUGAUGGCAGCCUACUUAUUUGCGGUCAAAAAUUAUGAUCGCUGCAGACAAAAAAAAAAGCAAGUGGAGGAAAGGGAAACAAAUGUCCCUGCAGACACGUAGAAGUCAACAGAAAGACGUUGAUCCUGAUGUAUAUAUUCGUAAGCUGGUUCUGUACACCUACAGUAUUCAAAAUUACAAGCUCAUUCUAUAUACAAGUUCCCUUGCGCUACACAGAACAUACAAACUGAGAAGAUCUAAGAAAAGAAAGAAGUUGAACGUUGCAGAUUUCGCUAUACAAAAAUUACAGGAAAAACGAAUUGUAUACAGCGAGGAAUGCCUGUGUAGUUUGUGCAGAUUGUCUUGAGGUACCAUGAUCUUGCAGGGUCUAAAGUUCGCUCUGCUUUCUGUGCUAGCUGUGCGGGUGAUUAAAAGUAUUUAGUACCGGCGAUCUGACAGGAUGGAAUCACUCCAAGAAAGCAUGAAAUCGCGCACAACUGAUGGCAGAUCUGCACAAAAGAGUAAGUAAUACAUUAUAUUCCUAGCAAGGAGAAAUGUUC
RNAcentral lists this long non-coding RNA (105459 nucleotides) under Panicum hallii. Lineage: Eukaryota; Viridiplantae; Streptophyta; Magnoliopsida; Poales; Poaceae. The record is from RNAcentral.